Molecule: long non-coding RNA, 104192 nt
Filed under: Coffea arabica (coffee)
Lineage: Eukaryota; Viridiplantae; Streptophyta; Magnoliopsida; Gentianales; Rubiaceae
Description: long non-coding RNA (CARA_LNC007578)
Source: RNAcentral
UUUUUUUUUUUUUUUUUUUUUUUGUAAAAGAAAAUUUGGUGAAUUUGGCUUCACUCAACACUACGGAUCAAAGUAUGUCCCAAGUACUGUAUAUAUACACUUAUAGACGUUAUUCAAACACGCAACUUUUUAUAAAAAAAAUAAUUUAUUUUUACCAUUUGAAUCAACUUAUCUUGCCGUCCAUUUUGUUUUCUUCCCAUCAUUACCAUGAAAUUGACCUUGAAGCUAAAGUGCUAAACAGAUAAACUCAUACUGACAGAUCAAAGAAAAUUAAGAAUGAAUACUUUACAGCUGUAAAAGGUUAAUCAUUAUCCAUCUUCUUUUGAAGAAGUAAUUUUUUUUUUUUUUUUUUACUUCAAAUAUGUCUUGCUGUCUAGGCAACAUAGCAAAGUGGUUAUGAAAUAGGGACAGGCAAUUUCUUCACAAGUUAGUUUCCUGAUUUUCUCCAACUUUAGUAUCCCUUCUUUUGGUUCACUGGCCCUCUUGGAAUCUUGCUAAGGAUUUUUGAAUCAAAUUUUUUGUACAAUUUCUUCAUUUCUCUCCUCCCUUGGCUUGCGAGAUGAUCCACUUCAUUUUGAUGACGCUCAUAUAAAGCUGGUAAAGUUGCCAAGCUGAGGAAGCCUUCAAAUCCCAGCAAAAAAUAACAAAAGAUGCCAUGCAUGAUUAGUAACUUACAUAUGAUGACAAUAAUACAACACUAUUCCAACAACAUCAACAGAUUUUCAUCAACCUUACCAAUGUAUAAGAAGUUCAAAGAGCUGAAAGAGCUUCCGAUAAUUGACAACAUCCAGAGGAAAGUGAUUGCCUGAUUGGAAGUAUACAAAAGAAAAGGAAGGUCAGAAGACAAUGAUAACACAAUCAAUUGGCGGAAAGACAAAAUGGAACACAGCAGGAUCAAAAUGACAAUUGAGCGAAGAUGUAUACCAGAAAAAAUGUUUUUAUAUCUUUUCCAGAUGAAAUGUCAUACAAAUUCAACAAUAUCCAGUUGAUUUUGGCAAACAGCCAUCUGAAUGUAGCUUCAGGCACUGUUAUAGCAUGCAAAUCUGGGGGAUUCCUGUAGAGCAUUUGGAGACAGAAAGUUUGGCAAUAUUAGCUCAGUUAAAACUUAAAGAUGGCGAAACUAACUUGCAAUAUGAAUUGGUAACGCAGUAGAGGUAUUAGGAAAGAAAACAGUACCAAUCAACUAAUCCUGCCCCAGUGGACCAAAUAAACAUAAUUAACAUCAUAAUGAUAGAGAUGUGACACAGAAGAGUGAUGAAAUUGUAUUCCACCAAUUCAAAAAGGAGCCAUAUAAUUGUGACGCCUAUUAGGAUUGUAGCAGAUAACUUCUUGUUUUCCCACAGUAGUAUGUCUGCAACUGCAAUUGAAAAUGCAAAUGUCACGUAAACACAUCUUUCUUGUGCGAAAACAUGUACUUUUGACUCACUUUGUUCUUACAGCGUAUUCCAAUCUGGCAAUCAAGAAGAGGUUUAAUUUAAGCCUCACACAAAGGACACGAAUCAUUCAAAAAAAAAAAAAAAAAAAGGUAGCAUGUUCAAGUGCGACUGUUAUUCAUUGUAAACAACACUUGUCGAUGAAAGCAAUUUUUCACUUCUGGAGAAACAUGAUUAUGCUAAUUGCCCUUUUCAAUUUUGGGCUCCGGAUGAGAUAAUUUAAUUCAGCUCCUUAUAUUUCUGGAGAACAGGUGUAACGAACGGAUUUUGAAUUACAGGCAUGUUCAUAUAUGUAAUUAUUGGGAAAUACAUUGUUAUUUUUAAAACAACUUGAAAUCACUUCUUUAUUUCACAAUAUUAAUGCGCUUUAGCUUACAAUGACAAUACAGAAUUCUUGAAUUUCUUUGUAAUAAGGCAAGAUGGAGGAGAUAUUAAAACUUAUGAAGCAAACCAGACUAGAUUACCAUAAUAUCCAUGGGAAUUAUACGCAGGAUAUUAUAUGGAAAAAAAAAAAAACACUCUUAUGUUAGGCUGUCUGACAUUUGAGAAAUAAUCUUAUAGAGAAAGAAAACUAUUUUGGAAAAGCAAUACAAAAAUUCGUUCGAUUUCGAAAUAAAAGAAUAUAUGGCAUCAAAAGUUAAAAUGGUAAAGAAGAACAGGAUAAAAAGUUGAGAAUCACCUUUUCCCCCUCCAAGGAUCUGAUGCAAGGAUCUUUGACGACCAAACAAUCUUAUUGGAGAUAGCGGCUGUUCAUCUGAAUCUGAGGAUGAGCUCGACAUGGCUAAUCGAUCUUCCAACAAAGUAUGUCAAUAUCAGUGCUGCUAGCUAUUCAUAUACUUUAGACCUUAUACAGCAUUGUCAUAUAUAUGCUGCAGUAUGAUUCUAAUCUUAGCCACCAAGACACAUUUGGCAAGUAAGAAAGGUAUGGCUUUGGCAUGGCUGAGAAGAUAGCCUCCACUGCAGGGGCUCAGAACUCAUUAAAUUAAUAGCUCAUCUUCUUCAAUCCAUUUUUAGUCUUCCUUUAAUAGCUGAGAACUUUCUUGACUCAUUUAAACAUCCAAGUAAAGAAACUGGUCAUGGAUUCUCUGUGUUUCAUUUGGUAGUUGGCAAUGAUCACAUGAACAGAAAAUUCAUUAUGGAUUCUCAAAGGAAAUAUGCGAGAGUUAAAAAUCUCUUGUACGCUGCAAAUUUGAUCCUUAAGGUCUUUGUUAAGCUCUAUACACUAGGGGAACUUCUUGACUAUUUCAUACCUAGCAGAAAUUAAUCUUAUUUUGUCACCAUAAUUGAGCACCGGAUCCAUGCUAACAAGUGACCACGGUAUACAAACAAGAAAUCCAGAGUUAUGGGAACAACAAAUAUAAUUGAUAAACAAGUUAAUGACCAAGUAACUCGUUUUCAAUAUUGUCUGAUCCACUGAUUAAAAGUAGAUUGAGAUCAAAAAAUAAAAUAUCCUUCUCGAGCUUAACCUAAACUGCGGACACCCUUCCACCGGAUUUCAACUAGACCAAUUGAAGUAUUAUUGAACCGGGCUGCCUGCCGUGCUGUGGACGUUAACUUUGUCAGAGUCACAUUUGUCGGAUUUUUUUAAAAAAAUUUUGGCAAUAUUUUGAGGAAUUAGCUAGCCCGUUUUUGGUUUUUCCUUUUUUUUUCCUGAUAUGUAUCAUUUUACAAAUUUUUAGUCACCAAAAAAAAGGUUAAAGAAAAUGAAAAGGCAAAUGGGAUGAUGCAUCAAAAAUAAAGAAAAUUUUGACCAUUUUGCAGAGAGGGCGAUAGGCAUGAGCAGCUAUCAUGAUUGCGCUAGUCAUGACUCACACCAUCAUCAUUGUAGCACUCAUGAUUUUAAGGGCACGCAAAUUCUUUCGUUCAAAUAAUCGCAGAUUGAGCUUGUACGCCUUUAGGCACUGCAGAGCCGGAGUGGGAUUUGGGGUGGCUUUUUCUCUAGGAGGAAAUCUUUGACCAGAAUAGGAGCAAUUAGAGUUAUAUUGCUUGCUAUUAGCAUACUAAUUAAUCACAAAAUCCAUUUCAUUGUGAGUAUAUUACUAAACAAUCAUUGAUACAUCACUUUUGCAUUGUUGAUAGAUGCUGGAAAUCAUUAUAGCCUAUAAACAGCCUCCUCCCUAGCCUUAUCAUUGCCAAAACCAAUAAAAGCAUGCAUCAUGAUCUUAAUGACAUGAUAGAACUGAUUUAGAAAAGGACUUUAGCAAGGACCACAGGGAUUAGAACAAAACAGCCCUCUUCAUCAUUUGCCAAGGCGAAUCUAUCAAUGUUGGCAGGAGAAUUCCACAGCAAAAGAGCCUCAUAUCCGAUGUACCUUUUCAUAUUUAUGCUCCAAUCUUCUGACAACUCGUGUAUUGCACAAAUGUAUACGCUGAAAGAGCUCAAGCAAUAGACUGUGGGCAUGCAAGUACCUUGACCUAAGCUGUGUUGGUAGAUCAAAAAAGAAAAUUAAUAAGAAAUGAAGAAGAAAAAGUGCCACAGGCAUUGCAGGAAACUGAGAGAUUGAGAGGUUAGCUUCUCCAAGAUUUGAAAGGUUAAUAUGUAUAUUAUAAUUGCAAACUCAUGAAUAGGAUUUGGUAAAUUUACACAGAAAAUUCACUACUGCAUCAUCCACUAAUAUGAACGUAUACAUUGAUUGUGCCUGCCUCCUACUGGUUGAAUUACAAAUAAUGCUAAUGUUUCGAACCUUGCAUUAGGGAUAGAAGACGAAAACAUCACAGAAUUGACUGAUGUUGCAAGUAAAUUUUGCACUAAGCUUCAGUUCUUUGUUCAACUCCUCUAGAUCCCGUUUAUCACAACCUUAAAGUACUGCUAAAGGAACUACUCCUGUAACAGAAGUGGUUUUUGUAGCCCAUCAUUUGUAAUACUUCAAUCAUGUUCAAGACUUCACGUUCAAGAAAUUGAAGGUCCUAUUAUAAUUGUACUAAAUUUUUCAUGAACCAGGAGUUUAAAGGGCAACUGGACAAGGCAAAGACUACACAUGUGAUCUGAAAUGGCGGAGCGAGCAUGCCUCCCUUGCAUCACAUCACCGAAAAGGGCAAAACAACUUCAGUUCAGGGUUGGAAGGCCAUCAUUUCAUUCAUUUGCAGGCCAUAAUUUUGGGCCCUGUGGUCAAAAUAAAUACUAUUAUGGACAUAGAAUGCUACUGCAUUUUUUUUUCUUUUACCUAUAUUCUGUCUUUUUUCUGCUAAUUCCUCUUCGUGGUAGUACAAUCUCUAAUGAUGAUUUCUGUUCACGAACAGGGUUUGCCUAAUUGAAAGUGCAUCGCAUUUCCAAUUGUUUACAGUGUCAAAUUUGACAGUAUAGUUGAAGUCGGCGGACCCCAUUUGGAGCUUGGACAAAGAACCAGUCAUGUAGCUCCAUCAUGCAGGAUAAUAGAGGGGUAAUAUCAUGAUCUCAUGAAGGACAAUGUGAAAAUGCAGGACACUUUAAAGAGUCACCCUUUUUGACUUUGUGAAUUCUUUAUCCUAAAGCCUUAAAGAGAAAAGCAGAUAAUCUUUUGAUUUUCGAUGAUUUUACUAUCUUUUAAGUACCGCUUUAUUUUGCUGUACAAAGAAAGAUAUAUGAGGAGGAUGGGGAUAAAAGAGGGAGCCAAAUAGUUAAAAGGACAAAUUAAGUGCAUUGGACUUUUACUUUUCCUAUACCGAUUUCACAUCGACCCUUUCUUUUUGUUUAUAAAGCUUUUCGUUUCUGAAUAAAAUACAAAGUUGUGAAAAUAUGUUGGUAAACUAAUUGCCAUCUUGUGGGUAUAGCUGUAGUGGGGGAAAAUAAUAAUGGUUGAGAAUAUGAUUACCUGUUGAGUUGAGGCUGAGUUCCUGGAAGAAAUAAUGUGGAGAAAAUGCUAGCCUGCAUGCUUAGAAAGAUUACCAAUAAGAAGUAAUCAUUGACAGCACUUAAAAAAGUUGCAAUUGAUUUACCUAUAACUGGAUUUAAACUUUGGCUCGAACAAGUAAUAGAUUUUUUUUUUUUUUUUGCUUGGAUCAAUGGAUGUAAUUCUCAAUGCUAUAUAUAUAUAUUCUUUUUUUUCUUUUCUUUAGAAAGGGCUUGUUUUCUUCAAAUUAAUCAUACUCUGUGAAUGUCUAAUUACGUUGAAACAAGUAAGAACAUCUCUAUCCUUUUCUCACUUAUUCAUAGCAUGAGGGUUUCUUUUUUGGUACAACAUGAUUUGUGUUUCAAGUUAAUCGUAAUACUUUAGAAAGUCAGUUUCUACAUUAAUUUAUCAAACAUGAUAAAGUAGUCGGAAACAAAAGUAAAACUACAUUAUGAAGCCAAUCAAAAUAAUCUACCGGGAAACAUUGUGGUAAAAUCAAAUUUCAUGUUUGCCAAAUUAGAUGUUUAUUGUGCAAUCUAGUAUUACUUUUUUUUUUUCCUUAUUUUCCCCAAUCAAAGUUAACUAGAUUCUAAAAUGAGCGUGCAAAAGGGAAAAUUGACUGCCCAUGAGACAAGAAAACAUAUUUUGUAUCCAUUUUCAAGCAAGAAAAGCCCGAGACAAGUCAAAAAGUAACAUUUAACUAGGGUCACUUUUUGGUAUUUAAAAUAACGAAAAACAAAAAACUAGGAGCUCCUUCUAUAUUUCUUUUGCGGGUCAAGGAAUUAAAUUUCAAAUUCCUCUGUUAAUGCUUUAGUUUUUUUAUUUUAUCAGUAGAAAUGAGUUAUGAGGUAUAACUAGGGUUACAAAUGAGUUGAAUCGAGUCGAGUAUUGAUCUAAUCGAAUCGAAUCUUGACUUAGUUUUAUCAAACUCGACGAGCUGCCAGUCUAAAUUUCAAGCUCGAGUUCGACUCAAAUUCUAGUUGACUUCGAGCUUGAAAAAAUAAAAAAUAAUUAUUUUAUUUUUUAAAAAAUAAAUAAAAUAAUAUCUUUUUCUUAAUAAAUAACUCAAGCUCGAUUUAGUCGGCUCGCGAUCUGCUCGAUUCGUUUGCAGUGCUAGGUAUAAUAAUCUUCAUACUGCAGCCCGAAACCCCCUUCCCCUCAAAAGUCCAAACCCAAAAAUAAAUUAAUUAAUUAUAAAAAAAGUAGUCUUGGACGUAUUCUGAAUAAUUAAUUGAGAAACAGAUAAUUUUAUGUCCUUUUUUUUUAAAAAAAUUGAUAUAUAUGAAAACACAUAACAUGAUGAACACUUAAAAAAAAAAAAAAACUGGUAAACGAAACAAAGAAUAAGUGCUUACUUGCUAUUAGAAUUUUCUCAUUUUAAGGAUGACUAAUGAUUGUUGCAUGGUGAAUCAGUGAUGAACUUUUUUAAAAGCAUGAAAUGUUUAAGCCUAAAGUUUUAGCAUAGGUAUGGGGUGAAAACUUUAUCAAUAUCACCACCUCUUUUCAGCCAUCUCCUUCCUCUAUAAAUUGAGACAACAGCCAAAUCCCACUUCAUCCAUCUCUCUCCAUCUCCCAAUCCCUCUCCCAAACCAGCAAUUCUUCAUCAUCAAAAACAUCAUGAAGCACCUAGCAUUCGUUGCAGUUCUUCUCUUGGUUCUUGGAGGGAUUGAGAAAGCAAAAGCAGUGACUUGCAACCCUUUGCAGCUGAGCCCAUGUGCAAACGCUAUAACAUCUUCCUCUACACCUACUGCAAUCUGCUGUUCCAAGAUAAAAGAACAGAGGCCAUGCUUAUGCAGCUACAUGAGGAACCCUAAUCUCAAGAAGUUCAUCAGCUCUCCUAAUGCCAGGAAGGUGGCCAACACUUGUGGCACUCCAUUUCCUCAAUGCUAAGAGUCCAUUGAUUAUUUCUGUUUUUAGCAUCUGGUCUUAGUUAUAUAUAUAUAUAUAUAUUGAGUCUAUUAUGGUCAUGUUUUGCAUUAUCUAUUCCACCUAGCCUAUGUUCUAUCAUCUCUGUAUCACUGUGGAACUUGUGUGGCGAGUGAUCAGUCUUUGGUGUCAUAGUUAUUAUGGGAAUGGGCGCUGUCGCAGUACAACCAUGUUGUGCUUGCAUUGGACUAUGUUUUACUUUGCUUAUUGUAAUGAAGAUUGAAUAAUUAACGCUAACCCUAUCUACUAUUUUGUUUACGCUCUUUUUUUUUUAUUAGUGAAGCGGUAAUUGAAGGAUAGAGGCGUCUAUAGAUUACAUUGAGAUACAUGAUCAACAUAUAUAAACAUACUGAUUUCAUGAUGGUACAUGGUCAACCAUAAUUGACAGAUUAAAAAUUUUGCAACAAAAGUUGCAUGCGAUGUAAAUUUGAGUGAGCAUUAUAAACUUGUACUGUCAUCUCGACUCACAAAAAAAGUAUAAAGUCACCCAAAUUUCUAGUUUAAAAUCAUGUUAUACCAUUUGGUACGUAAUAGUCUGCAUAUAAAAUGCUUUAAGUAACACUAACAAAUCAAAUUACAUUCAUAAUAUAAGGAAAAUUUUAAUAAUGCUCCCUUAAUUAUUUGUUAACAUCACUUCUUAUAACUUUUUUUUACUCCUGCAAAAUGAUAAAAAAUGCUCAUACUCUGCAUUUUGGCUACAAUUUCAUUGAAAAGGGGUAGUUGUAAAUUCAAUGCAAAAUGGGAAUUUGACUAACUCACAUGGUCAAAAAGGUCAAGAGAAGUGCCGUUGACAAAUAAGAGAAUGCAAUUAACACCUCUCCAUAACAUUAUACCAAGUCAACCUUAUUAAGACUAAAAGCUCUGCAAAGUUUAAUUUCAUCAUCGAAUUAAAUAAAGUUCAUUUUUGUUUACGUAGGUCAAGUGGAUCGAGUCUAAGCCACACCACACCAAUUAUUGUAUUUAAUAAAGAGCUCCAUAAUAUUAUACCAAGUCAACCUUAUUAAGACUAAAAAUUUUACAAACUUUAAUUUCAUCAUCGAAUUAAAUAAAGCUCAUUCUUGUUUACGUAGAUCAAGUGGAUCGAGUCUAAGCCACUCCACACUAAUUAUCAUUUUUAAUAAAGAGCUCCAUAAUAUUAUACCAAGUCAACCUUAUUAAGACUAAAAAUUUUACAAACUUUAAUUUCAUCAUCGAAUUAAAUAAAGCUCAUUCGUAAAAAGCUCAUUCUUGUUCACGUAGGUUAAAUGGAUCGGGUCUAAGCCACUCCACACCAAUUAUCAUUUUUAAUAAAGAGCCAUCUAAUUUUCGAGAUGGUUUGUAGGUGUGUCUUUCUUUCUUGCUCAAAAUGGUCAUUUAAUUUUUGGGAUUGUUUGUAGGUGUGUUCUUUCUUGCCCAAAAUAGAAAACCAUUUUUAGUGUUUUGCUCGGAGCUUUCUUAAAUGAUUCUGCAAUUGAUUUCUAAGGACAGUGUCAGAGUAAGGUUUAGCUGAGAAGAAGUGAUUUUAUCUACUAACAUCCAACAAAGGACUAAAGAAAGGAAAACCCUCGGGAAAAACCUCUGAAGUGCAAACCUUUUCCUAUAGACAGAUACUUUAGAUACAUAGCUCAUUAAGGACCUUUCCAGAUCUUCUAAUUUUCAUCAAAAACAUACCCCAGAAACUAUUGAUACACAAGCACUACAACCAAACCAUGAUUAGACCUUCAAUUCCUGUUGAUUCUCCAUAUAAUGGGAUGUUGUCAUUCCAAGUCCUUCAGUGUUUUGCUUUUCCCAUCCACCUGUAUCUGCCUUGGCAUGAGACCAGUAGUAGAAAAUGGAGCCUAUCAUGGAUAGCAAGGUCAAUGCAGCCCCAGCAGCAAAAACACCUUUGCGAAGGGUAGCACAGGACAAGUCAUUACCACCAAAUAUGCCUCGGUAUUUAGUAUGGUAAGCAUUCCUAGCUGAGCCAGCCAGUAAGCAUGCUUCGGCUCCCAAAAAGCUUACCCUGUGCAUUUCUUUCAGUUAUUAACGGGCAAGAAAAACAAUAAAACACGUUGACACACUUAGCUAAUCCAAAGAAUUUAUGGAGUGAAGAAUUUAAUAGUCACUAUGAGGUGCCCUCAUGAAAUAAUGAGGAGAAAGGAGGAAAGAACAGAAUGAAACAGAGUUUGAAAAAUCAUGUUAUUUCAAUCAGAAAUAUCACGCGAUAACCAAGCAGCUGCAAAGAAAGAACACUAAUGCAAUGGAAAAGAACACCAACUGCUCUCGCCAGCUCCAUUUUGAACAAAAUUAAGAGCUUCGAAGAUCAAAUUCUGUUUUGCAGGUGUGCCAAAAAAAAAAAAAGGCUUAGCCGGGCCUGCAGAAAUUAUUGACUGAAUGAAACUUUAUUGAAUCCAAAAACACAAAAAACAUGACAAAGAAGGGGAGAAACAAGAAUCUCUACCCUCCAGAAUAAAGGAAAAGAAGAAUCAAAGAACAAGAGAGAACUAGGGGAAUGGCAAAACAAAGGAAGCAUGCUUAAUCAAAGCAUGAAAUUUCUGGAUCUGACCAGUCAAUUUAUGAAGCAACCUUAGGGAAUUAGUUUAUACAAGUUCAGCGGAACCAUCCAAAGUAUACUUCAAGAGAAUUGAGAUCAUAAAUGUCAUAAGAAUUUUUAUUUCUAGGAACGCCAAAAAAUAUCUUCACAAAAUGUGAAAACAGGGUUCAGAUUCCACCUUUAAACUUUUGGACAUGCAUACAAACCAGGAAAAAGUGAAAUAGCUCAACAAGAAUCUCUAGAAUUUUAUCUUCUCACUCUGAUCUAACUUCUGAAUAUGCAUAAACUAUUUUUGCCCAGUAAUUUUAUGCACAUUACUUGGUUACCUAAUACAGAUAUCUUACCCCAAACUAAACCAAGAAAGGCACAUGCGUUGGGAUUUCAAUGGCAGCAAGAAUCAGGAAGCAAACAAUGCUGAUCAAAUUUUGUUGAAAGACAUCCAGCUUCAUGCAAAUUCCCAAAAUUUAUCUACUAGAAAGUAUAAGAAUGGAUGAAACCCUGUUCUCCAACUACUACCACCCUCAUUGACAGAAGAAAGGAGCAGAUGAGCAAAAUUACAACCACACACGUGAAUGCAUUUUAUACAAGGAACGGCUGAAAUUCAACAUGCAUAUCAAACCAUACGUGACAUGUGCAAAAGUUGAAUAGAUGGAACCAUUAAUUUUCUGUAGCAACGAAAAACAUGUCAUGACAUGGAACGCAUAACAGGACAGUUCCCAAACUUCUUCAGUUCCAAGUAAGGGCAUGUUUAUUUGAUGAAACCUUUGCUCAAAAUAAUCUUAUGGCCGAUUGUGGAAUGAGAAAACAAUACAUACCCUACCAGAAGAUUUGCAAUUUCUAUGCCAGUUGAUGCAUGAAUUCUACCAUACAGGUAUUGUACACAUAUUCAAAACAUCACAUACAAAAUGCUCUAAGCAAAACUGCAUACAAUUAUUCGCUAGAAACAGAACCUAAAUGCUGAAUGAUGUCACAAGUUUAUCCCAACAGAGAAUUUGACCCCACCACAAUGACAAAUUAUCUCCUAGCCCAUCCUGCCAGAUUAAGAAUUUAAAAAACCAACAGCCAAACUCCAAUUAUUGCAAGUAAAAAUAUUUCACAUGCAGCUGUGCAGAUCAUUACUGGAAUAGUUAGUGUUGAGAAUUAUUCUACCACCAAGGCACCAACUAUCACCAGCCAACAGGGAGGUGGGGCCCAACUCCAACUCAUAGACUCGCUGGAAUCAACAAUGCUCCACUCUCCCAGUGGCAAACGUAGUAAAUCCAAAGCAGAAGGCAAGGACAUGAUAGUAAAUUGGAAAAAAAAAAUAAACCAGGGAUCAUUACCAAGAAAAGAUGAAGAAGAAAACAGCACAGGUAGUAGACCGUCCACCCAUCAUCCCUUUCCCAAAACACAAGCACUUAGUAACGCCGUUAAGCACCGUUUGACUAAUUAACAGCAACCCAAACGCCGAUAACCCGUAGACGGUCGAAGCAUCCGUACCGUACACGCAGUAAGUCGUUUCAUCGUACUUAUCCGGCAUAACAUUAGCCUUAUCGAACAUUAAAAGCCAGGAAAAAAAAAAUUAGAACUUUAACUGAGUUUCCAUAAAACAAAGAGAACCCAGAUGCUAUUUUUGGAAAUGGAGUAAAGGGGUUACCGUGCUUCGACGCCGUUCAGCUCCGAUAGCGAGAACGAAGGCUAUGAGGUGAAGAGAUGUUAUAAUUACCAAAAUGGGGAUGGAAACUCCCAUUUUUUUCAGCUGUUAUCUCCUACUAAUUUCUCACGAACAAGAAGCAACGCACAGUCCUCAAUAACUGGAACUUCUUUUCUUUUUUUGCUUUCUUUAGAAGUGUAAUGUAUGUAUAAUUGCACAAACUUCUUUUUUUUUUGGGGUGAAGGGAAUUGUUUGUGGGGCUACAGGUUUUGCGUUUUGGAAUACGGAAACUUUUCUUUUUAGGUGGGAUGCUUUUUUUUCCCUUGUUUCGGCUCGGUGGGUGGGCGUUAUAGUAUAUGGUUUGCUUUUUGGAUGGAUUCGUGGAAAAAAUAACCAGUGCAGCCUGCCGGCUUGAGGAAACCGAAAUAAUAAGGCUUGAUGACGAUAAUUUAUCAGGAAUUUAGGAGAGAGGAAAGGUGUCGGUGAGGGGAACUCUUGGGGUCCAGUUGUUUUUCAAUUUUUUUUUUGGUGAGGUUUUGCCGGUUUCUGGCAGUAUUAAGUAAAGUGUACUUUGUUUAAGUGGAAGGUGAAUGUAUAUGGAAAUGUUUUGGCAAUGCAUGAUUGGAACAUGACAUGGUUGAUCUGUACUCGAAGACGACGACAGCUGCAGCAGUACCGAUUCUUUGAGUUUAAUGACUUUGAUGAUUGAAUUUAGUUUCUGAGAGCCACCUAUGGCAUUAACAUUUAUUGUGUUAAGUUUGGCUACCGCGGUACCCGUGCUAGUUCCCUUGUUUUCUUCCCUUGUUUAGUCCAAGUAUUUUCGAUGUUGCUAUUGAUGCACACAAUUAUGUACAGUAAAAGAUGUAUUCGAGGUUCGAUUUAAAAUUAGAAAGAAAAAUUUGCUAAAUAGCUACUUAGUUUAGACGAUUGAAUGGAGGCUGGAGCCAGUUUAACCUUGAAGCCUUGAUCUGUUCGUGGAGGAUAUCUUUCAAUACUAUUGUAAAUCUCAGGGAUAUGGGUAUCUUUGCUCUCUCGUAAUGAACUUCUUCUUGGAGAACAUAUUAAUUAAGAUGAAAGCACAAUUUGUUUGUUUUCCUUUUGUUUUUCAUAUCAUUGUUGGCUAAGCCACUAAAUGCCUAAUCUUCUACAUUCUUGCAACAGCACCACACUCUUAUUUUAUGUAAACGGACUUUUCAAUCUGUAAUGCUUUUUUAUCGGGGGAUUCACCCUGUCUAAAUAAACUUCAUUGGCUGCUUUUGAAGAAAAGGAACUCAAAAGCAUCAUCCCUAGCUCAAAGUACGAAAAACAAAUGAAAAGUAAGGACGAGCAACAGAAGGUAACAGAAUAUGCAUGGCAAAUUAGAGCUAAUCAUGCAAAUGAACCAUGAAAUGCAAAGGGAUCAGACUAAGUAUUUAACUAGCCAUAGCCUGUAGAUGUAUUUCUACCUUCACAGAGUCAAUUAACAAGAAGUUCAUACAUGUUAUUUUCAUAGACCAAAUCAUAUUUGAAAACUGAAAUUUGAUGAAAGCACAUUUCACCAUCUAAGCACUGACAGAUCAGAUCCUUGAUGAUUGAUCAAGUUUUCUAAUGCAUCGUGCCAUUCUUCUCUCCGAAGUCCUCCCAUGCCAAAGCCUUUGGAUGCCUCAAGUGUGAUUUAUUUGAUAGUUAGAGAUGUUGAACUCGGCCGGCAUAAACAAACUCUGACGCUCCCAUCUGGUCCGAUCGCUCCUGUACAAGUUGGGAUAAUCUGUGAUGCUCCAAAAACAUUUGGUACAUCUCAAUCUAACGUUAUACGACCAAAAGAAUCCAUUCACUCUGUCAUUGAUGUACAAAUAACACCAUCUCAUUGGGAAAGCGAUUUGUGUGAAAUUGUAUAUGAAUCUUUCUCCUUUCCUCAGUUCAUGCAAACCCGUAUCGUUUUUUGACGACUUGCACAUGUAAUACACCGUCUUGUCACCAUCAUUGGCUAUUGUAAUCUCUAUUGUUGGGAAAAAGAAAUCACGGAUUGAUUCAAAUAUGGUCUUUCUGCGCCCUACUUCAGCGGCUUCUUGAUCUUCUGAGGCAUUGGCAUUGAAGGAGAGGAGGAGGAGGAUGGCAAAAAUGGCAAAUGCUGAAUUAGUGUUCUUAUUCGCCAUUGAAAAGCCAAUGGGAGGUAGAUGGUGCCCAGGAAGGCAGAUGGGGAUGUAAUUAGUGGCGCAUAAGAUUGUAGUUUGAUUUGCUCUGUGUGGCACAAAUUAUUUUGUGCUUGGAUUCUCCUUGACUUGCGCAUGCCUAAAGAUAGCAAAGUCAAGGAAACUUGAAAUACAUUGGACUUUGAUCUUAGUCCACUUUUUAUUCUACCACUACUAUAAUAGGGAGGGACUUGUUGGUCCCUCUUGACGGCCCUGUAUCUAAUAGAAGAAGAAAAGUCUAUUACAUAUUGAAAUGGCUUUCCAACCAACAAAAGGAAAUUUUUAUGAUUUACAAUAAAAGUAUAAUAAAAAAGGAGUUAACAGAACUAAUUAAAAAUAUUAUGAAAGAGACAAAGGAGUUGGUUUAUUACCAAAAAGAGGUAAAGGAAAGAAACAAGGUAAAUCUAGUUUAAGUUUUAUAUGCUUCUUGCUUUCCUUUCUUUUUUCUUUGUGUCUUCGUGAAAUGAAUAGCCGUCAAGACGCUUCCUGGUUCCCACGAAUGGAACAUACUUUUAUUCUUGAUUUUUAUUUAAAAAAAAAAAGGAAUUUACUCUUAUCUUAGAAUGAGCACAAAAAUGAUGCAAAGUGUUAAUAGGGUUGUAACUACAUCUAUGUAUAAUUGUUAUACAUAAGAAAAAAAAAACAUUUAUUAACAUGCUUUUCUUUUUCAAAAUAAAAUCAAUCAGAAGUUGGAAAAUCUACUUCUUUAGUUUUGCAAUAAAAUCAGUACAAAAAUAAAAAACAAACCCUUGUACAUAGAUAUCAAAGCAAAAUAUCAAUUUUUUUUUUUGUCAGCGCAACAGUAUCCCAUCUUAUGCUAAACUAAUCCCCUAUGACUAUAGAGAACGUGCCCAAGAUGCAUAGCACAUUACUAGCGAGGGUUAAUCUGACGACCCUAAAGUGGUUACCAUACGAGCUAUUCAUUGGAACCUAAGGAACAUCAAUAUUAACCUAAUCUUGUAUGUACAUGUAUCUCGUGUAUCAAUUCGGAAUGUUUUCACAAUUUUGUCUCUAGCACUUGCAAAUUGUGACUAUAUUAUUCGCACUUGAGAGAUAUAAGAGUUUAACAGUUACUUUAUUUGAUGAAAGCAAAAAUAGGUGUAAGAAACCGAAUCAAUUUUAUUUCAAAGAAAGGUCUUUUGUAUGGUUAACUUCUUUUUUUAGAUCCUACAAUGGUUAACUUCUGUUUGUUCAACAAAUAUAGGGUAAUUUGGUGCAAUCGAAUUAAAAUCCAUGUCAUAUUUACAAAAGGGAUAAUUUCAGAAAUCUCCCCUGAAAUUUCUUACAAUUGCAAAGUCCUUCCCUCAAGUCUAUUAAAUAACACUUAAUCCCUUACUUUUACUAUUUAUAUAACUAUAUAGGUCCAAAAGCCUAUAUUUUUUUUCAAAAAUUCUAAAUUACCCUUUUUGUACAAAUAUAAAACAAAAAUUAUUUUGCUAAUUGUUUUCUUCCAUAUUUCAACCAAACCCACUAUACUAACAAAUAGUUUAAUUCAAAAUUCUAAACCCAAGCAAUUCCAUCAUCAUAGUCAUAAAUUUGCUUCCCAAAACAUGCAUUCAAUUCUAAAGAUUUGUCCCAUCCUUUAGAAAUAUUCUUACCAUAUGAUUUUAUGGAAUGGUCAAACUCACAAUCUACUAUUCUUAUGUUUGCAUAAUCUUCAACAUAGAAUGCCAUGGUUUGAUUUCAUAUAAGUGGCUCAACUCCUGCUACAUGAGCCACAUUAUGAUUUUGAAGAAAAUUCUUAGGAGAGAUUUAGGCAUGGAUGGGUUUAAUCAAGUUUAAGAAACGGAAGGCAUCAUUAUGACUAUAGACAUCUUCAAGAAAUUCAUUUUGUUAAAAAUCAAAAUUAUAUUCCAAUUAAUCACACCCUAAUUUCAAACCCAAUACUCACACCUUCUCAAAACAAUAUAAUCUAGCCUACCAUCAAAUCUCCAAACAUAUUAAUAUUUUAAAUACAAAGAAGAAACUCUAUUUCCAUAACCAACAAUUGCCAAGUAUAAAAAGAAAUAUAAAUGUACUUACUAACAUCUUAAAAAGUUUUUUGAAUGGAUGAUAGACAAAUAAAUAAAUUUACCAAUUUCAAUCCCUCUUCCUCUUUUGACCAAUGAUUGUAUUAUUUAUUUUAUUUACCAAUAAAUUUACCUCUUUUAUUUAUUUUAUUUACCAAUAAAUUUACCUCUCCAAUUUAUUUUAUUUACCUCUUUUGACCAAUAAAUUUACCAAUGAUUGUAUUAUUUAUUUUACCAAUUUCAAAAGCCUAUAUUUGCAAUAGUGAAACUGAUUGUUUUUGUAUAAUUUAAAGCAUUAUAUCCUUGUUUAAUCACUUUAUAAUAAGAUAAUUAGUACAACUCCUUAUUUAUAGAAAAGGGUUGAAGGAAAAAAAAUUUAUCACGUUUACAUUUAUAAGACUAUGCAUUGAUGUUUACAAGUUUAUUAUGUUAUUUGUUUAAAUUUAGAAUAUCUUAUAUAGAAAAACAUUUUUCAAAUGACAACAUAUGCCAUUUGUCAUUUGCAACUGAGGAUAAAACAUUUUUAUCUAGGAAAAUUUAUUGAUAAGUUAUUUUUUUUCAUUAAAUUGAUAAGUUAGCUUAACAAAAUAUUUUUCUGCCAGGAAUAUAGGGAUAAACAUUUGAACCAAACAAACUAAUAACCGAUAGAUAACAUUAAUUGAAUUAAUUAAAGAAUAAAAUAAUUCAAAAUCCUUAAAAAAAUGACGCACGCCAUAUUAUGAUUGGAACCCUUCUGGAGAUGUAGACUGGUAAAUAGUAUAUAGUAUCGAUAUUAAUAAUAACAAUCAUGUAUUUUUUUUAAAUACGGUUUAUGUACAUGUCACCCUUUUGAAGGUGAAAUCGAGCUGGAUCGGACAACUAAGAUUUACGAAUUUGUAUUGCCAAAAUUGGACGGUUUUGUAACACACAUGGUAAGUAUCUUGCCUUUAUUCUCAUUUGUAUUUUUAUGUCCUUUUUAUGGUUAUGUAAUUUAUUUUCUAUGCUGUCAAAAUUAAAGUACUCUAACUAGCAUUCUAAUGCUUUAAUAACAUAAGACAAAGUUGUAAAAAAUUACAAGCAAUUUUGCUUUUUUGCAAAAAUUAUUUUAGAAUUCAACUAAAAAAAAAAGUUUGAGUCGGUGUUGAAAUAAGAAAAUAUAGUAAAAGUUUACAAAUAUAAAUCCCUUCAAAGUUAGAUGGUAAGAAAAUAAUGAAUUAGAAUAAGAAAAGAUUCUUACAAAAAAGGAAUAGUUGUUUAAGAAAUUAAUACUUGAAGAUUGAAAAUAUAAUAAAAUAUUUCUAAAAAAUAAUAAUAAAACUUGCCUCGGAGUAAAGGAUUUGGGAGAUCAUAGAAACAAAAGUCCGAUACAAUAAUAUUUCAGAUUGUGUUUAUACAAUGACUGUUUGGUUUUUUUUCUUUUAUGGAUGUAUUUACCUUAGUAGGGCAAGAGGCUGGUAUGCCUUAGGAAAGAUUUAAAGAGGAAUGUCAAAGAAGAUGAUUAAUCAAUUGAUAAAUCACAUUUAGAGGGACAAGAUUAGUGAAAAUGUGUUAAAAAAUUUAUAGAAAUAAUUGUUUAAGUCAUUAAUACCUAAAGAUUGAAAACAUAAUAAAAAAAUCUCUAAAAAAAAAUAAUAAUAAGACUUGCCUCGGAGUAAAGGAUUUUGGAGGUCAUAGAAACAAAGCUCUCUAACACAAUGGUAUUUCAAAUUGUGUUUAUACAAUGAUAGUUUGUCUUUCUGGGAAUCGGAUUGUAUAUUUGGUCUUCAUUAUGGAAGGUAGGGUUGUGGGGAAGACCUGUUGGGCUUGGACCUUUGUAUAUCACUUAUAUCAUGUCUUUGGAUUUCAGGUUACGACUUGUUUCAUACUUUUAGCAGUUUGGUUCUAUUUGCAAAUGGGUCUGCCCCUUCCAUUUGUCACUGUAGGAAUAGUGAAGCUUGCUUAUAUACUCCACUAUAUUCCAACAAUGGCGGUAUGUAAUAUUUUUAUUUUAACUAUUGUGAUUAGCAGCAAGCUCUCAUAUUUAAUAAUGAUUAACCUUUUUUAAUAGUGAUUUUGUCUUGGUCUUUUUUGGCUUGCAGGGACUUCUGGCCUAUGUAGUGGUUGAUCAGGCUUAUGAUAAGCACCUGAAGAAUAAGAAAGGGUAAGGAAUAAGGAGAGGAUCAGGAAAAAGAAGAACCAACCAGUUUCGUCUUUGUCGUUUAUCCGGUUGAGUCGUAUCAGAGUGACAGCUCUUCUUUAUCCCUAGUCGAUUAGGUCUUUCAACAUGUUGCCCUUUGUGGUACUGGAAUACUAGAUUCAUCAUUCAUCUACUUCUUCAUCCAUUGCCCAUCCCAACUUUCUUCAGUGACGGAUGUUAUGCAGGACAGUGGAGUUUUGAACGCACAUCAUUUUGCAUGAUAUUUGAUAGGAAGAUGCUUUUUAUUUUGCUUCCCACAAACAAAGUUUACUUUAAAUUAUGGUCCAUGGGCAAACUUUAGGUUACGGUUCGUGGUAACUUUAAUCCGAGCAAAGAUCUUCCAUUUUCAAGAGAUCUUGUGAUUAAUUUGUGUGCCUCGCACGAUAUGACAGGGCAUCAAAAAUUCAUUUACCAAGUUGAGGCGGUGGUGGAAAGGGGAACAUAUGCACACAUUUGAGAGGGCAUAUGUACCCGUACCCAGACAUGAAAAGCGAGUUGUGCAUCACUUUCUAUUUAGUGGUGUCAUUUCUUGAGUCGGUUGUUGCACUGCACAUAAGAGGCUCCGUGCAGUGAUCUUACACUGUGGUCUUUGCUCUUUGAUUUUCAUCUCUUGAUUAAUUAAGAAUUUUUGACCUUCUAAUCUUGCAUUUUGAGGCCCGGCAUGCUUUUAUUUAUUUCUUUUUGCUGCGUCUUCUGCUGGGAAGAAGGUAAAUCUAUAUCUCAACGAACAAACACUUUUUCAGCUGUAAUUAAUUAGGUGAAUGCUCUGCUUACAACAGUGAAAUCACCAUAGUUGAUGGCCCGUACCGGUCAUGGUUGAUGGCACUAUGAAGUCGAGACUGGGACAUUUUUUUUCGUACAUGUCAAAAAGAAAGCAGAACUAUUGAAGUAUGGUUUAUCAUUGUUGUUAUAUGCAGUGGUCAUUACGGUGAAAUGUAGAAAUUGGGGACUUCUUUCUUAUGCAAGCAAAGCAAGCAUCUAUCUCUUAAGAGGCAAUAGGCAAUUCAAGUCCCUUUUUACAACAAAAUGCUGGCUGAGGUAAUCAUCAUCAUAGUUGCCUCAUGUUGCAUUGAGAGUGCAACCAUCAAAUUACGCAUCCAAAAUUGUGAUGAUUAUCAAUCAGGCUUAAGUGCAUGAAAAAUGAAUCAAAAUCGCAGCAAGAAAAUGGAGGAACCUCAGCUGUGGGGAACUCCAUGUUCGAUCUAUAGCUUUCCACGCUCGUAUAUAUUAAGCCAGUGAAAAAGACAACACUAACGGUACAUACAAUUAACAAUUUUCAAUUUUCUUUACCGCAAAAUUAUUACACCAGCAACGCUAAAAUUGAUUAUUAAUCUGGCAAACAAAUCUACUGAUCCUGUAGCAUCUCAACGGCCUAAAUCUGGAAGAAAUAAUCAAGUCGCUCCAAGGUAGAGCACCUUAUGCCACAUCUCUGAUCCUUGUCGAGUUGUAACCGGUGAACGCCGGGGCCCUGUCAAAUGAUUUUGACUUGCAAACUCUCGACAAAAAAUUGACAAGUUAGAACAGCAUUUCAUAGAAAUAGUACAACAAACUAGGAACUUCAUCAUAAUACAAAUGCUCGAGCUAGAAAGAGCUGGAUUUGGAAAAUUUUCGACACCAUUGCAUGGAAAUUUGUAAUAAGAUACAGGCCUGAAACAUUUACCUCCGCAUGCAAGAUAGUCAACGAACAGAGAACCAUAGCUAGGCAAGGAAAAGGAAAGGGAGGGACCAACAUGAUAUUAUUGGCAUGCCCGGAAUUGGAAAGGAUCUUAGUCCAAAGCCUCUGAAACCCUUGGCUCAAAAAUAGAACAAAUGGAGAAAAAAAAAGAGAGAGAAAGUCCAUGACCUCAGCUGAACAGGUCAGAUCCAUUCAAGGACAAGGAAAAGAAAUGGAGGAACCACAUGAAACCAUGGGCAUGCCUGGCCUCGGUAAGGAUUCUCUCCAUCCAAUCUUCAAGGUUAAAAAAUUUAAGAUCGAAAAUUAAAAAUAAAAAAAAACCAACGCAAAAGCAAAAGAUAUAAACAAAGAAAGAUAAAAAGUUUCCUUUCCAAGCCAGGCGAUGCCCACAAUUUCCUGCAGAUCUAGCUCCGUUUCCACCUUACCCGUUUGUUACUGAGCUCCAAUAUCACCCUCUGCACCAUAAGUUCAGGUAAAAAAAAGGCUAAAAAAUAACGAAUUUACACUGAGCCGCUCCUUUUUCUUCCUUCUUUUUUUUCCCCCCUCACUAGAAGAGAAAGUUAGCCUAAAGAAACUAGCAGCUGCAAGAGCCAAGAGGGGAGGACGGGAAGGGAAAAAACGAACCCUAAGAGAGAAGCACUGAAUUGGGUUUAGCGACUUUGUGUUUCAUCGUUCCACACCUUUUAUAAACUUUUCCCCUCCAGAAGUCCAAGACUAAGGACACGCUAAGGGGACCCUGCCGGACAACCCUAGCCCAGCCCACCUUGCUUUCGCAAGUAACUCGGCCCAAGGAAUAGUGUGGGAAUGGAGACGUUAUGAAAGGAGAGGUAAGGUUGUGUAGGGAGAAACUUCCACUAUCGUCAUCUUCGAAGAAGACAGCCUCCCCAUCGGACUAAGAAUUAAGAAACUCAAGGCUAGAGGGGUUGGCUGCAAAAUGUAUCCAAUAAAUUGAAGUGUAUUUUGCUGGGAGGAUUAUUUAGCCACAAGAGAAAGAGGUGAUUGAGGAGUGGCUGAGAAAAGACAAUGAGGAGUUAUAUCUUUGUAUUUGCCCCUAUUCAAAACUAUUUUCAAUUGUGUCAUUAUAUAGUCUAAUCAAUAUAAGUGUUUUGAGUUUAAGCAUGUACACAUUAGUGUGAAGACCAUUAGUACUACUAGUGAUAAAGAGCGCACUGAAUUUGUGUGCAAUUUGGAAAUUUUAUUUUUUUAUAUAGAGAAAUUGGCAAAAUUUUAAUAAACCAAAAAAAUGAACUUUGAUAUUUUAAAAGCUUUUUUCAAUGAAUUUGGUAGUUUAUAAAAUGCUUGUGGGUAGUUAUGGGUGAAAGUCAGUUGUGAUUAUAUUAGUUGGCAAUAUGUAGGCAAAUUUAUUUUGGUCAAAGCACUAAUGAUUAGUUUAGCAUACAUGCUGAGUAUUAUGGACAGAAACUGCAUUUUUUUUAAAAAAAUUUUGGACCUAUGUUAUAUAUUGAGAUUGGUUGUUUCUCUUAAAUUAUUUUUGUUAGUUGGUAAUGAUUUUGACAUUUUUUGUCUUUUUGCAGCCAGAAUUUUAUACUUUUUGGUCAACAUUUUAUGGCCAUGUGGGUGAAAUUACAUAUUGGGGCCUUCUUUCUUGUAUUUGGAUCAAUAUUUUUUUAAUAGGAAUAGAAUAGAUAUCAAAAUUUUGAUUAAACAAGUAGUAGUAGAAAACUCUGUAAUUCAUAUAAUUUUUGUGAAUAUUAAAUAAAAGCAACCCUGAAACAAAAUUUAAGACCAAUUUUUAAGAUGAAUAUGUUUGAUUGACUUUCACUAUACACUUGCUUAUUAUUUGCUUUCUUAUUGUUUCUCUCUCUCUCUCUCUCUCUCUCUCUCAGUGCCUAUUAGUUGUUCUGCUAAGUUUCUCUAUGCCCCUGAUCUUACUGCAAGACCCAUGUAAAUUGAUUGUGUAAAGUGAUGAUUUUUGGUUAUAUGUUGCUUUCAUAAGGCUGAGCAUGUAGAAAUGGAAGAAGGUUAGUCAUGUUGAAUGGACUUUAGUAUCUUUUGUGGGUAUCUUUGAUUAGAGCUCUAUGUUGUUAGGAUGCUUCAAUACUUAUAAAGCUAGCACUUUCAAAAAAAAUUGUAGAAUUCAGUUAAAUCUAUCACAUAUCAUAAAUUUGUUGAGAAUGGUCCUUACUGGGAGGUAAAGAAUUUUUGACGAUUUCUUGACAAUGAAUGCUCAAAUUUCUCAACGCAUGUUUAGUUGUUGCUUGAGUUUUCCAAAAUAACUGAAAUAAUCAAUUUCUUGGUUUUCGUUCACGUCUCUACCUUCAUAAUUUUCACUAGUGUACAAAGAAUGAAAUUGCAGAUGAAAUAAUGGUUAUGAGGAAUUAAUUUUGAAGUGGAAUAAAGUGGUAUUGAUUCUAUAACACUAACAGCUUACAGUGAGGUCUAAACUAACAUUAUAUGUUCUCAAGAGUACCAAUGUAAACAUUUUUUUUAAAACAACUUUACAAUUUUAUUACCUUUUUGUAAAGCUUUGAACUCAUAUCUUAAAUGCCAAUAACUUUUGCAGCAUCAUUUUGUUUUGGGAAUUUUAGCUGUGCUUCAGUUCUACCAUUGGUUGCUCUUCUAUACAUAGAGGUUAGUUCUUCUAGCAUUCUUUUCUUAUCCUGCUACCCAUUUUUUAGUUGUUUUGCAUAUAUUUUGUUACUUUAUGCUUAGAUGUAAAUUUUGGGAGUUGAACUUGUUAGGAAUUUCCAUUUUAGGUUUUUGCUAUGCUUGUUCCAAUAUGAAAUCAUCAGAAAACUUGUAGACCAAAAUAAGUUCAUUAAACUGAAAUAUAGCUAGGUAAAAAUCAAAGUUUCAUGCAAUUAAUUGUGCCGUUUGACUAUUAGUUGCUGUUUAGUUUGAGCCUCAAAGACUAGGUAAAUGGGUAGUUGCUAAAUCUGUAUUUUUUUUCCCAGAUAUCAUGCAAAAAGUCCAGCCUAAAUGGAUAUGUAAUCAACUACAACUGUUGAUGUAUUCUAACCUGCUAUAUAAUAAAUGUAAUGUUCAACUGCUUAUCUUUUAAGGUAAACAAUUAAGUUAAAAAGUUACAAAGCAUUAGCUUAUUAACAAACAUUUUGUUGCUUUUGUACUCCAUUAAAUGCCUGCCGAUUGGACAUUCCCAUGUGAGUGAGACUUGUAUCUGCAAUAACUACUGCUUUGAGCAAUACUAAGCUGUUAAAUAAAAGUAAAUCUGCAUUGCCUGCUUGGCAGUGGCAGCAUUCCCUUUAUUUUUGUCCCAUACACAAUAAUUUCUGCUCUUAGAGCAAAUGUUGCCAACUAGCAGCUGGGGGAAUAUUAGCUAUAGAUUGGAUUGUGGUCAGAGUUAAUGAGGUUUCUAAGAUUAAAUCACUCCAUUACUGCCCAGGUACACAACAAAGUAGAACAUGUGAACGUCAGUUUGCAAUUUUGAAUUAGUAUUAUACACUUAGAGAGUGGAUAUGAUUUACUUUGACAUGAAAUGGGUAACUUUUUGUUUGUAGUAUCAUACAUGCUGUUUCAACCUUUUUUGCCAUUAACAUAAACAUUCUGCUAGAAGGUUUCAGGAGCCAUGUCACUACCACAUCCUAAUAGUAUUUAGAAAUCAUGUAACGACUGUUUAGAGAAGCAACAAUAAGAAAUAAAUAAGAAGCUGAAAUGAAAGAGGGGAUGGUAUGAAGCAUUUUUGUCCUUGAUAAGGCUCUAUAGUGGUUUUGAAAAAAUGUCCAAGUUCUCUAUAGGACUUGUUACCUGACAUAUUUUAGUAUUGUUCACAGAAUUUUGAGCUUCCUCUUGAAUUUGUUCAUGAGCGACUCAAAACAAAGACAUUCUGGUGCAUAUCAAAUCAGUGCAAACACAAUUAACAGAUGCAAGGCAACACUACACAGCAAUAAAGUAUUCUGAAACUAAUGACAUUGCCACUUCUGUCCAGUUAGCAGUUAACGCAAAAAAUGACUCUUUGUCACUUAGGCAUCAAGCUGAGAUUGUGGAGCUCUUGACUCCAAGCAGAUAAACACUCAAUUGAACUUGUAAUACAUACUGUCUUUUCCUAAAAGCAAAUUGCAGGGAAACUCGUGACUGCAGGAGAAGCCAAUGGUUCGUCAAAAGUUUGCCUUCGACUUGCUGGAAAUUUUGAUGAUAUAGAUAAUGUGGAAGGAGAUGACACUUAAAAUACGUACAGCUACUCCACCAAGAAAACAAGAUUAAGCUGAAUUCAUAAUAUUCAACUUUUAUACCACUCGAACUUGAUAGUUUUUGUCUUCUUGUUUUGCCAUUCUAGAUUUGAUAGAUUGCUUGGAACUUUUUGAAAGGAUUAUUACUAUAUCUACGAACUGUGUAUAUCUGUAUGUGGUUAUCCCUUAGGUAACUUGUGAGAACUGGAAAAAAAAAAGGAAAAAAAUAUUUUUUUUAUUAGCCAUUAUUUUAUUCCUGUGCACAUUUAUAUUUUCUUCAUUAUAUUAAUUUUAUAGAUAUUUUUAUCAGUAAAUAUAGUUUUAAAAUCAUUUUUCUAGUAUAAGUUAGUUCAUGAGAAAUUAGGAGUGUAUGUUGGACGUGGGACUCGCUAGUGCGUUAAGUGAAAGAAAUUCGGCCAAUUAGAUUAAGUUUUACAUAAAGGGAUUUAAAUACUAGGUGUUAGGAGAUAAUUAGAGGUUAUCUAGAUGGAUUAACCAUGGGGAGACAAGAAAAUAACUUUAAGUAACAACAAAGUGCCAAGUGUCAUUACUUAGUCAAAGUUAGGCUUGACUAACUUUACUAAAACUCCAAUUUUGACACAAAUCAUCUUCAUUUCAUAUCUUUCUUGCCCGAACUUCACCUUGAGAGAAAAGAAAAGAAAGUUUCAUCUAUAUCUUCCAUUUCUUGCACAAAUUUUGAAAUCCGACCGAUUAAACCUUGAAUUAGUCCGCAAAAGUGACUUGCUAAGGGAGUUUGAAGGUCUUGGUAGAGUUGUUUUGGAAGAAAAACCCCUAAACUACUACCUUUCUUGAGGAGUUAAGGUAUUUUCCUUGGAACUCACUUUUUGUUCCUAAUAAUGGUCAAUUGGUGGCUUAUGGUAACUAACUAGGUGAUUUUAUGGAAGAUUUCAUGGAUUAAAGUGGAGUUAGCUAAAUUUCUGAUUUUUUUGAGAAUUUUUCUGUUUUCAUAUGAUGGUUAUGGUUGGCCUUGGAUUGAUAGCUCUAAAUUGUGUAAAAUGGAGCUUUUGUGCGUUAAUUGCGGUUAUUUGCGAAAAAUUUCCGCUUGUGCGGAAAAUUUCAGAUUUAGGGCUACUAAUUAGGGCUUUCUUAUGGUUGGUUAUUGAGCUUCUAAUUGGCUAUAAUUGAGGGGUAUUGUGACCCUAAUGAAAUGUGUUGAAUGGCUUAUGAAUUGUUUGUGUGCUUGUGGUUACUUUGGAUGAAUUUCAAGGGUUGUUUGUAUGAUAGAAAAUCUGAAAUUUUAGGGGAAAUGUUGUCCAAAUGUUGAGGAUGUUGGAUUCUUAUGAGUUUAGGUUGAGGUUGGAUAGAAAUGAAAGAUUUUGGGGUUUGUUUCUACUUUUAGCUCUAAAUGUUAUGUAUUUUCCCUUCCAAGCUAUAUUUGGUUUUGCCGUAAUAGUUCAUUUAAGAGGUAUUCGACUCGUGUCCGAGUCUCAAUUGUACUUUCUUAAUUGUUAUAGGGCGUGCCAGUGAAUCGAAACUUACGUCGGGCGAAAACUUGUGAAAUUGUUUGUUUGACUUGGUGAGUGUACCUUGUAUGGUUUAAUGUUUAAAUGAUUGUUUAUACUUGAUUCUAUGAACUUGGUUGACCUGAAUGAGACGAAUGUGUACUUCACCGCUCUUGUUCUCUUACUUGUAUGACUGCUACUGUAUUACUGUGAAACUGUACUUGUGCAUGAUUUAAUGUCGAUUGGAGGGUCGAAUCCAACGACUUUAUUGUGAUAUCUGAGCUCUUACCUCAUUGGUCGUUAUUCGGGUCGAGCCGGCAAGGGUUUGGUCAGUUCGAUAAUGAACCAUGAGUGACUGUUAGUCGAGUGGAAUGUUAACUCCUCGACCCUGUGGUAUACUCGAGUAUUACCUUUCUGUUACUGUAAGGUGUUCGAACCCGAUAAGGGGAAUGUUUGGUGGAAGGAAUGUGGUGUAAAGUGGGAUUUACGGUCUUGUUCUUUACUCCAAACGUUGACGGAGUGUCGACGGGUUUGAGAUCAAGUACGGCAAGUGGAAAGUGGCUCUUGAGAGCCGACCGUAUCUUUUUAACUUAGUUAUGUGAUGAAAUUUCUUAUGUGUUUCUUGCCUAAUUAUGCUUAUCCUGGUGUGUCUUGUCGGUACCUCACAAGCGUAAGCUCACCCCCAUUACCUUUGUUUUCCUUAUAAGGAACCAUCCUUUGGACCGAUGAUCAUUUUGAAGAAUGAAUUGAGCUAGUAUAAAUACUCUUUGUAUAGCUCCUCGGGAGUUGAAAAUUCUAAAUGUAUUUUGAUCCAAAUAUUUCCCUUUUGUUUUGUAAAUUACAAACGUAUGUAUAUAAAACGGUUUAAUCAUGUUCAUGUAUUAUAUUUGAAUUGGAAUGUUCAUUCCUUGGGGUUAUAUAGCGUUAUCUGUAUUCGAUUGGGUACCGGCCGGAUGGUGACGUGGCAGUUACUAUUCAUUUUCAGUUGCGGGUUUUUUUUGUUUUCCGUUUUGUGAUUAUUGAAUCGUUUAGGAGCACUAAUAUACAUAUUCCAAACGUUUUAGUGUGUUUUACCGUCUUGGUAGUUCUGGCGAGAGUUGGGCAGGCAGUUCGCUAACCCCUUUGGUACGCCUUAGGGGAAGGUGGGACUGUUACACAACUUUUGUGGCAGAGGUUGAACUAUGUUUGGUCUCAACUCUGUAUCAAUUUUAGAUCUUUGUUCAAAAAAUUUUGCUCCACCUCGAUUAUAUGUCUUUUUUGUUUGUUCGAUUUUCAUUGUUUGCAAAAACAAGUUGCAUCUCACAUUUUAUGCAGAAACAAGGAACAUCUUACAUUGUAUGUAGAAACAAGGAACACCAUAAUGAUCUCAAUAAUCUUCUUAUUAUAUUAUCUUGUGUUUUCUCAACAAAUUGCUUAUUUUCGCUGCUUAAUUAAAUUACAAAAUCACUAAGAUAUUAGUAUACCUUUACGUAACUUUUCAUACUUAAUAUGUAAAUUUAAAUAAUUGGGUAUUUUUGGUCGAACCUAAAAAUUACACUGCGCUAUCCUCCUAGUAUAUAUAUAUAUGAUGAACCUCCCAGAGAAAUAUGAACGGUUUCUCCACCAAUAAUAUAUAUAUAUAUAUAUAUAUAUAUAUAUAUAUAUAUAUAUAUAUAUAUAUCAUCCCAAAAUGGUCUUUUCUAAAUAACUGUAAAAUUUAUAAACCUUUUUGGUAUUAUACUUCCAAAUAAUUCAUCAAAUUUGUAUGGAAACAUUAAUCACUAUGAUAUUGACAUAUAAUACGUCACCUAAUGAAAAGAUAACAACAAUUCAUGUCAUAAUUUCUCUACAUUAGUGCGUACAAUACCAACACGAAUAUAAAAGUUUAAUAAAUUUAGUAUCUUAUACUCAAUAAUGACAGUUAAAAUUAAUGUUAAUGUAACAUAAUACCUUAAAUGAUUUAAGAGCUUUAACAUAAUCCUUUUUUUCUCCUUUACUUCCAUGAAAUUACUUUACAACUAUUCCAGAUUUAAGAGCUUCUAAAAAAAUUUUCUCAUGAACAAUCUUCUUUUGCCAUUUGUUUUUUCUUUACCAAGGUCCUUCUUCUCACAUUGUGUACAACUGGUUUCUAAUCAUUAUCAAUUUUUAUCGAUUACAAAAUAACGCCAUUUGAUAUAUCAAUUGACCUUAUGUUAUAAUUACAAGUCACCGUUCAUCAUUAAAGAAAUUUCCAAUAGUUAUUUUCGUUAAUUAGUUAUUAAUAAUUAAUUGGUGCUCUGAUUUUUCAAUCGUUAGAUAUUAGUUUCUAUAAGACAUAAGAUAUGAAUAAUUUCCUCCCACGUGACGUAAGUAAUUGAACCACAAUUCUACAAAGGAACAUAGGUGUAAUUUUACAAAUCUCAAGGGAGGCCAAUGAAAUUAUCUAUGUGGUUCAAUCAUUAGAUAUUAGUUUCUAUAAGACAUAAGAUAUGAAUAAUUUCCUCCCACGUGACGUAAGUAAUUGAACCACAAUUCUACAAAGGAACAUAGGUGUAAUUUUACAAAUCUUAAGGGAGGCCAAUGAAAUUAUCUAUGUGAAUCCUUGAAAGUCCAAAAGUUUAGCUCCAAACCAUACCUGAACAAUGAUUAUUCCCGAUUUGAUUUAUUUCAGCACCUACGGUCAAGCAAACUUCCAAUGUGAUUCACCUUUUGAGUCUUUAAUCGGAGCUGCCAUCUCUAACAGCCAGCUCCUCGGGCCACGGAACCCAGAACAAAACAAUAGCUCCGUUUCAAGUGGCGGACCGGCCAUUGAAUAGAACGCAUUGCACUUCAGCUUCAACAGCAGAACAUUAUUUUUAAGUCAUAAGCUAAUCUUAAGCAUGUCAGCUUUCAGAAAAUCUGAUAACAACAUAAGAAAGUAUGUGAGGAACCUAACGAAACACCCCCACAAUGUAGACCUCAAAUGUAUCACGCUACGCCUCUGACAUUCCCCAGAGUAACGAUAUUCCUGCCAGACGAGCUCUUCUUGCACAAUUUUUCCGCCAGAUUCUUCAAUUAGUAAGAGAAAGUUUGCUUCUUGACAACACACUUGUGACAACUUAUAAUCACCAUUUCUACAUGACUCUUUCAUCUAGCAGCCAUUGCCAGGCAUUGAUGUUAAUAAAAUUAUAUCGCCCUUAUACAACUAAAACUCUUCUUCAACAAAUUAUCAAGACUUCAACUACACUUUUAAGGACGACUACCAUAUAAAACAGGUAGACAAACACAGAACGUCCCUCCAAUACAUCCGAGGGGAUUGGGACACCAAGUGGUUUUUAUCGCAGCCAAAGCAACAGUCAAUCAACAAGCAAGAGUUGAACAUCUAAAAGUAUGGCAUUCAGCCAGAUCACAUCUCCCAUAAGAGCAAAAGUAAGUGACAGUUUAGGCUUCAUAUUUAUCAAGCAACAAACAGCCAGUAAUGUGGUAAAAGCAAAACCAAAUUUCCAAACCAUGUGUAAAUCUAAAAAAGACUAAAAUAACGGGAUAUCUAAACAUCAAUUCAUUAAUCUACUACUUAAACAGUACAGUGAAGCAAGAUAUUCAUGUACACAGGAUGGGGUAGCUAAACUUUAAGAUCAUUACACUUUUAACUAUCAAAAUCCCCUGAAAGGAUAAAAAGCAUUAACAUUAUAUAUCGUCUGCCCAGGAGAAUGAAGGAGUCUGCACUUUCAAAACCCUUAAGAUGAAAACCAAAAGGGACGACAAAAUUUGCUCAUGCAUCUGACCAGGCCAACCAGCUUGCAGUCCCACUUCAGCUCUCUUCCUGACUACAACUUUGCUAACUUCUAUUCAUCCCGUCCUCCCACUUACUUUAAUGUCUCAGUUUUAUUCUACAUCUCAACCAACCAUUAUGUAGUGUUCUUGAUCUUUCUUUUUCUUUUUUUUUAUUCUAUUUCAUCUACUCUAAAUUUCAUAUUCUUCUCACUGUUUUUCCCUUUUUUCCUCCUUUUUCUUGUCUUUUUCUCCUUUUCAAUACUUGUAAAUGCUACAGUAAGAAGCUGGAGAAAACCCUCUAACUUUAUUCCAAGAAAUUCAUAAUUGGCCUAAAAAUAAGCCGAAGCUGAAUUCCAUUUUCCCCUUUGGAAUGUAAAAUUUAAAACCAAAGGGUAGCAAUCUCUUGAUUUCACCUCCGGUGGAAGAAAAGGAAAUCAGGAUGAUUGACUUGAAGCAUUGACACCCAAUUUUCGGCAUCCUGUAGGAGUUUGUUCAACAAUUGGCGUUCAGAUCCCCCAUUGCGGAUCCAUAAUGGUGCUUUAAACUUGUAGUGAGCAAGACCAAAAACAGGUAACGAAAUCUUGGGAACGCCAUCCAUUUCGCCAGGAUACGUGAGGAUUGGAGCAGGCACAAUUUGAGACCCUGCAGGGAGUCCACAGGAGAUCUAAAGGUCAUAAACUAAAAAAAACAACACAACAAAAAUCAGAGACAGUUUAGCUUCUUGGUUGACUAUAGUCUAAAAAUAGUGUCACUUAAAACACGUACAAUAUUCUAUGGUCCAUGCCAUAGAUUGUAUACUAAUAUUCAAGCACGACUAGUCAAAAUUUAAGUUUCAAAUUUUCACAUGUACAGAUAACAAAGCAAAACUAUAAAAGUUCAGCGACCUGUCACAGAUGUAUGAAGAGAAUGGAAUGUCAGAAAGCAAGCAUCCAAAUCUCGAAGAGUUGGCCCCAUGGGUAUCCUGUAUAUUGGAUACCUAAAACAGUAUGCAAACUUUACAAGUCAGAACUUCAUGCAUCACUCCACAAGUUGAUGUGCCAAGAACUGAACACAAAAAUACCACAACCAUACCAGGCCACAGAAAUCCAACUAGAAGAGAGUAGAUCACAGCUUCUUAACGUCUUCAAUUCAGGGAAGCGAAGAGCAAGCUGUGAUAUCUACAUCAUCAUAAAACAUGGACCCAAAUAAGAGGAGCCAAUAUACGAUCAAAUAAGCCACUUUUUUAGGGGAGGAGAAGACAGACCUUGUCUGCUAAAGGCUCCCGACCAUACGGUUGGUCACGCUCAAAAUACUCAAACAACAAGGAUCCUUGAGAACUCCCAGACUCACUUUCAUCACUGGAAAAGCCUUCUUGAAAGGACAGUUGAUUGUCUCUCAAAGACAACUGAUCAAUUCUAGGAGGGCCAUUAAUUGCCUGGCCACUGUAGUUCCUUUGCUGCUGUGAAUAAUUAAUGCAACCUCUCUCAUGUUCAUAGUCACUACUUCCAUCACUACAUGAAUCCCUAAAAUAGUCACCAUCACUGUCUUCACUGAGUUGCCUAUUGCACAAGUAAACAACAGAUGGGCAUUAAAAACUGUUACAUUAGCAAGAAAAAGACACAGAGUCAAAAGAAUACAGGUAGAUAAUCCUUCAAUAAUCAUCAUAUCCCAAUUAUAUUGGUUUUGUUUUGUAGUGAAUUCAAAAGGGCACAGGAGCAUGUGCUUACUUCUUAGUAAACUAUGACAUUCUAAAUAACACUAUUUGUAAUUGUACUCCACCUUAAAUCAAAAGAAACCAAUCCAUGGAUCAUAAGAGAAGGUCUAACCUUCAAAAAUCUGAACUAGCCAGACUUGUUCCAAAUUUAAAAGUCAUUCUUACAGCAACUAUAGUUAUACUAUCAAAAGCAUUAAGUCACUUAACAUCCUAGAGGUCAACAAUAUCUUGAGGCACAAAAGAGAGAGGAGUGAGGUUUAUCUGAGAUGAAAGAGGCCAGCCCUGCAGGUAUACACAGAGCAAGACAAAGCAACAUGGACUGCCAUUGUCUCAAAACAAAAGCUGUAGCUCAAAUAUCAGAUAAAAUAUAUUAAUGUACAUACGUCCAGUCCCCAAAAUAAAGCUCCUUGACACACAGUAGAAAUGAAUUAUCAAGCAAUAACUCCAUCAUAAACCAUUUUUCAGCCUGUUUCUGUAUCAAUCCCAAGAAUGGCUUAGAACCGACAAUCAAAAUCAAUCACAGCAAAGUUUCCACAUCACAACCGUCGAACGAACAGAAAUUACUCAUAACUAAAGCAAUCUUUUGUCUUUGGGUUAAAUACCUUGAUUUGGCCAAAGAUCUAGACGAGUCGCCAUAUAAUUGAAUGCCAGAUAGAUAGGGAACAUAGUACUGCACCACACCAUCACUGUCAUUUAAUAUCAACGGUACUCCAGCACCAUAUGCACUCCAUUCCCUGAAAGAGUCCCAUAAAUCACCAAGCACAAAGUAAGGCUGGAAUUCCACGUCACACGUCCUCCGUCCCCUCAUUGUCGUCUGCAAUUACCACAACUCCAAUUAAAAACCCAUAAAGAGGUAUAACCCCAUAACCAGAAUCAUGCUAGAUACAAGAGUUCAACAAUACACAUAAAUAUCAAAUAAGAAUCCAUUUGAACAAUAGUGACGCAAAAAUAAAUUAUAUUUUAAAAAAAUUGGAAGAAUUGACAGAUAAUUGGAAAUGUAAGCUUAUUUUACUAUCCCUGAAAAAUGAUGGCUACAAGUUUUCCGUUUGAUUGGUAAAGUAUUAGGUAUUUAUAAAUGCACUUUGGUAUACUUCUAUUUCAGCUCAAACAUCUAAUUUGAAAUCGUAAAUCUUUAUUUCAAACACAAAACCAUAUAUGUUCUUAAUUUUGGCCAAUUAAAAGCCAUUCAAUUAGAAAUCAAAUAUAAUAAAGUAUAAACCCAUCUAAACCAUCGAGUCAUUGAUUUAACUAAUACCAUUCCUGGCAAACCAAAAAAAAAUCAGAAAUUAUGGCACACAAUAGUUAAAACGACACUCAAGAAUCCAAAUAGACUAUUAGUCAAAUAGCCUUAAAUUAACUUGGAAUUAUUAAGAUGCAAAACCUUAGAGAGAUAUUGAGCGGCAACAGAAGGAGUGAUUGACAGCAAAAACCGUUCCAAAUUACACGAAGGCCUCAAUGCCACCUUUUUGGACACCUCCACGGCUACUGAUUUCUCCUCUCCGGUGCCUCCGGCAGGACUCUCAGCCUCCGGCAACUGUGGAGAAUGGCUAACCGUAACAUCACUCUGAGCUCUCCUCAAAUUAUCUUGAUUCUGACUCUGAUUCCGACUCCGGCGAGCCCUCGCACUAUAAAACCGAUCUUCUCCAUUUCUACUCCUAUUAAAUUGCAAUCCAGCCCCCAACAUCCUCUACAAUACAAAACCCUAACAAAAAACUAAAAUUUCGCGCUUCACCCCCUCCUUUAAACCCUAUCAGUAUCUUUACACCUUAAUCUACCUCGGAAAAACUAUGAUUAUCUCUAGAUGAUAACACUCAAGGCUUUAUCUAUCAAAAUAUCAAAUUUAAGGAAAUAAAUCCAAGAAAGGCCAGAAAUUGAUAACUUUAGGAACGAUUUUGGAGGUCGACGAAUUUGAAUAAAACCCUAGCAAUGUUGAAAUAGAUCAAAAUCGCAGGGCCGGGGAAUCCCCUUGGAUAUAUACGUAGUUGUGUGUAUAUAUGCGGUGUGUGUCUGUGCGUGGGGGAAUAGGUAGAUGAUGAAGAGGUGAAGAGACACCAGGUCGAAAAAGGUUGUUGGGAAGAAGAUGGAGAAAUUGGGAAUUGAAUGAAGAGAGAGAAAAGAAGGAAGAAUGGAGGAGCAACGCAAAGGUGUUCUGAAAUGGAAAAAUGGAUGGGUAGGGAGAACUGGGCAGCAGUGGGGAAGAAGAAAACAAGUAAUUUUUUUUUUUCUAUUUUUUUCUUUUUUGAGAGUUGCGUGAUAAUUUCGAUAAUAAUGAAUAAAGCAUCUUUUCUUUUUAUUUCUUUCCCUUUCUUUCACUCCAAAAGUUGCCUAAAAGUUCGAAAUGUUUUGUAGAAGGAUAAAGCUUCAAAAUAAUGUUUACAUUUUUAGCAGUUUAUAGAAAAAAUGGAUUGUAACGACUUGAUAUAUGUGAUAUAGAAAGAUAAUUGAGAGAUAUUUUUAUAAAAAAUAUUAAAAUUUUUUGAUGAAAAAAUGCAAUCCAAGCAAAGUAACAAAUAUCUUGUACAUUAUGCAAAAAAUUUUUGAAAUUUUAGUGUUUGUCAUCCUUUUUUCUACAUUAGUACGAGGAAAAGUUGAUGUCUUUUACGUUAAUCAUACCUUCUCUUUUAGUAUAAGAUAGAAUGAUCUUUAGGCCAUGAUAAUUUGUUAUUUCUUUAGUUGGAUGCUUUUCAAGUUGGUAAUAAUUGGUUUUUGGUUAGGGAUUUGGAAAACUUUGAAUAUAUUAGAUUCUAAAGUAGACAUUUUCACAGUUAUUGUUACUUAAUCUCAUUGAUUGUAAAGGAUGGUGCUCUUUCAUCUUCAUUUAAAUCUAGCAUAUUUUAAAGAAUUAGCCAUCUUGUAGUUUGAUGAAAAUAUUAGUAGGCAUUAAUUGUCUCAUCAUGACAAGGGUAAUUUUUUUUUCCCCGGUUUGGAAGGGCAUCCCGAAAUCACCCAGACUAAUCCGUAGAGUUUCUACCUUGUUUCUACCUUACUGUAAUUACAGACAAUCAGUCUCAGCCGAGCUACCCAUAAGGGGCUAAAAUAUUAUACACAAGUGAUAGAAAAGUGGCUCGAACACACGAUCUCGGGACCUAACUAGACUACUCCGAAACCAUCCGAACCAACUCCAAGGAGCGACAAGGGUAACUUAAUUAAUAUUAGGAUUUUUUUUCCUAACUAUAUGGGGCGUAUUUAUUAGUAUAUUUAAAUUAUGCUUGAGUAAUCAUUUGAAUGCAUUCACAGUUAUUUCACCCCUUUUAUUUAACCUCUUUUCCAAAUUCAAUUUACUUUUACGAAAAAAUUAAUAUCUGAUACCUCUCUUAAUGUACGAUUGAAAAUAUACCUCUCUUAAUAUCUCCUACCUUCUCUUAUUUGUAAAUUUACUUUUACAAAAAUAAAUAAAUUUACUAUUUGUAUAGGUAUUUUUUAAAAAUUUUAAAGAAAAGUGUAUUGUAAUGAUUUGAUAUAUGUGAGAUUGUUAUAGGAUUUUCCUGUAACACAUAUGCGUAAAUAAAUAGUGUCCAAUAGUUUACAGAGUGAAACAAGCAAAACUUAUAAAUAUCUAAUCAUGGCAUACGAUAGUAUUUAGAUAUUUACUAGAAGUGCUAAAUGAAAGCAUAGAAUAAGAUUUUUAUAUGUCAUCGAUUGCUUAUACUAACAUUUCCAUAAUGUUUGAUCAUUCUUCUUUGCACGAAUGCAAAACUAAAGAAAGGAUAAUUGAUAAAACUUCAUCUCAUUUAAAGCAAACGAUUAAGUGGUAGGUCAUGAUAACUAAAAGAGAUAAUCUAAAAAUGUUAUUUUGCAAAAGAAAUUAACUAUUUAUUUUGCUAAUUGUGCAGGAUUUUCAACACAUUGCAAAGUGAACUAUUUGAUGUAUAUAAUGAUGCAAAAUGUCACACGUAAAUCCAAAUCUAGUCAUUCAAAGUGGCAUCAUAACUCUGAAGUAAUUGCCAAAUAUGACCAUGUUCAACAGUGCUAAUGUACAUGACCAAAACCUAUGUCGUCACCAGAGUUUACAAUUUUGCUAUUCCUUUCUUCUUCUCACGGAUACACUAAUAAAAGAAGUUCAAUAGCAAAAUUGCCAAAUUCUUAUGUCGUCAUCGUUUCCUUUUUUUUAAAUGGUACCAACUAGCAAUAGUCAAAUCGACAAGUAAGUGGUUGAAAAGAAUCAAUGCACAACAAAACGCUGUUAAAUCUAAUAUUUUUUCGUUUAUAAUACUACUUAUUGUCAAAUUGACACUUGAGUGUUUGAAAAGAAAACAAUACUACACAAACCGUGUAGAAAAUUUGCUUAUUUUGCUUCUUUAGUCAAGAAGCCACCAUCAUUUUUUGUCAAAGAAAAACAAAUGAAAGAUGCCACCAAUUUUGUCUAAACAAGUGAAGAAUAUGUCUACUCCAAACAAAAAAAAAUGUAAUAUCAGCUGUAACUAUUUUGUUUACUUCUAAUUAUUUAUUUUUGAGAAAAAUAGAUAGAAAAAGAGAACCAAAGAGAGUAUAGAUCAAUUUUGUGUGGCAGGUCGUAGGAAAGAGAACAAUCACCGACCACUUGAUUAAACAUAAAUUAUUAUCUGAUUGAGAAGCUUAGAACACCGACAAAGCACCGCUUUGAUUGGUCAGAAUCUGAGACAUAUGGAUUAGUCAACUAUGACUGAGCAUAAUAUGCUGACACGUGUCAAUAGUCACGUUCCUGGUCAGGUGAUGAGCGAAGAACGAUGAACAAUAGGUCAUUUUCUUAUCUAAAUGUAUUGCUCCGAGGGCAGUGGACCCUACCCCUAUCUUCCAAUGGCUAAUUGGUGGGACGUCGCGUGAAGCAACGCGAUCCAAUGCGGACGGUGGCGAAAAAGUUGGGGAUACGUCUCCCCAGUCCCCACGUUCGACGCCAUCCGGACAAGCGACAGUCCGAGGGUUAUCUGUCUGAUCCGACACCUUUAUCUUCACGCCCUCCAGGGUGCGUGCAAUUUACUCUUCGCUAUGUUUGGAUUAGCACUGCUUGAAGGAUUUUUUUGAAAUAUUUUACUGUCGUAUUAUAGGUGAAAAAAUUUUAUUGCAAAUGAGUUUGCUCUUUGAGAGUGUUUUUGAUGUUUUAGAUUUUUUUUGGUAUUUUUGAGGUUUUUUUUUUGUAUUUUUUGGUAUUUUUGAGAUUUUUUUGUUUGUAUAUUAUUGUAACAUUGUACAUGAAAAACUUGUUUUAAAAAAAAUGAUGAAACCAAACGGAGCUCUUAUUAUAUAGUACUACUGUAUUCGUAGACCAGAUCAAAGGUUUUUUCAAGUCAUAAUUACUGUUAGACCCUUUUAAAUUUUUUUUUUGAAAGUAGCACCUUUCGAGAUGUAAAACAAAAGUUUAUUACUUUCCCUCAGAAAGAAAUUAUCUCCCUCCAUAAAAUUAGUUUAAAGAAAAUUUAUAUAUUAAGUUUACCAUGGUUGAUGAUGCUUAAAAAUUAUUUACUGCUCAAUAUUGUCAAAUGACCAAUCCUUCUUAUACCACAAGCAAUAAAGUCUUCCCAUGAGAUAUGAGCCCCUUGCCAAUUUAAAAGUAGAAUGUCAUAGAGUCUUAAAGUGAUCGAAAUCUAGAAGGCAUGAGACAAUUUGUAAUUUAGUCAAAAUAACUUCUUGGGGUUUUCAAAGCGGUAAUAUGGAAGAUAUAAAUUGCAAUUCAUAAAUGGAUUAAUUAGAACGUAAUUGCUUCAGAUACUUCUUGUCGGGCGGUUUGUGUUUUUAAUAAAUGGCCAGGAUAGAUAUUUUGAUCAAUUUAGAAUUUUGAGGUGCAUGUAUUCAUUGCUUUGAUAAUUGCACGAUCUAAUCAAUCUUUUUAAUAAUCUUAAUCAGACUUGUGGCUGCAUUCUGCCGCGCGCUGCUCUUCUUAUUAAAAAACAACUUAAAGUGAAUUAGCGAUCCAAGAUUCUAUACUUUAGUAUGGGGAUUGCAUGCAGUGCCUCGUGGUCAUUGGGUUAAAUUAAUUGAAGGUAUGCAAUUUGUUCAAUAUUUUAAUUAAGGAACAUUAGGGCUAAUUACCUUUUGGUAUUCAGAUUAGUGAUGUCAAAUGAAAGUAUGUUUUAUUUCACCUACUACAUGAAUUAAGCCUCUUUCUCUUUGUUGGCGUGCUCCAUCAUGAUACUCUAUAUAAUGUAAGUCCAUUAUCUUUGGCAAAAGUUGCACUUUAAAGACCUUUUUUUUUUUUUUUGGAAAGGAUUGUACUUUAAAGACAUGAAUCAUGUGCAUUGAAAUGUCUAAUUUUUUUUAAUGAUUUAAAAUUAAUUCAGAUAUUUCUCCUUUGUUUAGAUUGUUAUUUUUUAAAAAAAAAUUACUUUUUUUUAAUAAACUUAUUUUUCGAUACUUUUUCAUCUCAUAUAUAUCAAAUUAUUACGAUAUAUAUAUAUAUAUUUUACAAAAAUUUCAAAAAAUAGCAAUACAAAUGGGUAAAUGUCUCCUUCUUGGUUUUUUCUUGAGAAGCCAAGUGUGAUGCUCCAACGGUCCAACUUAAUGCCAUGGAACCACAUUAGUACGACGCCUAACAAGUUUCAAAGGUGACAUUUAAUGAUUGAAACUAUAGCACAAAUUGGAUCUGAUAUGAUGCUAUAAGUUAAGUAGGAGAUGACCGCAGGAGUAACUGGUGGAUACAAUUUUACGAAAGGCUGAAGUUUCAUCUAACCUGCUUGACCAAGCAAAUAUCCUCUAUUUUCAAUUUGUUGGUGAAAUUGUACAUUUUACGGUCAGCAAAUGUCACAGAAUGCCUACCUGAUCAUUUAGCCUAGUAUUGAUGCCCUUGUUUGUAUGGUCCAUCUACUUGGCCAAACACUGGGAAUCAUGUAUGCCUGGCUGAUUGCAAUUUGACAUAGACGGAUGCAUGGGGCUCAUUUAUGGUCCUCCAGGAGAAAAAUUCAGAAACAGGAAGAAAUGGAUGAUUCCUUCUUUUUCUUUUUUUUUUUUCUGUUUGUUUUUGGUUUAGAAUUCUACUUACUCUCGGGCUUAUGUACUCCAUUGCAACCCCAAGAAAAAAAAAAGAAUAAAAGGCUUUACAAAAAGAGUUUUCAAUGAGAAUUUCUCUUUUUCUUUUUCCUUUUUAAUUUCUUUGGGAUAAAGUGAUGGACAUUCAAUCAGGAUGAGAUAGGGGUAAAAAGUUCAGCGACUACCAAGAACUUUUCUAGAUGGAGUAUCUGCUGCACAAAUACUCAAGACCCCAUGCAGUGGCCGGGACCAACGACACUGGAGCCUUAGUAGUGAUGAGUCUUGACUUCUUUCUAAGCUUUUAGUGUAUUAGUAUUAGAUUAGAAAGGGUGGUUGUUGAGAGUUUGAAACUGGAAAGAUAAGGUGGAUGAUAGAUAAUACACCUUCUGGUCUUAGCAGAAACACCAAAGAAGUAUGAACAAACUCAACCAAACAGCAUAUCCCACAGGGCAUCAUGCUUGAUACCAUAUCAAAAGUAGGGCUUGCAAAAAAGUCAAGUCAUGAUCUAUCAACAUGAGAGCGACACAUCUUAUUCUAGCUUAUUGUAACUGUGGUUGGUGAUUAAUAUUUAUGACCCUUGCCAUUGUUUAUGGCAGCUGUUAAUGUCACAGUCUAAAUUAUUUUAUUUAUGUGAUCAGUCUCGUUUUAAAAUUUCAAAAUUUCCCUUCUUAAACCAUAAUGCAAGUUUGGCUUGUAAGGAGGAAUUUUGCCAUUUUAAUCAAAAUUGAUAGGGAUGUAAAUUUGGGAUGUGGCAAUAUCAUUUGAUAUUGUUUAUUCUACAAAUUAAAGAAGUUCGAUUCCAUUUCGCAGUUCUUUCUUGACAAAUGGGCAGUCAAAAUCUGUUGGUAGACAAAGCAAUCUACGAGUUAGUAUUCUAUAAUAUCAGCUCGUGGAGCUUAAAUUAUUUCAAGCCCCACAUGUUAAGAGCAACUGGGAAAAGCUUUCAAGACCAUGAAGUGUGGUCUUCAUGUGUUGGGAUCAAUAAUGGCGAAGAUGAUUCGUUAGUGGGGAACAUGGCUAUGGAAGUCAAGGCAGUUCAGCCCAUCUUAGCAACGUCCUAUAUGAAAUCUUAGAGCUUCCAUCGUGCUAGGGUUUCUACAUCUGCAACAAUCUGGAGUUUGAUCUUAAAGUCUUUCAAGUCUAAAUUUUACUGGUUUGCUGCAAUAUGUAUAUAUUGAGGCUGACAUUGUACAAAACCAUUUAGACGAACCUUCAUUUUUGUAGGUGAGAAAAUCUUCAUUUCACUGUAUUUUGCAGUAACGCUGCCUGGUGAAGCAUUAACCACUCACCAAGAAUUAGCAGCUCACAUCUCUUCAUUCAAUACACCCUUAAAUUCGAUUGUAUUCGGUUUCUUCUUCGCAUCGAGAUAAGGCGGUGCUAAAAAGUAUAGUCUUAUUAAAUGUCUCUUGCACUAUUAUCUUUCUUGGAUCACAUUAAAAGUUCAUACAAGAAUUGUGGUAAUAAUCAUAACAGCUCCAGAGCAGCUAAAUAGCAAUUCCCUGAACAACUGCUGAUGGCUGUGCCAUACAGCUCCCAGAUCGAACACUAUAUUAUACAAGUUCUUCGCAUUGACCAGCCAAUUACCUGAAUCCUGAGUAUUUCUUAAUACGGAUGGAAAGCUUUUGAUAGAACAUGCAUUAGGAAGAAUUCAUACUUGAAACUAAAGAGUGUGGUUUAGGACUAUUUUCAAUUUUUUUAGUUUUCGAUGUUGGUAAUUCUUGAAGGGUUUGGCUAAUGGGGUAUUUUGUGGGCAUUCGUUAAGAAAUACCCGAAGUAUUUAUGUUGUUGCAAAAGUGUAACUAAUUUGCGAAAGUGUCUAAAUGUAGAGGAUACGAUAAAUGUAAAUGUGUGCAUUCAUAUAAUACUAUGUGUAUAGUUUAGAUAUGUUAACGAAUAUCUAAUGGAUAAUUGAUUAAAAUGCUCCGUUCUUGAAAGGUUGGUUCAACCAAUGUGGCCUGAAAAUAAAUAUUCCUAAAGAUCCUUUAAGCAAUAUUUGGAUUGCCAUUUUUCUCCAAAGAAUUUUUAUAUUUUUUAUAAACAUAUUUUUAUCUCGUAUAUAUCAAAUUACUAUAAUAUACUUUCUACGUACCUCCAUAAAAUAGCAAUCCAAAUGGGCUUCCAAAAAUAAAAGCUAAACUAAGAAAACCUUUUCAUUGUUAGGUUGUACUUUGCGACUUCAAUUUAGGCAUCUGAAAGAUUAUGCCUUCUUUGGGCCCAGAAAUCAAGAAUCCUAGAAUUGCAAGUCCAUCUGAAAAUAGUAUUGUACACAAACAAGACAACGAAACGGGCCAUGAUCAUUGCAAAGUGCACGCUUAGGGCCCAAAUCACUUGGCAUCUAAUAUUUUUUUUUUUGUCCUUGAAAACUUAGACUUUUGAUAACUAAAGUAAACCCUGAAGGAGACCUCAAAAGCCGGAAACUAGUGAGGUUCCUUCAGGACCUUAACUACCCAAACCCCAAACCCUCCCGAACCGAUGUGGGAUAGAAACCCCACAGGGCACUUGGCAUCUAAUAUCUCUUGUGAUUUCCUACUUUUUGACGCGUUCACAACAAAAUUAUCCAUGAUUUGCAUCCAAAAUACACUUAAUUAAUGAUCCAAAUUUGACAUUUUAUUGCGUAUGCCAACCCAAUUACUUAGGAGCAUUGAUUGAUGACUCCUAUACAUCGAUAAUCCCACUAAAUUUUCUUUAUCCAGCUAUUUGGGGUUGCAAUUCUGUAAAAGUAUAUAGCUCAAAACAAAGGUAAAUAAUUUAAAACUGUUUUAAAGUUUAUUGCACUCUGGCAAAAUAUACGUAAGAAGAACUACUUUUUUAGUUGCAUUAGCAAUCAAAAUUUAAUUUAAGUUUUAAAAAAAAAAUAUAAUUUCAUGUAUUGAGUGUGGUUCAGAAAAAACGGAACUUAAAUUGACAGCAUAUUUUUUUGGAAAAUGGAAAAGCAGCAUCUGUUGGCAGUAUAUAGAAAAAGCAUAAAAAGGAAAAAAAAAAAACGUUUUCCGUAUAUACAGUUGUACGUAUAUUCUGAUCAUGAACCUACAGUUUACGCGCUAUAAUUCCACCUGUCGCCAGUAUCAUUGGAUUAGUCUACCAAGUGAUCAAACUCUAAACAUGGGAUUGACUGGUCCAUUUUUUUGGUCAAACUUUCUAAACAGCUAGCAGUUCAAAGUCAACACAUUUUAAAGACUAAGAGGUCCAACACCAACUUACUCUUGGGAUAUGAUUAGACAUUAGAGUACUUAUAAAAGACGAUCAGAAUAAAGUAAUCAACUAGAAUUAAAGAAGGUUGCUCCAUCGUGCGUUCCACUAUUAUACCAUAUGAAUUUUCUUGGUAUUUUAGUUAGUCUUGAUAUAAUGUGCUAAACUUUUGUUUGUCAAGCGAGAGACAGGAAUUAAUGAGGUUUUUGUUUACUUUUUAGUCCCUUUAGAAUUUUCAAAAACAAAUAAGGGCAUGUCAAAAGAUUUCUUGAGUUAAAAAAUAGUUAGAAUUGACUUGUCAAAGAAAUUAUCGUUAAAACCAUUGUACACGGAAAUCUCGUGAACAAACACAAAGUGCUCCUUUUAUGUUAAUAGGGACGAGAAAUCUCUUCCUCUUGUACUAUUGUUUACACUUUUCCUUGUCACUUAUGCGUGGUGAUAAAUUUAGGAAUUGAAGCACUUUUUGCUUAUUGGCAAAACUAAUACCAGGGAAAGAUUGGUAAACUAUAUAUAUAUAUAUAUAUAUAUAUAUAUAUAUAUAUAUAUAUAUAUAUAUAUAUAUAUAUAUAAAAUUGUUCAAAACAUCCCUCAUAUUUUGUAAAAUAACUUUUUUCAUCCCUCACUUUUAAAAGUGUAAUUUUACGUCCCUUACAAAUUCACAUUGAUCAAAUUUGAUUUCUACCUAGAUUUUUUACUAGUUUUUGGCCGAAAUCCAUCAUGUGCCUUGCACGUAGAGAUGUCAAAAUGGGUGACUUGGGCGGGUUUGGGUUGGGUAAAAUGGGUAAUGGAUAUAAGUGAGUCAACUCAUUUAUACCCAUUUAAUUAGAUGGGUAUAAAUGGGUAAGUCAAAAAAUGAAUUGGGUAACCCAAUUACCCAUUUAUAACUCAUUUAUUUUAACUUUUUGCAAACUCAUUUAAAUUCAUUUUUGCAAACUAAGUUAUCAAUUUAUACCACUCUUUGUACCAUCAUUAGUUUUAAAUAUUUACUUAUAAUGUUCAAUAAACUUAAUUACCAAUUUUUUUCAUUUAUACUCUAUGUCACAAAAUUACCUAUUAUUUAAUAAUUGAAUAAUACGAAUAUAAAAAUUUGAAUUAAGUACUAUAAAAAUUAAUAUAAAAACUUAAUCCAAAAAUUUUGAACCCCUAACAUUUUUUUCAUAUAUAAAUUUAAAAUUUCAUUUUAUAAAGAUAAGAAAAUAGGCUAAAAUUUAUCAUAAAUUGGUAAUGCUAAAAAAUGAGCAAGUUAACAAACUAAGAAAAAAUAAAAUAAUAAGAUAAAACCAACAAAUAAUAAUAAUAAUAAUAAUAAUAAUGUUAACAUAAUGACAAAAUGAAAAAUUUGAAAAAAAUAAGGUAGGGGAAAAGAAGAGACUUGGGGAAAGAGAAUUUUAAAUGGGUUAAUUGGGUUUGAUGGGUUACCCAAUAAUACCCAUUUAAUAAAUGGGUAUUAUUGGAUAACUCAUUUAUACCCAUAUACAAAAAUUUAAGAUACCCAUACCCAUCUAUUCAUGGGCGGGUAUGGAUAAAUCUAGUUAAUUGGGUUGAUUUGCCACCUCUACUUGCAAGUGAUAAUUUUUGAAGGGUAAAUUUGUUAAAUCAAAUUUCACAUAAUUUGAUUUUUUCAUCCCUCACAUUUUUCAAAAUGAAUUUUUUCGUCUCUCACAUUUCAAAAAAUGAAAAAAAUGAAUUUUUUCAUCUCUUAUUGAUCAUGUGUACGAAUGGUUUCUUUUUUCCUUUUAAACCCAUAAAUAUAUCUAUUUAAUUUUACUUGAACAAUAAGAAUAUAUCUGUAUUUGAUUUCAUCUACAACUACAAUUAGCUUAUUCAGGUGAAAUUAAAUAAAGAUAUAUUAUAUGCUAUUUGUAUUGUUCAGGUGAAAUCAAAUAGGCAUAUAUAUGAGUUUUCAAAAAUAAGAAAAGACCAUCACACACAUGAUCAAUGAGGGAUGAAAAUUUUUAUUCUGCAAAAUGUGAGGGAUGAAAAAAUUUAUUUUGUGAAAUGUGAGAGACUAUGGAUCAGAUUAUAUGAAAUGUAAGGGACUAUGAAUCAGAUUAUUUGAAAUGUGUUUGACAAUUUUGCCCUUAAAAAAUAAUCAUGUGCAAGACAUGUGGCAGAUUCCAGCCAAAAUUAAUCGAAAAUCUAGAUAGGAACCAAAAUUGAUCAAUGUGAAUUUGUAAGGAACGUAAAAUUAUAUUUUUAAAAAUAAAGGACGAAAAAAAGUAUUUUACAAGGACAUUUUGAACUGUUUUUCCAAAAAAAUGCAAGAAAAAAUUGGGAAAGAAGUUUUUUUUUUUCUUUUUUGGUCGAAUUGACCUGGUGGAAGACAAGUUAUAGGAUAUCACUUAUCACUUUGCUUGCCACUAAAAUGAUGGAAGAUGGAGAAACAGAUUUAGCGGCAAAUUUGUAGGCAUCAAAGGUUAGUGGAACGCUACAUUAUGAUGCAUAGCAUCCUGCUUCCCGUCCUUUAGGUUCCAACCAAUCGUGGUCUAGAUGAAAAUAAAAAAAAAAAGUUAUUUACACUCCUAUUUUUAUUAUUCAUUCUUUCACUAUCAUUUUAAUUAUACAGUUUUUAUUUAUUAAAUUAUAUGAUAAAACAAAUGAUAGGACUGUAAAUAACAAAAAAAAAAUAAAAUGUAAAUAACAUUUUUCAAAAUUAAUUGAUGAAUACAAUGUCUGAAAUGAUGUACAACUCAAGGAAAUGGGAACCCAUUUGUCACUACACAUCUAAAGAAGGAAAAAUCAAUUUGUCACCACUUAAUCAUAUUCUCCCAUUGAUUUUCUCUACCUACUCUUUGUGGCUCCCUACGUAUGAUUGUACAUAUCCUAACUUAUAUGUUUUACUAUAUGUCAAUUUUCAUUACAGUAUUUGUUAGUAAUUCAUUAUAAUAUUAUUCAAUUAACUGUUUUGUUAUAAUCUGUACGUAUUGAUUGUACCAAUGUGGAUUAUCAAAAUGAAAAAAAAAAAGAAGAAGUAUGCAUAUUACCAUGGUUCUGCUUUCUUUGCUCAAUUUUCUGUUAAAACUGCUUAUAGAAUAUAUAUUCUUCCUUUUGCAAGACUAGUAGCCAAGGUUUUUCGGAAUUAGAAACGUAAAAUGGGAAAUUAGUUUUUUGGGCUAUCCCUUGUUUAGCUCAUUAUCUUCUACUAUUAAUUGUAAAACUUGAUUAUAAUAGUUCUUUGAAUAACCAUGAUGAUAAUUAGAGCAAUUCUUGUUUCUAAACCUGCAACGAACAAGACCUUUGCUGCCUAUUGGAAGUAGGUAGCAAUGAUUUCCAGCUUCCAAUGGUUGAAUUUCAGCAGUUCACAGUAUGAACCCAGAGACAAGAAAAUGUUGACUAGGCUUAAUUCAAGAAGAAAAAUCUGAUAAAUUGAAGAAAAUGAGGUAGACCGUCAAUAAAAGAUGUCGGUGUGAUGUUAUAUAUUUCUCCUCCUUUCUUCGUACGAUAUUACCCGUUGAAUAAAACAUAGCUGAAAGGAAAAAAAAAAAAAAGUCAGCUAUUUUCCUUGAUUUUGCUAUUCAACUGAUCGUUUGAAGAUUCAUCCAGCAUUUCGUUUUGGAAUAUUGAAUACCCCAUUACCAUUGAAAAAAAAAAAAAUUACUCCAUUACUUCCAGAAUUCGUGGGCUGAGCACAGUUAUUUCUCAUGGAAAAAGAAGCCUUGUGGAAAAUAUUUCCCAGUUGUUAGAAGUCAGAAUGAUUGAUUUGGCUCGAUUCAAUGGACAGUGAAUUUCUUACAGUUCCACUUCAAUUGUUCAAUACUUUGUUUCAGUCAUGAAGAAAAAAAAAAGUCUUCAAUUGGAAUGUACAAGUCUAUUUAGUCACCUGCUUUUCUAUUUAAGCUGAUAUAGGAUAGGUGGAUAUCAUUUGCAAAUAAAAUGUCUAGUUGCGUGUUUUACCGGUGUUUAUCUUUGGUUUUGCAAAACUAUUUUGCUUUUACAACGUAUAUAACACUAGUCAUUUUCGUGUUUAGGAUUAUCCGACUUUUUGAAUUGGGGUUUGACAAGUCCAAAGUCGACUUACGAAAAAAAAGAAAAGGAAAUUUCAAGUUUUUGGAUUUCAAAUUUCAAGCUCAUAUUAUGAGAUUCAUAUUCGACUCAGAGAGACAUUAUUGAUGUUUUGAACCUAUUUCGAUUGUAUCAAUUAUCUCAGAAUAUAUAUUAAUUUUUUAUGUUACAAUGUGUAUAAUAUAAAUUUAUACAAUGUUGUAUGUAUUAUGUAUUUUUGUACAGAUAAUUAUUCCAGUCAAACUUUAAUCUAACUCAACCCGUUAAAACAUGACUAGUUUUUUUUUUUUAUUUUGAGCCAAACAGGUCGAGUUGAGGCUAACUCAACCCGUUCACGGUGUUCGGGUGUCAAACGUGUCGUGCCCGUGGACUACAAAUCAUGAAGCCAAUACUAAAGUAAAUAGAUUAUGCUUUCACUAAUUGCGUUGGACCUGUCACCUGUGACCUUAAAGAAUAUACAAUUGCAUCGUCAAAACAAAGAGUAUAAUAUAUGCUCUCUCUGGCCAGCAUGUUAAUGUCCCGCUGUACAAAGAAGGAAUUCUCUUGAAUAGACUAACCUUUGUGGUUCAGAAAAAUAGAAGGGGGACUAACCUUUGCGAAUUUUUGACUAUUCCUCCCAAACAAACAAGUACCUUAUUUAACGCCUAUUCCACACGUUGCACAAUGGUCAUCGCUUGCAUCAUCAUUAUCAUUCGUUUGGUUUCCUGCACUUUCCAUAAACAACUGUGAGAAGAAAAGUUGUUCUUCCAACUGCUCUUGUGCACGUUUCGUUUGGUUUAUUACGGGCAAAAAGAGCUUGAACCAAGACCACACAUGUACAAGUUAAUAAUUGGUUUUCUGCUCCUUGUACGACAAAAUAUUUACCUAGUUUGGAAAAUGUGGGAAAAAUGAAAACUUUAACAGACGUCAGUGGGGAUUAACGAGAGUUGAUAAAGGGGUAUUGCAAGAAGUCUAGAACUCGUAUGUAUGUCUUGGCCCAACGAGGUUUAAGCUGGUCAAACAUUUUGUGGUUGCUGAAUGCGUUUGUGUGGAUGGCAGACGUCCACGGGUAUGGAUUUCAUUUGGGAAAAUUGGGAUUGAACAUCACCCGGGAAACCUAAUUUUGAAGUGAAUUCUCAAUCAUUUUAUUUUGGAAAAAAGAUUUUUUUUUUCUCUUAAUAAGCCCUAAGCCCUUUGCCCUUUGGUUUGAUCUUCCCUCAGAGUAACAAAUGGCCCUUGGUCUCUAAAUUACAACUAGUAGUAAAAUUUAAAUAUGAGAAAGAGAAAUACAUAGUAGGAGUGAAACGCGAAUCAAACUAUUCGAUGUUUUGAAAUAAGUUUGUUUUGAGUAGAAACUUAGUUUAUCAAUUAAUUAAACUAAAUAUGAACACCAUUUGAUGUUUCAACUUAAAUUUUGAUCGAUUGGUAAUAAAACUUGAAAUUUAUAUAUAAAAAAUUUGAACUGCUCAAGCUCAAUUUAACAAGAACUCAUUUGAGUUCAACUCUGUAAUAAAGAAAAAAAAUCAAAUUUAAACAUAAUUUUAAAUUCGUUAAACUAAACAAAUAAAGUUAAAUAUUAGAGUGUCGAUUUAAUUAGUUUUUUACUUCUCUGGGCAAGGGGAGUAUACACAAAUAGUAAUAAUGAGAAUUAAAAAUUACUAGAAAACUUGAUCAAUGACCAUGGUAUGCAGUUCUCAAACUUCAUGGUCCAAUUGUCUCAGAGGGCCCACAGAAAAUCACAUCUCAGAAUACCAAUAAUAGUUGGUAAGUGCAUCGUAUUCAAGUAUGCAUCUGUAGCAUAAUCCUCUUCAAUUUCUAAAUCUUGAAUCUCAAAGCACAUUUUUCUGCUCAAAAGUGAAACCUAUUCCCUUCAGCUUCAGCAGACGUGUAGAAUGAGCUCUAGAAUGCGCCAUUCAAUCAACAGAAUCAAUAAAGUACUGGACAUAUACUUGCAAAAUGGACCACUGACUUUGUUACCGUCUUCCACUUGCUCUACAGGCUACAGGUUCUUCGCAAGUUGAAGGGGCUUUUCAUAACUAAAUGAGUCGUAAAUGCGAAAAAACAGUAGCCUCAUGGCCAAGAUCAACCGGGUAGUAAUUGCUCUUUUCUUCUUAAAACUCAAAAGGGCAUUUCGAAAGCAAGAGAUGUCUGUCAGACUAUAAACUGACUUUUCCCUUUCAAGUGUAUCAUCAUUAAUCAAUGCUGUGGACGUUCAAUAUAUCGGACACAAGAAGAGCAGUCAAUUCAUCAAAUUUUCUUAUGACAUAUAAAAAAUAGAAAUCCGUUUUUUUUUUCCCCAGUUUUCAACUGCUAUAUAUUGUAAAUCCAUUAGUCUAAGAUAUAAGGCAGACAUGGACAGCCAGCCACUUGUGUCACAGUCCAUUUACUAAGUCAAUCCAUCUUCUUUUCAUAUACUCGCAUUCAAAUUCUCUACCUUCCUUCUGAGUUUAUUUCUUUCCGACCACAAUAAUGUAAUAAACCAGUUAUCUUCUGAUCUCUCUGACUCAAUAUCUUCCAUUAGUUCAUGAUUCCAGGUGCACCAAAGCUCUAGUGGCAUGUAUAGUUCCGUAGAAUUCUUUAACUUAUGCAUAUUCUUUUUCAUCCUUCUGGUAGAAAAGUCCUCUGCUGCUCAUUACCAGUAUGAAGCAUGUGUUCCAAAAGCUUGUGGAAAUCUCAGCAUAAAGUUUCCAUUCCACAUUCGAGGUCUGCAAGAAUCCUAUUGUGGCCACCCUGGAUUUGAACUCACUUGCAGCAACUCUCCAGCGAUUCAUUUAACCGAAGAUGUCUAUGUGAUUGAUAACAUUCAGUAUGAGAAUCGAACUUUUCGGGUACACAACGAGGCAGUUUCAAAUGUCGGAGGUUGUCUACCACAGAUUAGAAAUAUAUCAGAAGACUCUCAGCUCGGUAUAGUUGAUACUUCAAGACUUCAUUUGCUAUCAAACUGCAAUAGCAAACUGCCUGAGGUACUUUCCAGCUACAAAGUUGAUUAUUGUGAUCCUUUUAAUAGAGAGGAUUUGGGUCUGGUAAUGUUAGGAGAGGAUAAAAACUUGAACAUUGCACUCCAAGAAUGUAACACAAAUGUCUUGGCACCUGUGGAAGUUGAUAAAAAUGGAGGAAACGGGAUUGUAGACUAUGAAGGGCUGUUGAGAAAGGGAUUUCUGUUGAACUGGAAAGUAGCUGACUGCAGCGAAUGUGAGCGAAGUGGUGGUCGUUGUGGCUUCAAUGAAACCGAUGAUCGCAUGCGGUGUUUUUGCCCUGAUAGUCCUCAUUUGGGGAAUUGUAAACCUCGUAAGUACUUUGACCCCUUUAUGAGUAUUUUCUCCAAAAGGGUUCAUUAUCAUAUAUUGCUGCAAAAUUCAAGUGAAUUCACUGAACUUCACAUCAGGCUUGCCCUCUAGAAAAGUUGCUCUUGUGUCCAUUGUUUGAGCAGCCAUUUGAUCUGCUGUCCUAUUGAUUAAACUGAUUAAUAGGAAUACUAAUCUGCGUCAUGGUCUUCUGAUAUAUUAGUUUAAGUUAUUAGUGUAAUCCGUUUAGUGGGCUUUACGCGACAAUCAAUGGUAUUAAUUUGUAGCAGAUCUGGUUUGAUGCUUUAGCCAUACGCAACUCUGUGAUCACGCUUCACGACCACAAACCUUGAACAUCUUUUGCGUGAUCGAAGUUGCGAAUUUUUCGGCUAUGAUAUUAAGCCUCUUCCAAAGUAUCCUUCCAUUUCAUUUUCGAUUCUGCGAAAUAUCACGCUCUACAGACGCACUAAAAACCCCGAAACAAGCCAGAGUCCAGCUGAUUAUUUCUUCAGAUACCAAACACAUGACGAAUGUGACGGCCCUGAUAAUGGCUUCACCAUUUACUAUCAAACUCCACAACAUCAGGCUCCAAUACUGAACUUCAGUGGAGACAUUCAAUCACUCUGUAAAAAUGUCACUCUUCCAAUGGUUUCCAGCGACAAUCACUCAGAGAACGCCGACUUGUUUCAGUUAUUGACUGCUGAGUUCGAUCUUGAGUGGCAUCUCUCUGAAAAUUGCUCUAAUUGUCAACUUGAAGGACAUUGAGUGUCUGACUGACUGGAGUCAGCCCCGGAGAUCUGCGUUGUGCCUAUUCUAAAAAAUGCAUUUUAAUGCUCUUUUAUUAUUUGUUCUGCCUGCAUUUGUUUCUUAAUUGGCAGUAUCAAAAUCUUCUUUCGUGGUUGUUCGUCAUUCUGGAUGCAGUACAUAAUCCUUCCUAUCUUGGAACUCAAUUCACGAUGAUCAAAAACGUGAACCACAGAACUCUAACCUUAUGUGGACCUCAGAAAAUUGUUUCUUGGUAUGCAUUAACAAUUUGUAUAGAUGGUUUUAACAACUCUGUGUUUCAGGUCAUCUUGAUUGAUCAUCGUGAAUUGAGUUCCCAGAUCAGCUAAUUGUAUGUGUGAAGUGCACUUUCUUUGUUGAAGAGUCAAACGAGUCAAGUUUUUCUGUGGUUUAAGUCAUCGUGGAAAUUGGGAUGGAAAAUUCCUGCCUUUGAUAUGGACCAGCCAGCAGUUUUCCACAAGUCUUCGUUAAAAUUUCCAAGUCAACUGGCGUGACAAAGAUGGAGCUGGUUUUUCCCUUCUCGUCGUUACUUAAAGAGUACCUGAAGCUUAGCGUAUUAAAACUAAAGUAGUCCUCACGAUUUGAUUUCCCUUAGGUUCUCUGUUUCGCUUUGGUAGGUUGCUAGGUAAUAGAUAGGAAGUUUGAGUAUGGGUUUUGGAUUGUUUUUUGGUUUCUUUUUUAUUUCUCAUGUCCUUCCUCUCUCGGUCUCGGCUGAAGAAGAUAGCAAGUUCACUAAUACUACUUGCCCAGAGAGUUAUAAUUGUGGAAACCUUACUAAUAGCAAGUUCACUAAUAGCAAGUUCAUCAUUUUGUGUCUGUUAAUGGUACAUAAUUAGGCAGCAACUUUCAUUUUUCUCACCUUGGCAGUCAUGAUUCUGCUAAUUUUAUUGAUCAAGAAUGUUUCUUUCUGUUUCACUUCUUCCUUCUUUUUCACAGCCAUUUAAUUUUGUUGGGGCAGGUUGUGUUCCACGUUCCACAAUCUAGCUAGUGGUAUAGAGAUUGUGGAGAUUAGGUGCGUGAUUGGCUGUUAAAAAUCAAUUCUUGUGACAGAUUUGCAUGAAAUUGACAAGGAAUUCUUUUCUUGUUUCCUUUGUGUCUAUUUCUUCUUUUGCUUUUGAUUUUGGCCCCGGUGGUGCCACAAGGACGGGGUGCCAUAAGCUACGCUACAUCAGUCAAGUCCUUGAGAACUUUUGGGAGAAGGGGCAGUUUCAAAUAAUCUCCAUGUCUUCUCCAGUACGGGAAAACAAAAAAAAAAAUGUAAACAAGAAGCUUCCUGGUUUUGAUGUCACCUUCAACUUUUUCUGAAUGUGUCUUGACUGAUUCUUAUUACGGAACAAUGAUAUAAAAUUAGGUAGAGAUGAGAUCACACAUCCAAUUAGCUGAUCUGGGAACUCAAUUCUCGAUGAUCAAUCAAGAUGACCUGAAACAGAGUUGUUAAAACCAUCUAUACACAUUGUUGUUAAUGCAUACCAAGAAACAAUUUUCUGAGGCCCACAUAAGGUUAGAGUUCUGUGGUUCAAAAACGUGAAGUGCACUUUCUUUGUUGAAGAGUCAAGCAAGUCAAGUCUUUCUGUGGUUUAAGUCAUCGUGGAAAAUGGGAUGGAAAAUUCCUGCCUUUCAUAUGGACCAACCAGCAAUUUUCCAUAAGUCUUCGUUAAAAUUUCCACAAGUCAACUGGCGUGACAAGGAUGGAGCUGGUUUUUCCUUUCUCGUCGUUACUUAGAGUACCUGAAGCUUAGCGUAUUAAAAUUAAAGUAUUCCUCGUGAUUUGAUUUCCCAUAGGUUCUCUGUUUCGCUUUGGUAUGUUGCCAGAUAAUAGAUAGCAAGUUUUGAGUAUGGGUUUUGGAUUGUUUCUGGGUUUCUUUUUGAUUUCUCAUGUCCUGCCUCUCUCCGUCUCGGCUGAAGAAGAUACUACUUGCCCAGAGAGUUUUAAUUGUGGAAACCUUAGUGGGGUAGGCUUCCCUUUCUUCCAUUCGUCACAUUAUCCUCAUUGUGGCUUUCUCAAGCUCAACUGUGAGGCAAAGCCAUCUCCAACAAUUGUAUUUGACUUUGCAGCAGAUCAAUGGGUUGAAGCUUUAGCCAUAGGCAACUCUGCGAUCACGCUCCACGACCACAACCUUGAACAUCUUUUGCGUGAUCGAAGUUGCGAAUUUUUCGACCAUGGUGUUAUGCCUCUUCCAAACUUUUCUUCCAUUUCAUAUUCGAUUGUGCCAAAUAUCACGCUCUACGGAUGCACUAAAAACCCCGAAACAAGCCAUAACCCAGCUGAUUAUUUCACCGGAUACAAACACUAUGACGAAUGUGUUGAGCCUGAUAAUGGCUUCACCAUUUACUAUCAAACUCCACAACAUCAUGCUCCAACAUUAUACCCUAAUAAAACCAUUCCGUCAUUCUGUACCAAUGUCACUCUUCCAAUGGUUUCCAGCGACAACUACUCGGAGAUCACCGACUUUUUUCAUUUAUUCACGGCUGAGUUCGAUCUUGAGUGGCAUCUGUCUGAAGAUUGCUAUACUUGUGGCGAUGAAGGACGCGAGUGUCUGGUUGACUGGAGGCUGCCCUGGGAUCCGCGUUGUGGCUAUUCUGGAAAAGGUUAGCAAUGGUUAGACAUCAGAAGCUGUCGUAUCAACUAAUAUCCUAGAUACUUGAAUAUGCAAUAUACUUAAGCCUGGAUACAUUUACCUGUGCUCUGUUCUGUUCUGUUUACAAUUUAGUACUUCUAAGGUGAAAAUUUUUUUGGAUGUCAUUUCCUCAUGUAAGUCAUUUUUUUGGGUAGCUCAAACUCUUUCCUCUGCUUGAUCUUCAACUAGAUCGACCCCCUUUAAUCAAAGUCAUUUCAAACCUAAGGAUUAAUGUUAGCAAGUUAGCAUUCUUAUUCUGCGCGUCUCUCUGUGCACGCUCGUCCCUCCGUGAGUGUGUGUGUGUGUGUGUUUUUUUUUAUAAGUAAAUAAGAAAUGAGGAGGCGAAAAAAAGAUCAAAAUUUAUAGCGUGAUUCGAUUAGUAAAUGACUUUACAUUUGGAUAUUAGUUAAAGGGGCUUAAAUCCACUUCAGUACUUGCUGAUUUGCUAGUGAUCAUGCACCAUCCAUCUCAAUUUUAACGAAAACUUUGAUUCUUUUUCAAGGGAGUAACAGAGACUCAACAAAAACUCUUGACGGUUAGAAUGGUGCUCAAUAAUGAAUCCAAAGGAACAAGCACGAAUAAAAACGCAUUACCUACUAGUUGUUUCUCAUAUGAUCUUCUUUACUCUGCUACUCUUUCAUAAGUUUCAAUGUUACAAUGUGAAUUGCAAAGCUGCACUUUGUUUAAUGCAUGCACUUUGGAUGAGUGACUAAUUCUCCACUUAGCAUUUAGCGUAUUAUACAUGCCAGUUAUUUAUGGAGGUCUCACUGAAUAUUUCAUUACAAGCCUGAGAUUUUUAUUGCAACGGAAAACUGAUUAUCAAACGACAACUUGCAGGAACAAAGAAACAUUUGGUCAUUGUAGUGGCAACAGGUAAUCAAUCUUGGCCAUUGCCUCUUUCAAGCUCACACUUUCUAAGCCUUCUUAUUGUCUUCCAACCUAACAUCUUAUUUUGGUUUGCAUGCACACUAUUGGUGGUUUGUCAAAUCUUCGUCGCCCCAUAUGCCUCGACUUUCAUUCAAAAAGUUAUCCAAACAAUAAAGGAAAAUUUAGCCCUCUAAUUAGUAGGAAUUUUGUUUAACGUGCUCUUGUUCUACAUACAGCUGCUUCUGCUGGUGGUCUUGGGAUUUUAGUAAUUCUUGCCUACUUCUUCCAAAGGAAGCAUUCAUUUCUGCGCAUUUGGAGUAAAAGGGAGAAGUUCCAAAAUGUUGAAGACUUUCUCAAGGACUAUGGAUCACUGGCACCCAAAAGGUACCACUACUCUGAGGUAAAGAAGAUGACUGACUCCUUCAAGAUCAAGCUAGGCCAAGGCGGCUAUGGGUGUGUGUACAAAGGAAAGUUGGAAGAUGGAAGUCCUGUGGCAGUAAAAGUUUUGAAGGAAUUGAAAGGAAGUGGAGAAGAAUUUGUUAACGAGGUUGCAAGUAUUAGCAGGACUUCCCACAUCAACGUUGUAACUCUAUUGGGCUUCUGUUUUCAGGGUCGCAAAAGAGCUCUCGUAUAUGAAUUCAUGCCUAAUGGAUCCCUUGAGAAAUUCAUUUAUGGUGGAAAAUCCUUGACAAACCGUCAACUGGGAUGGCAAAUUCUGUACAAAAUUGCAGUAGGCAUAGCUCGAGGACUGGAGUAUUUGCAUCGUGGUUGCAAUACCAGAAUACUCCAUUUUGACAUAAAGCCUCACAACAUCCUCCUAGAUGAAAACUUCUGUCCCAAAAUCUCUGAUUUUGGCCUUGCUAAACUCUGCCUUCAAAACGAGAGCAUCGUCUCAAUACUGGGCGCACGAGGGACAGUUGGAUAUAUUGCUCCUGAAGUUUUUUGCAAAAACAUUGGAGGGGUAUCUCAUAAGUCAGAUGUCUAUAGCUACGGGAUGAUGGUUUUCGAGAUGGUUGGUGGGAGAAAGAACAUUGAUGUUGGAGUAGUAGAUCAUAGCAGUGAAAUAUACUUUCCUCAUUGGAUUUAUGCAAGACUAGAUCGAGGUGAACAAGACCUCGGACUGCAUGGAAUUUCCAAUGAAGAGGAGAACGAACUUGCGAGGAAAAUGAUAAUUGUAAGCUUGUGGUGCAUACAAACUGAUCCUGUCAACAGGCCAUCAAUGACUAAGGUUGUGGAGAUGUUAGAAGGGAACCUCCAGGCCUUGGAAACCCCUCCCAAACCUUUCUUGUCUUCUCCAGCAAGAGCAUCAGAUGAUUCUUCAACAAUAUACACGUCUGGAACAGUCUCAUAAUUUUUUGUAAUAUUAGCUUUUUCACCAAAAGAUGUAGUGGACUCGUGUUUCUGCUAAAAUUCCUCAGCGUAAUUUUCAAUCCGAAAGCAGGAGCUCCCGCUUCACGCCUCUAACGGCGAGUAAACGAAGACGCUAAGCUUCUAUAGAUGUAAAAGCCACGUUUUUAUGAUUUACUUGUUUCAGACUUCUAGAGGUGCCUGAAAACUUGAUUCUUGAUUUUACAAGUUUGCGCCUUCUCUAUUUGGUUAAAAAAACUUGAUGGUUCUUUUUCCUUAUUACUGCUAAUUAUAGUUCAUAACUAUAAUGGAGUCUACGGAAUUCACCUGCAUAAAUUCUCUUGAUAAUUACUUGUAAGCAUCGAGAAAUAUGAACCGACAAAAGAGAAAUUAUCCAUUGCAUCCAGGUUCUUUCCUGUGUCUUUUGCAGAUUGAGAAAUGGUGAUUGCAAAUCUGCAGUGGUCAAACAAAAUUGCAGAUCUCCAAGGCAGAUGAUAUUUGCAGUCCAAAAUUGACUCCAGAGGCUUCAAUCUAAUUUUGAUAUAGUUUUAUGACAAUUUUGCACACUAAUAAAAGAACCCAGCCAUGGCGAUCGCCACCUUCAUCAUCAAACGCCCAAAAUCAUCCCAUAAUAGACUUUAGAGCUUCUGUAAACGCAUUCCUAAAGCAACAUCCACUACGAUGAAAAAUUUCUCCAUCAUCACUCCGCCACUCUCAUAAGAACGUGCGUGCACAUACACACACGCAUAUAUAUAUAUAUAUAUAUAUUAAUAUACAUAUAUAUGUAUUUUAUUAUAUAUUUAUGACAUCAUUUGCUUCUUUAAUAUUUUUUUCAUCUGAAUCUAAUCAAUUGAACUCAAUGAUGUUUGUACCUUGAACACAAUCGAGUGUCCAGUCCGAGUUUUAAAACACUGACUUGUAUUGUACGAGCGAGUCCCUUUUUUCAAGUUGUGUGAACGAAAUAAUUCAAACUUGGAAUGAUAUUCGGUUGUGAGUGUAUCGAGGAGAAAAUGUGAUAUCUAGUUUUUGUAGUAGUAGUGUACUAGUGUUACAGAACCAAGAGUUGUAUUUGUUGGCAGAGUACAUGAUCCCCUGCAAUUUUGAUUAUCACAUGACCAAGUAUAUUUCGUUAAUUCAAGAUAAUCAUUUAUGAGUUUGUUCCAUUUUGAUCAUGUGAAACUUAUGUUGCUAGUUACUGCAGUUAAAAUUACGUGGACUAUUCCACUCGCGGCCUCCAAAUAUUGGCGUUAGCAUUAAAGGAUAUAGCAAUCAAUUAGUUUCCUAGACGCUCAGCCCAAAAAAUAAAAAAUAAAAAAAAAUGAACUUGUUAGAAAAACAAAACUAUAAAAUGAGGUUUGACCAUAUUAUAUUAAAGUGCCAUUUGAAAACAUAAAUUAGAUGACAAGGAUGUCCUACAACAGAGACAAAAAGAGAUAUGCAAGCCAUCAUGGGAAAUUCUGUCCCAUAUUAAACAAUCAUAAACCUAAUCAAACACUCCCAACUCUCUCUUUCUCCUUAGACCAAAAUGAUUUAGCCGUGGAACUCGAAAAAAAUAUAUAAUGCAAUACACACUUCUACAUCAUAAACCUAAUUAGCUUCUUCCUUACUUUUUGGUCUCGUGACUUUGCCUUUUUCUUUUCUUUGCCAAUUUGUUCUUCGAGGCUUUAUGUGGACUAAUCAAUCUUUUAUGCUACGCUCUAGGCAAAGUGGGUCACAAAUUCUAACUUUGUAGUUUGUCCCGAAAUCAUCAUAUUUAUCGAAAUCUGAUUGCGUUGAGUCGUUUUGAGUGGAUUAGUGACCGCCAUGAUUAAAGAACAUCAUCAUCUAGAGCCUAGAGGAGGAGCUCCAGAAGAUUGAACGAAAAAGCUUUUCAGUUUUGAUUGAGAACUUCGAAAGAAGCAAAAGCCAGACGCUUUAUUCUUGUCGCUGGCGAUGCUUUGUAAAGGUCUCAAGGUUCUAUUAUUAUUGCUGUAACUCCACUUUUUUUUUUUUUUUUUUUUGGGGUUUCCAAUUUAGCUUUUGGAAUAAAACCAGCAUAGCCUAUUUUCUAAUCGUGUUCAAAUUUACUGCAUCAGUCAUAAUUUACAGAAAGUGGGUCCUUUCUACUAUACUUACAGCCGCUCCAUUUUAAGGGUUUGGUUUUUUAAGUUGCAAAAUCUUGUGUAAUCCUUUCGAGAAGGCCAGUGGAAUGUUUCCCGACAACCAUUUUAUUCUAUAAUUAGAAAAAUAUAUUGUGUACAAUUUGGCGUAAGGUUACCAAAUUGCUUUCUAUAAUUAGAUAUAUAGAAUAAGAAAAAGGGUAAGCUUAGGUAAAAACACAUUUUUAAGGAAAGAAAUUUUUAUGACAUAUUACACCUACUCAAUAUAUGGAUGAGACGGGUGGGAACAGUUUGGGAAGAAAAGGUACAAAUGAUAAUAAAACAUAGGAAGGCACAAGUGAGAACCAGUUUCCGAUGCACAUUUGCUUGUAUGUUUUUCGUUAUUUUGACAAAAAAAAAAACCGAAAAACAAAUAAAACACGUUUCAUUUUCUUAUUAAAAAUAAAAUCUUCUCAUUUUGAGAACCUACAAAUUUUGUGUUAACACUUAAUAUGAGAUGGACUUCCUUGCCACGAUGGUUUGAUUGAUUGACUUCCAAAUUCCAGUAAGAUAAGGUCCAAAUGAAAUGCCUGGCUUUGGCCUGCUAGGAAGCAGUAAAUGAAUUAGUAAACUGCAUGUUUACUGAUUUCAAAGGUGAGUUUUUGUAGUCAACGCAAAAAAAAAAAAAUCAAUGAAACAUUAGUAAUUCAGGUUUAGUAAGCACUAAGAAAACUGGGCUGCAAACGAAUCGAGCCGGCUCGCGAGCGGCUUGAGUCAAGCUCCACUCGAAAUCGAGCUCGAACUCGAAUUCAAAAUAUUAAGCGAGUCUAAUAUUAAGCUCGUUAGACUCGCGAGUUCGAGUAUAUAUAUAUAUAUAUUUUUUUAAUUUUAAAUAUAUAUAUUUUUUUAUUUUAAGUAUAUAUAUAUUUUAUUUUAAUAAUAAAAUUACAUAUAUAUUUUAUUAUUUUAUUAUUUAUUAAAAAAAUAUUAUAUUAUUUAUUUUUUAAAAAUAUAAAAUAAUUAUUUUUAAUUUUUUCAAACUCGAGUUUGAAAUUAUGAAUUCGAGUUCGAUUUUAAUAAAAUUGUAUCGAGAUCAAAUCUCGACUCGACUCGUUGCACUCCGUUAGAAAACUGAUGCAGAGCAUGCGGUGUCGGAAAAUGGCAUGGAAGUACGGUAAAUUAUCGCAAAGGGCAAAUCAAGCCUUUGGGCCAUCCCAUCAUUUCUGCAGCUCUCCCCUGCACAGACUCACAAAGUUUGCAUCGUACCGUUGCCUCUCUCAUCCCAUAACAACUCUUCAUCAUAUGCCCUUAAUUGUAUUACAAAGCAUGUGUCACCAAAAUUUCUUUCGAGUUUCACGUUAAAAUCUCAAAUUCGGCUCAAAUUUGAGUUUGAUAAAAUUGAAUUUAGCUCAAUUCAAUUAAAUUAAAGUUCUAUUAAGCUUGUUUGUAAUUUUAUUUACAACAAAAAAAAGGAAGACAUAUUUCAGCUUUUUUCUUAAUGGAGAAGUUUUUUUUAAACAUAGUGACCGUUCUUGAAUAUAAAACUCGUGAAAUUUUGGCUUAACAAAGAAGCUCGUUUAAAUUCAAAAUAUAAAACUAUGCUGUUGGACGAAAAAAGAAAAAAAAAAAAAAGGGUAAUCCGUACCUAUGAUGUUGAAAAACAAAAAAGUCUGUUAUAUUCUUAUGAGAAACACCCAAACUUAUGUUUGUUCUUUCAUUUCCUUUUUCCUAUGCGCGGCAACAUACCUCAACUUUAAUCUUGUUAACGUUUUAAUGGCCGGUUAUAAUUUUUUUUUUUUUUUUUUGCAAAAUAUGAAACCAAUUUUGCUAAGCUGGUUUGGAAUUUGGAGUUACUUCAUGCUACAUUGUAAAAAAAAAAAAAAAAAAAAAAAAUUUAUUUACAUAUUUCCCUUCUUACCAUGGUAAAGUUCAUUUUCCAGUAAAUUUUUACAGUGUCAUAAAAUCCAGCAACAGACAAAGUCACACCUCACACACAGUCACACACUCCACACUCCACGCUGCCAUUCUUAAUGCUUUUUCAGUUUCCAGUCCUUCCAUCUCCUCCUCUUCCUCCCACUCCCUCCAUCCCUCCCUCGCUCAUUACACCUCAACAAACCGCAUUAAACGUAAAUAACCACCAGCACCACCAUCAGUGGCCAGCCACCCCAAUACGGCCAUUCCUCCUCCUCGACCAUGACAAGACUAAAACCCCAUGUAGCAUUUUCCCUCCUUUUCCUCUUUAGCUUCUGCUUCUUUAACCUCGACGCCUUCGAAAACCCAGAUUUAGCUCCGCUCUUAGCCUUCAAGUCCUCCUCAGACUACUCCAACACCCUCUCUCAAUGGACCUCCAAAACCGACCCAUGCACGUGGCCAGGCGUUUCUUGCCUUCACAACCGGGUCAGCCACCUCGUUCUCGAAGGCCUCAAUCUCAAAAACUCCUUCGAACCCCUCACUCGCUUAACUCAGCUCCGAGUUCUCAGCCUCAAAUAUAACCAUUUCUCCGGCCCCAUUCCUAACCUCUCGAACCUCACCUCACUUAAGCUACUUUUCUUAUCUCACAACCAGUUCUCCGGCGAGUUUCCGGCCUCUGUAACGUCUCUCACCCGCCUCUACCGUCUCGAUCUGUCUUUCAACAACCUCUCCGGCGUUAUCCCGGCCACUAAAGUGAACCAUAUGACCCACUUGUUAACUCUUCGUCUUGAGGUAAACGGGUUUUCGGGGCAAAUAUCGGGUCUCAACGUGCCUAAUCUUCAAGACUUCAACGUUUCCUGCAACAAAUUGUCGGGUCCGAUACCAUAUUCGCUCUCGGGCUUCCCGGAAUCAGCAUUUUGGAAGAAUCUUAUGCUUUGUGGGGCGCCAUUGCCGAUUUGUUCGUCUGUAAGGAGUGACCCGACUCGACCCGGAACUUCUUCCGGAGCUAUAGCAUCUCCGUUGGGUCCCGGGGGAGGAAACCCUUCUACUGUAGCAUCUUCUCCCACCUCAGUUCCGGAAUACGGGUCGCCGACUAGAACGGGAAAAACUCGCCGUAGCGGAGGGAAUAAAAUGACCAAAGGGGAAAUAAUCGCCUUGAUAAUGGGCGAUGUUUUGGUCCUGGCCUUAGCCUGCCUUCUAUUCUACUGUUACUUCUGGAGGAAGUCGAAGAAAAUGGAUCAAAAAACCAGCUCAGAAGUGGAAAAGAUCGUAUACUCGUCAAGCCCGUAUCCGAACUUGGCCCAGUCCGGGUUUGAGCGGGGCAAAAUGGUCUUCUUCGAGGGGGCAAAGAGGUUUGAGCUGGAGGACUUGCUUAGGGCCUCAGCUGAAAUGUUGGGCAAAGGGGGUUUUGGGACUGCUUAUAAGGCAAUAUUGGAUGAUGGGAAUGUUGUAGCAGUGAAAAGAUUAAAAGAAAUGUCUGUGAAUGGGAGAAAAGAUUUUGAGCAGCAAAUGGAGGUUCUCGGAAGGCUUAGGCACCCAAAUCUGGUCAGCUUGAAAGCCUAUUAUUUUGCUAGUGAAGAAAAAUUGUUGGUCUAUGAUUUCAUGCCUAAUGGAAAUUUGUUUUGGCUUCUUCAUGGUAAGCACUUUUUUCUCUGUUGGAUUUUUUUUGGCAUGUACGUCUAUAUUUUUUUGGUGGUGGGGUCUAGUUAUGUUGCCAAUAAAAAAUGGUUACUGUUUAAAAGUGCAGUUUAAAUAUUCUGCUCAAUUUUAUGUCUGAUAUAUGGAUAGUUGAGAAUUUUAUAGAAUAUUUAUAUGAUUUAGAUAUUGGUGGUGCACAUGGGGUUUCUGUAGUAGUGUUCGGCUCUGGUAUUUAUGGCUGGCAUAUUGAUUCUUAAAUGUUUUAGGCUUUGAAAUCUGAGUAAGCAUUUACUGGUAGAUUCACCAUAUCAGUCUUUUUGAAACUGAGUUUGAAUUGAUUCUUAAAUGUUUUAGGCUUUGAAAUCUGAGUAGGCAUUUACUCGUAGAAUCACCAUCUCAGUCUUUGAAACUGAAUUUGAAUCUCAAAUGAGUAUUUUGUGUUGAGGGGUAGAGGCACUGGUGAGAGCAAAUGUAGAUAAGGUGUAUUAUGGCUGCAGAUUACCAUGGUUCAGAUUAUGGUUCAAUUUCUAGCCUAAAAUUUGAUUAUUGCCAUAAUAUUGCACACAAUGUCGAGUCUCGUGGAAUCAUUUUGCCAUUCAGAUACAAGAUAGGCAGGUGGUAUUAGUGAAAAGCCAAUUUAUAAAAUAAUAGGCUUUCAAGCUGGCCAAAUUGGGUGCCUUAUUUCAACGUCAUCCAAAAGUGUGGGAAUGGAGAGAGAAGCCACGGGAGCGUGACAUAUUUCACACAUGGAGCGAGGGGAACAGCUUAACAGUGGACUAGGGUCUUAAGGCGCAUUUGAUAUAAUAUCCUCCUUUGUUUUCACCCUCUUCUGGCUAAGUAAUCAAAGCUGCAUAAUGUACUUUACAUUGGACAAAGACGGCCAUUAUGAUGGAAAUUUGGAAGCCAGCUUUUGUCUUGAACUCAUUUGUCAAAAGUUGUAGAUAAAACUCGGUUCUUCCUACAAAUUGGGUGCUAAGUAGCCCCAUUUCUGAUACAAUAUCUUUAAUGUGAAGGGGACCGCCUCUUGUUGGUUAGCAUAAGUUCUCAUGGGGCAGCAAUUGUUUCAUUGGAAGACAUUCUUAGUGUUGUUCCAUCAAGCAGUGUGCAGCAUCCCACCCCCUAUUUGUCUGUCCCUUUCUUCAGUCUUUGUUAUUUUCUUGUGUAAUGUAGUGAGCUACAGCACUAUAUGUUAAACCUUCAUAAUCAUGUAUCACCGUACAGGAGCAGUUAAUGAUUAUUUAACAUGAAAUUUCGUGUACAUUGAAAUUUUCUUUUGUAUCCCAGGGAAUAGAGGUCCUGGAAGAACCCCGCUGGACUGGACCACAAGACUCAAGAUUGCUGCUGGAGCAGCAAGAGGACUAGCUUUCAUUCACAGCUCAUGCAAGACCCUUAAGCUCAUGCAUGGUAAUAUCAAAUCAACAAACGUCCUAAUCGAUAAAACCGGCAACGCCCGUCUAUCUGAUUUUGGCCUCUCAGCCUUUGCCUUGCCCUCAACAGCUUCAAGAUCCAAUGGCUAUCGGGCCCCUGAAGCCGCCCUGGAUAGCCGAAAACUCACUCAGAAAUCCGAUGUGUACUCAUUUGGGGUCCUAUUGUUGGAGCUGCUUACGGGGAAAUGUCCCUCCAUCGUGGACAAUGGGGGACACGGGACAGGAUACACUGGCAUCAUUGAUUUACCAAGAUGGGUGCAAUCUGUGGUGAGGGAGGAGUGGACUGCUGAAGUGUUUGAUUUGGAGUUGAUGCGAUACAAGGACAUUGAGGAAGAAAUGGUGGGGUUGUUGCAGAUAGCAAUGGCUUGUUCUACAGCCUCACCGGAUCAAAGGCCAAAGAUGAACUAUGUAGCGAAAAUGAUAGAAGAGUUGAGAGGAGCGGACGUGUCACCAUCCCAUGAGACAGCUGAUUCUGUUUCGGACUCGCCUUCUGUGUCUGAAGAUGCAUGCGGAGUAGCAAGUCAAUGAUCAAAAUGGUUGGUAAAGACGUAGAAGGUUUUGCUUGUCUGUGGUUGAUGUGAGAUUCUGUAGAGGAGGUUUUUUCUUCUCCCCCCUUCUUCUUUUUGGGAACUAAUCCUCUAAAUAGGAAUUUUUCUAAUACAGUACUUCGUUUUAUGGCAUAGUUGUUGUGCAUGAUGCUAAACUGCUAAUUUCAUUGAUGCCACUAUCAUCGUAAGGUUAGGUUGAUCAAGCUUUACUAACAUUGAACAUUCUGCCGUAUCUGCUGUCUAGACAUAUUAACAUGAUGCUAUUUUUGCCGUGGAACAUAAUCUGGGUUGGAGAGCAUUAUUACUUGUUCGUUUUGUAAUGUGAUCUCAAAUUUUCUUUAUUUUUAUUCUUCCUUAACUUUUAAGUAAGGAUUAUCGAACGAUUACUUUCACGAAUCACUAGCUUAGUUCAGUAAUUGGAAUUUUAGAAAGCAAAGGAUUUUGAUUAAACAUAUUAAAGUUAUUUUCUUGUUUCAUUUUCCCUCUAGAAUUUAACUUUUAUGACACUAAAGUGGACUUUAAUCCCCCUUUUCUUUUUUUUUUCUUUUUUUUUUUUUUGGUGAGAAAGCUCGAAAUGAGCUAUAAUGUUUCUUAUGGUACUAAACAAUGUUAAAUUUAUACCGUCACAUUUUAUGAAUUAUGAUUCGAAACUUUAACAUACGCUACUACGUAAGCUGCUUAAGAUUAAGAAUUCAAGAAUACUUGUCUAUUGGCAAACUUUUGUCAUAUAAGAAAAAGGGUGUUAUUGGGACGUAAUUUUUCUAGAUAAUUUAGCUUUAUUGGUCCCGAACAUGAAAAAUGCAUUGGCGUUUUCAUGAAAUACUACUAUUUUAUUACGUAGAAAUGAAUCAGGGAUGAAAAUAAAUAGCAACUUCAAUAAGGGAUAAUUGCAGAAACCUUCCCUGAGGAUACUAAUCCUUUGCAAAUUCAGUCCAAAUGAUUAAAAUAUUAUUUUAGGGAGUGAAAUUAGAAUUUUAUACCAGAUUUGCUCUUUGUGCUACAUGUUCAAUGAAUGACAAAAUAUAAUAAAUCAAUUAACAAUUAAUAAACUUUAAGGAGUAUAAUUUAUGGGCAAACACGCAUUACUCAUUUAAAGUAUCGGCUCUUUACGGGUAUUUUAAUUUCAAACAUUUAAUUUAUGAUAAAUAUAUUAAUAUUUGUAAGUAAAAUUCAAAAAAUGUUAUAGUAAUAUUCUUGCAAAAAGAAAAUCGGUAGGUUAUUUAUUUAAUAUAAAUUAAAUAUUUUUUAAAAAAAAGAAAUGGCUCAUAAAGUAUUAAUUUUUUAUGACUUUCAUCCAUUACAUGAGUAAAGUAUUCGCUUUUUAUGUGCAUUUUAUUCUGAAUCAUUUAAUUUAUGUUAAAUACAUAAAUGUUUGUAACUAAAAUUGAAAAAGUGUUAUAUUAAUAUUUUUUACGAAAGAGAGAUUAGUAGGUUUUGUAUUUAAUAAAAAUUAAAUAUUUGAAAGUAAAUACAAAUCUGUAUUUGAGUUUAAAUAUUUGUAUUAAAUUAAAUGUUUUAAAGUAAAAUACCCAUAAAGAACCGGUACUUUAAAUAGUUACCGGCUUUUUAUGGACAAACACACAUUACUCAUUUAAAAUACCCGCUCUUUACGGGUAUUUUACUUUCAAACAUUUAAUUUAUGAUAAAUAUAUCAAUGUUUGUAGGUAAAAUUCAAAACUUUUACAGUAAUAUUUUUGCAAAAAGAAAAUCGGUAGGUUAUUUAUUUAAUAUAAAUUAAAUAUUUUUUUAAAAAAAGAAAUGGCCCAUAAAGUAUUAAUUCUUUAUGGCUUUCAUCCAUUACAUGAGUAACGUAUUGGCUCUUUAUGAGUAUUUUAUUCUGAUUCAUUUAAUUUAUGUUAAAUACAUAAAUGUUUGUAACUAAAAUUGAAAAGUGUUAUAUUAAUAUUUUUACGGAAGAAAGAUUAGUAGUUUUUGUAUUUAACAAAAAUGAAAUAUAUAAAAGUAAAUACAAAUCUGUAUUUGAGAGAAGUAUUUGUAUUAAAUUAAAUGUUUGAAAGUAAAAUAUCCAUAAAAAGCCGAUACAUUAAAUAGGUAAUGCGUAUUUGCCUAUAAACUAUACUCCUUAAAGUUUAUUAAUUGUUAAUUGAUUUGUAGUACUUUGUCAUUCAUUGGACAUGUAGUACAAAGGACAAAUUUGGUACAAAAUUCUAAUUUCACUCCCUAAAAUAAUAUUUUAAUCGUUUGGACUGAAUUUGUAAUAGAUUAGUAACCUUAGGGGAGGUUAGUGUAAUUUUUCAAAUCAUAGGGGAGGUCAAUGCAAAUGUCAGAAAUCUCAGGGGAGGUUUCUGCAAUUAUCCCCUUCAAUAAAGCAUAUGUUUUGAUCCAGAAAAUGAAUUAAAAGCUAGACAUAUAGUUUUGUCAUUCACUCUUCUCCACGAAUUCUGCGGAACGUUUUCCCUGUUAGUUAGUUUUUUAAAUCUCAAGUUUUUGUCCGCUUUUCACAAGAUGGGUUGGGCCAGGUCUGGACUGACUCGUCUAUGGUUGUGCUUAUCUGAUAAAAUCUACUCUUAGAAUUUAAUGGGUCUUGCCGAUCGGAUCUGGAUCCCCCCAAGAUGGCCCGUCAAUUGGAAUGAUAAAGAGAUGGAGAAGAAUAUAUGAACUGCGAACGAGUAAAAGCGAACAAUAGAUACUUGCAAAGGAAAUAAAGCUAAACUUAGCAUGUAAGGGUGCGAAUGAGUUUAAUUAAAUUGAAUAUUUUAAUAUUUAAAUUUAUUUGAUUAUUUUUAUUGAAUUUGAAUAUUAUCAAAUAUAAAAUGCUGUUCAAAAUUAGUUCGACUAAUUGGUGAAUCAUGUUCGAACAAACUCUUAUCAAAUCGAGCUGAAUUCGAGUAUUGAAUAAUUUGAUUCAUCUUUCAACCCUAUUAGUACGGGAACAAAAUUAUCAUGGUUGGCGAAAUUUUCAACGAACUCUUCAUUCUACAAUGACAAGAAAGUGAGAACAUCACAUAUGCCUAGCCCAAAAUAGUGUGGUACGAAAAAGUAUAUACACUUCAAUAAUUUUCUUCGCCAUGUACAACAGCUCAAUCGUUUCUUUUGCUCCAUAUAGAGCUAUUUUCCCCCACAUAAUCUAAGAAUAAAAGAAUACAACUAACAGGGAAACAAUGAACAAUCAAAUGUGGUAGAGGAAUUUGACUCUAAGAUUAGUGCAAAAUAGGUGAUCAUAAACGUGUUCUCUUCCUAUAUUAUUGGUUGAAGUGCAUGAGCUUUGGUGCAAACCUCACCAAUCUAUCCAAAGACUGAGGUGGGAACUUCCUUGCAAACAAGUGACAAGUAUCGUUUUUGCUCCCAUUGUGCACGCAAUUGCUUCCACUCCUCAUCUUCUCCAGAAGCUCCGCAGUUACUCUAUCUCUAUAAAAGCUCAUGGGGUGAGGUCCUCCCUUGGACCAAUCAACACGAGUCAAAGUUCUUUUAGAAGUCUUCUUCCCAAAUUUCAUGUUCACAAAUGUUGGCAAAUAAUGUUCAUCAGCAUAGCAUGAGCCCUUGCAAUAGCGUUGGAAGGCUGGAAAAUACGUCUUAUCUGAGAUAACCUCAAGGGCAAGAUCUCUAUCCAUUUCAAACCAUUGGGAACCCUUUCUCCAAUCUUCAAGUUUGAUCAAGGGCUGCAUUUGCCUACUGUAUCGGCCACGUCCCACCGGACCGGCUUGAUCGUAUACCUCCACAUGACUCAAUGUUGAGUUCAUUAGAUAAUUAUAGACAAUGGAGAAGUUGAAUAGAGGUAUGCAUGCUUCAGAUACGAGAACAAAACGUUGGUUUGAUACGUCAAGUAGAGCAUUGGCUAGUAAUCUUCUUUCAGCUUCAAUCAUAUUAACAUUUCCCCAUUGAACUUCCUACAUUGUCAAAAGAAACUCAACAACAUGAAAAACUAUGCAGGGAAAAUUUAAUUAAAAAGAAUGCUACUUCAAUAGUGCAAAAAUAAAUCUAAGAAAAUAGAAAAACUAACCAAACUACUUUGCCAAAAUUAAUUAGAAGCAUUCACAUUUAGCAUUAAAAAAAAAUCCCGACUGCCUAGUUUCCUAACUCUUUUGAACGAAUCAAUUGAACAAAAACAUCUUCCAAUUAUUCCUAGCCGCUUGCUUCUCUUUAUGUCAGAUGUCGGUAGGUUGGAUAUGAAAUUAAAUAUUGUCAGUUCAUGAAAGAAUUGGACGAUUCAAGAUGCACAUCAUACAUUAAAGGAAAGGGAGAUGAUAAUUAAAAGCAAGGAUUUUGUGCUAAUACAAAAACUAUAUUUUGGGUAUGUCAACAAAUAAAUUUGAAAGUAAAUUUACUUAUUCUUCGAAAUCAAGCACCCCAAAUUAUAGCAUCCAGCUAAACAGGUCAUUCAGUUUCCUUCCUAGUAAGCAGUGGAAAAUAUCCUUUUCUGAUCUUUAGGGAAAUCAAAAGUUCAGCGUCCCCUCAAUAUUUUAUCUAGGAAUCUUUUCCGUCAAAAGAAACGUAUCCACAUUGUGAUUAACUGUUACUUCUUGUUAAAGUAAUGGAUCUAAACUGCCAAAAAAAAAUAGUAUUACAAAAAGAAAAUUAUUCAUUAAGGACAAAAUUAAUCGUUAAGAAUUUAAACUCACCUUACUGGGAAUUCUCCGGCCAUGAAACACAGAACCUUCCGGCUCUGAUCCAUUGUAUGAUGGAUUUGGAUGCACAUAAAUGGAGUAAAGCCCCUUAUGCCCUUUGAAGAAUUUCUCCCAGAGGGGUGCUAAGCUCACCGGCCCUCUCGUCAGAAACAUGAAUGCAACCUUGGGGACGCGUUUGAAUGGAAAUUCUUGAAUCUUAGGAGUCAUUGAAGCUUUCCACAGGAGCUCCUCAUCGUUCAUAUCGUGCAUAAUAUCAGGUGGCUCUAGUAAAUCCGCCAACCCUUUAUGCUUCAUCACCUUCCCUGGCGGCGGCGGCAAUGCCGUUGUUACUGGUGGUGGUGGUGAUGGCCGUGAUGGUGAUGAAGAUAGAGAGAUUUGGCCAUCAUUGACCAGUAAAUUGAAUGUGACGUUUUUGAAUUGCAAACUAAGAAAUACUCCGGCAGUCAAACCAAAGGCAAAGAACAACAAAAAGGUCAAGAGAUUCACAUACUGCAAUGGACCAUUGAAGAACUUCAGUGAUGGAAAGCCAGAAGUAAGCUUUUGGUCCUUCAUCAUCACGGGACUCGGCACUUCUGAUAGAAUAGUUCUUUAACCUUUUAUGGUCGAACUUUUGAGAAAAUUUUGAUUAUUCAGUAGUGGGAUUCAAGGAGAGGAGUCCUAUUCUAACAUAAGCACGGAACUAAGAGAUUCAGACUCCAAAUAGAUGUGGAAUACCAAUUACUAUUUGCUAGACGGCAAUAUGGACAAGAACAAAUUAAGUUCUAGAGUUGUGCAGGGGAAAGGAAAGAGUUCUCUAUUCAAAGAACCAAUGAAAGAUCAAAAUUAUAGUUACCUUUUAAUGAUGGAAUAUGGGAGAGAAGAGGAGACUGGAGAGGCGGGCAUGCAGACGCGGCUGUCCUAAUUGGCUGUGGCGACGGCUUCGAUUUAUUCAACGGUGUAAAACCACGAAGUAUAGUAAAUGUAUUUGUCAAGUCAAUAGUCCGUUAUUAGGUCUUUAGUCUUAUAUGGACGGUUGUCUGUUUGUUGAAAAAGACUUCGUAGCACGCGUUUAUACUUUAUACAGGUUGCACACGGAUAGUAGUAUAAGAUUCAAGAACAAAAUCUUUUUUUUUUUUGGGAAAAAAAUAUGUAUCCAUUUCAGACAAUUAUACGGGUGUUAUUUAUGGUAAGUCUUGCUUAACAUAAGUUCUUUUACAUUGUUUAAUUAUGUCAAGAUUCUCUACAAUUUUUCAAAAGAUUUUUCUGACUAUUGCUUAGCGAGCAUUUGUUAGUACACCCAAAUAAUUAUUUAAUUUACCAUAUGAAUAUAAAUAGUAACAAUUGUUAUCUUUUCUUGUAUUUAUAAACUUUUCUCAAUCUAAAUUAACUUAUCCAACAUUUCCACUUAGCAGUUGUUAGCUUUCAAAAAUUACACUGAUCCCAUCUUUCAAUCUAGAAAAUUUCUUGGUUUUUUAUUUUCCCCUUAGUAAAUAUAAAGUGAUAAUGUACCUAUUCUGAUUCUUUUAAUUACAAUAAUGUCUCAUUUUGAGAAAAAUACUUUAGACUUUUUCACGGUUAAUUAGUUUAAUAUGGUAGGUUAAGUGAUCUAAAUGUGUUAACGGGUACCCGUUAGAAAUAUCCAAUAUUAUGGUAUUUACUCUCUUAUAUUUAGAACAUAGAUUUUUUAAAAAAAAAAAAAUUUGUAAUUCUAAUUAUUUUUUUAGUUACUUUCAGUAAUUUGAUUUUACAAAUUCUAAAUGUUUCCUCUCUUUCAAGUUUGUCUCUACAUUGAAAGUUUAAACUGAGUAAAAGUACCCCAACUCAGGAUUUUUUCUUUUCUUUUUCUGAAGCAUAAAGGAAAAACCCUUCAUUCAUGUCAAAUCUUCAAGAGCAGCAUCAGUAACAAUAACAAUCUUGGGGAAGUUUACAACUCCAACUCAGGAUGUUAAAACAUGGACUUGGCAUAUUACCUUGGGGAAGUUUGAGUUACCUCAUCAUUAUCUUUUGACUUUUGGGAUGACAGCAUGAACUCUCAUUUAGACAUGUGAAGCUCAUGCCCUAUUGUGGUAAUUUUCAAUGGAUAUCUUAGCCGCCAUACUCUUCAACCUCCAAAUUCCAAAGGUUUUUCUUUAAAGAAGAAAAGAACAAAAAGUAGGUAAGAGAGGUGUGGUAACUUCUUGAGUUUCAUCAUGCGUAAGAAGAUACACUAGCUAGUGGAAGUUAAUCAAUAUCUUACUCUCAAAUUUCUUCAAGCUCUGCCUCCCAAGAAUACGUCAAAAUGAGGAAAUAUCCUGUAAGAAGGUUAUUGUGUCCAAAGGAAAAAAUAUAUAUACAUAGAAAAAGGAGAAGGAGAUAAGUGAUUUUUUUGCCUAUCACUCCAGGCACGGUUGUAACUUUUCUUUGAUUGCAAUAAAUAAAUUCUUAUUAGCAUAUGGACUAAACUAACAAAAACAAAUUUAUCAGGAAUUUAUGAUAAACACAAAAACAGACCGCACAUUUGACAUGUCUAAUUAGCAAAAGUUCAGAAGAAUUCUAUUGGGUUUUGAAUCACGACAUCCCAGCAAUCCUCCACAACAUUAAAUUACUGCUACAUGCAACCCUACAAAGUAUCCCUUCUAGAACCAUGGAAAUUUUUCUAAAGUCUCCUCCUGUUAAAUUAGUUAUCUGGCUUUAAAACUUCCUGUAGUACCCAAUUAUUUAAAACAAAAUACUCAUCCAUCUUCAUAUUGUACUCCUUAUUACAUGCUGGAAGUAAACUAACGUCAUUUUUUUUUUUUAAUACAGAAGGGGUGAGAUUUGAGAAACAGGAGAGGAAAGAGAUCAGAAAGUCUAAGUCCAAGAAGUAAAAAUCAUUUAUUAUUUUAUUAUUACUAUUUCUAGUUUUGAGAACAGCAUCCUGGUUUUAGGUCAAGAGAAAGAAUAAUUAUAUAGUAGUAGCUUCUCAACCGACUGAUAAGGCAAUUAGAAAAAAAGACGAUCGAGCUUCCAAGAAGAUCCCAACUGGUAGACCGGACCUUUAUUGCCAAAGCAAAACAUGCUGUGACCAUGGAAUCUGACCAUGGCUAGUUGGCAUUAAAUUAAUGGACAUUAGGUGGUCAUUUAUAUGUGAGAACUUUUUUCCGGGGACCGAUGGGACAACCCUAUUUAUUUCUUAAUAUUUUGUAUAGAAAAUAGAUCCAAACAAACAAAAAUGUAGAUCCAAAUUUUGUAAGGCAACUGCUGCCAAACCCUUUUUUUGGCCUUUGCUGCUUUGAUAAUAUCACCAAUUUAAUUAGAGAAUUUUUUUUUUUUUGUAACCCAUAAAGUUGUAAACAUAUUAUUGCCUGUAGAUGAAUACAAAAGCAAAUGACUGUUCAUUCUUGUUUCUAUUAUCGUUUCUGAUUUAAUUGAAACUUGUGCACUGUCCAAUUAGUUUCUUGCAGCGAAUUAUUAGAAAGAAAUGCAGCCUCGAACGGUCGAUUGGCGAUGAUUUUGAUACACGCCUGGAUAACAAUAACAACGUGCAAAGCUUCAAGAUUAUUGUCUGAAAAUCUACUUGAAGAAAAUGCCAGUUGCAACAGGACGUUGACUGAGUCCUUAAUCAUGACCCGAUGGCCAUGGCAAGGUUAAAAAAUGGACCACAUAAAUAGAGAGUAUUCCCUAAGAGUUGAGACUCCAAUAUUUGUUUCAAGUUAAACAUUAUUCUUACGAAGUUUAAUUUAACAAUCACUCAUUAAAAUUCUUAUAACGAUUUGAAAUCCAAUCGAAACGCGUGUCAACCCUACUUCAGAAAAAGGAAAAAAAAUUAAAAAUUACACAAAUUGACUAAAAAAAAAAAUACUUGCUCUUGGGUGCAAAAAGUGGAUUUGCUUUUGUUUGAAAAAAAGUGCAUAUUCGCUUUUGAAUUAUAAGAGAGAGUUAUUAUCAAGGUGAAGGCAUCAAAGCAUUUUAGCUUUUGAAGAUUUGAAAAGAAUAGUCCGAAUUGAUGGAUCCAGUUCAUGCUCUCUCUUUUCUGUUUGUGUUGGGAGGAAAAGUCCGUAUUCUAGAAGUCAAGCUUGGUGGAUUUUAGCGGGGUUGUCACCGAAUGUAUCUGGUAAGUGUGGAAGAGAAGAACCCGUCAAUUCUUGUAACCCCAAAUUAUACGAUCAAUAAUACAUUCUUCCAAUAUCUUUGCAAUUUUGCUUCUAUACCAAAGUUGUAAAUUAUGGAAAUUCACAAUGAAAAUAGCAGAAUACACUGACUGGUUUAUCUAUUCUUCAAGUUUAUGAAUUGCUUCGGAUUCUCUGUCCAGUUUACGUGUUUGAGUUCACUGUCCAACUUAAUACAACAUCAUCUGUUUUAGAAAACUGAUGUGGUGACUUCUUAAACUCUCUGUCCAGUUUACGUGUUUAAGUUCACUGUCCAACUUAAUGCAACAUCAUUUGUUUUAGAAAACUAAUGUCGUGACUUCUUAAACUCUUAUCCCUUCUAACAAACUUUUAGCCCAGUUGUACAGGGAAUGGAAGAAAGAUUGUGGUUUCAAUUUUUCUUUUCUUCAACCACAAGGUUCAGAAAAAUUGUGAAUUCAAUCGUACUGCUAAUCGUUCGUUUUCAUCUGAAGGUUAAAGGGAUCAGGGGACUUUGCAAUAUCUUUUUUCUAUGGUGAACAAAAUAGAGUGUUUUCACCUGAUCAACCAUUUUUUUUUCCAAAGUGUAUUUGACUGUUUAUCAGAAGUGUUUAAGCAUUCUUUUAUCUUCCAAUUAGGCAUAUAGAAGGAAAAUCAAUAUAUGGUGUCAACUGCGUCCCAUUAUUGGAAUAUAGCAAUAUAUAUAUAUAUAUAUAUAUAUAUAUAUAUAUAUAUAUAUAUAUAUAUCAAUCUAUGGUAUCGACUGUGUUUAAACAUCACUAGGAGAAUGAUAAAGAAGGGGUUUCGAAAUAUAGACAAAAGAAUAGAUAAAGGCUUGAAGUUGCACGCUUGAUGAUGAUGGCUACUAAUAGUUAAUUAGUUUCUUGACUUUGUCUUAUACUACUAGUUUACAGAAAAUGGCGAAGGGUUUAAGCUUGUGUAUAUAUUGUUGACAUGAAAAGCUUUCUUUAAAUUUGGAAGUCAGGUUAUCAGUUUGUUUGAUAAGAAAUGGUGUAGUAUUAACUUAAGACGGAGAGACAGAGGAUCUGGAACGUGAAUGGAAGUUAAAACCUUGCUCUCUCAUCUAAACUUUGAUGGCAACAUUCUUAAAAAGCCAAAGGACUUAAUAACUUAAUAAUUAUUUCUCAACAAUGUCAUUGUUAUGGUCGUCAAUAGGAAAACAAUAUAAGGGUGCAUCUGAUAAAAUUGAAAUCUGAAGUCUAAAAUAUGAAGUCGGAAUCCAUUAAGUUAUGGAAUUGUUAAGUAUUAAAUCUAAUAUAUUUAAAUAUAUAUCACAUUCAGUGAUAAUGAAUAGGUUAUCACUUAAUUUUGAGAGCAAGUUUUGCCUAGAAAAUUCAAUACCACUUAAUUAAUUCAGAUGUUUAAUUUUUGGUUAUUAAACAGUUUGAAUAUGUUAAAAUCUGAUUCCAUUAAGUUUAAAUGCUAAAUUGAGUUAUCAAAUAGGCUUAAGAUUAAUUGCUUAAAGUCUCUUCUUUUAAAUUCUGACGUUUUUUGAGAAACUAGUGAGAUGAUUUCCCAUGUGUACAUAUUGAAGCGCAACGGAUCUUCUAUCCCACACCCUAUGCCGUUCUCUGUCCCAUUUUUUAUUAUAUUGCUAUUUCUCUUUCAUAAACGUCAUGUUUUAAUUCUUUUUUAUUUUCUUAAAAUCCAAUAACUAUUAAUUCAGUAAUACACAAAAUUUAACAAAUUCAAAAAAUCAAAAUAGAUAAAAAAUGAGAUUUUUUAUGAAUUUUCUGCUGUAUUUUUUAAUUUUCUAUUAUAUAUUGCUUUUUUGAAGCUGUUGUAUUUAUUUAUUACUGAAUUAAUAGUUAUUGGAUAUUAAUGAAACAAAAAAGAACUAAAACAUGAUGUUUAUGAAGGAGAAAUAGCAAUAUAACAAAAAAUGGGACAGAGAAUGACACAGGAUGUGGGACAGAAGAUCUGUUGUAAUAUUGAAGUGGGCCAAAUUUUGUACUGCUAUGAAAUGGUCCGUGGACAUGGAGGCAUGUGAAAUAAAUACUAAUGCAUGUGCAUUUAGUUAUGAACAUGGCAUAAUAUAGCAGCAAUGACGCACCAAUACUGCCAGAACCCCAAGUUGUUUUCGGCUUCUCUUUGAGACCUGUUGAUGGGCUAGCAAGUGUCAAUUCCUCAUUGGGAAACUAAAUGCACCCUGCAGAUUUCAGAUGUCUUCCAAGUUAGGAGAUUCAGAUGAUUUGUUUUCUGGUUGGAAAGCCAAAUUUCAGUUUCUUCAAUUGAUAGCAAUCAAUUCCUACAAUUUAUGUGAUCCUCCGGUCUUGAAAGCACCUACUUAAUGAGGCUUUUUGGGGAUUUGCCAGGUUUAGAAAUAGACCAUUACUCCAAAGACUGUUUGCACAUCUUAAGUUAUCUUGAGAAAAGACACAAGAAGGAUCCUCCAAUUCAAUUUGCCAAGAGCAAAUGUCACAAAACACAAUACUGAAGAAAGCUCAAGACUUCUGUAUUCUUCCUCAUUAUCGUUUGGGAAAGUAUUGAUUAUCAAGAAACAUGACAAAAUUUGGAGUGCACGUAUCUGAAAAAAAAUCUUAAUUUUUUCCCCAUUGUUAAUCGACAAAAAAGUAUUUGGCCAAUACGUAAUAGUAAUUAACAGUUGCAGGCCUGCCAAACAUUGUUGAAAAUACUGAAUUGCAUCAGUUUGUCCCUGGUCAGUCAGGGACAAGAGAUUUCUUCCUCCUUGGGUAAGAGAAAGGUCCCAUUCUUUGUCCAUGGCUUUCGAUGAGCCCAAGGCUCCUAAUCUCUUUGGCCUUUCAUCAGGAUUUGUGACUUAAAAUUGUUAGAUAUUAGCUUUGGUUGUGUAAUUGCACUGGUCACAGGACAUGCCAUGUGCUGAUAUCAAAAUUACCGUCAAAUUGGAAGUUGUAAAGGAGUCAAAUUAAACAAAAACGAAUGUGUGUCUUAAAAUUUUAAGAGAGAGGCUUAAAUGCGACUCGUGAAUCUAUCAGCAAGAGUAAUUAUAUCAACAAAAAUAUGUUUUUGUGGUGAACUUUCAAACCACAAGCUUAAUUGGAACAGAUGAAAUUAGAAAUGGACAAUUCCACUCGUGUUUGGCUCAUCUGAUAGGAGUUUUUUGCCAAAAUAAUACUCUUACUAAAAAAUAUUUCCAAUGUGAUUCACUUUCAAAUUUUAUUACCAAAAUGAUAUUAUUGUUCCCAUCUAAUUAUCCUGAUUGCCAUGUAGAAUAACAAGAAAGGAAAGUUCUAGUCCAGAUUAUAGUUUCUAACAUUAACUAAAAUUUUAAUUUUUUUUAUUAUAGAGGCACAAGAAGAUUGCAUAACUUUUAUAAUUUCCUUAUAAUUAUCUGAAAUAAAUUUUACCAUUAUUGACCUUACUAUUAUUGGUCUCCAAAUUUUUUUAAAUGUAUCAAACCUAUUGCAUAUAUAUUUUUUCAAAAAAUAAUUUUAAAAAUACAAAAAUUGCACCAAAAAUUGCAACGAAAAUUGUAAUCAAUUACAAAAAUUUCAAGGUUAUCAUAUUUGUUUAUGUUAUCCUUCCUACUCUUUGAAAAGACGAAAAUAAUCUUCAUCUACCUUAAGAUUAUCGACUUGCGAAACAUAUUUUUUAGAUGUUAUUAAUAUAAAGAUUGGCUUCUUAGAUUAUGUUUGACAAGGGAAAGAUAACGAAAGAAAAAAAUGUGGGAAGCUUUAUAGAGAAAAUUGAAGAAAAUAUUAGAUGAGAAAGAGAAAUGAAGGACGUCUUUAUCUCUAUCCUGACACAUAUGCAGCGUAAGUGGCAAAAAAGGAUCACAAAGGUAAUAAGUUUUAAAAUUAAGUUACUUUGAGUAUAUAUUCUAGAAGAAGAGUUAUUUUGGCAAUAAACUCCAUCUGAUAGACUGUCCUAAUACAUGUAUGAUACCACGUUAAUUAGAUAUCAAAUAGUGUCUUAACAUAACCUAAGUAGUGAAUCCUAGUAAUUUUGGAGCAAUCCCAAGCAAAGGCUGAAGAGUGCUUGGAUGAAACUUUCUUGCAAAAAGGUGACAAACUGAGCUAAUCUCACCAUUGUAACUACAAUUGACCCCAAAACGAGCUUGAUUCAGAAAUGGUUCUGUGAUAUCAUUCCUCAUAAAUGUUCUAGGAUGUGAACCUCCUGUAGACCAAUCAGUCCAAGUUAUAGUCCUAUUUGAUGUCAACUCAGGACAAACUUUUGUCACCAGCGUUGGUAAAUAAUGCUCAUCCAUGUAGCAAGGGGGCAUGCAAAGGUCUCUGAAAAUUGGGUACAAUUUUACAUCAGAGACAAUUUCAAUUGCUAGCUUUCUGUUGGCUUCAAACCACUGUGACCCUUUUCUCCAAUCUGACAGUGUAAUCAUUGGCCACAUUCUCUUGUUGUAUCUUCCUCGGCCUAUUGGCCUGGGAUCGUCAAAUGUGCUGAGAAAGCUUUGGUUGGCGUUGAUGAGGUAGUUGUAGAUGGUAGUGAAGUUGAAUAUGGGAAUGCAGGCUUCUGAGAGUAAUAUGAAUCUCUCGUUGGAAUGGUCAAGGAGGGCAUUUGCUAGUAGACGUUUCUCUGCAUCAAUCAUUGUCACUCUUCCCCAUUGAACAUGCUGCAACAACCACCACUAAAAUGAAAUCAAGCCAGGAUUAUGUGGAAUAGUAUAAACUUUUGAGUAUAUUUUUUAAUAGGGAAGAAAAAUUUGCAAUUUUGCAAGUAGAUGAUAGUAUUUAUCACUUUUCCCAGGAGGGAAACAGUUCGGUAUUUUUGCCUGAAAAACUAUAGAUUAUUAGUGGUAAUAAGAACCUUGCUUGGUAUUCGUCGCUUGUAAAAUACAGAUGAUUCAGGAGGCUCAUUGGUGAACUCUGGAGAUGUAUGAAGGUAAAUUGAGAAGAAGCCCUGAUGUCCUUUGAAAAACACUUCCCAGAGUGGUGCCAAGGGUAAGCUUCCCCUAGUCAAGAACAUGAAUGCAAUUUUGGGGGUACGAUUGAAUGGGUAUUCAGUUAUAUGAGGUACCAAAGAGGCCCUCCAAAGCAAUUCUUCAUCACUCAUUGAGUGCCAAAGACCUUGUUGAGAUGCCAAAUCCAUCAAUGUAUCAGUGGUAUUAUCUGAACUAUAAUUAGACUGUGAAGUUGAAAGAGAUGAGUCUGAGGAAGAGUUGCAUUGGUUUUGUGAGGAUAGAGACAGAGAAUAGGCAGUGGGUUGAGCGAAGUACAAGUCAUCAUAGAUUGAGUACUUUUUGAGAUGAUCAUUGAUGAACAUUCCCAGAAUUAGAAGAAAAAAUGCCAUAGAAAUACAGAAGACUAUAGUGGUGGCAACUUCAAAACUCCCUUCCCUAUCUUCUCUUUCAACGCGAACACUGAGUUUCUUCACAAACAUUGUCAUUUAAACUCCUCUCUUGAUAUCUUCUUAUCUCUUCACUUGCGCAUGGUAUUUUAUAGCAGUUUUAUGGACGUCAAAAAGUAAUAACAAGAAACGAAGCAUGCUUUCCAUCGCUAUACUGAUAAAAGAGGGUCAAGGAAGCAAGAUAAAGAGAAGUUAAUAAAUGAUGAAAAAUGUGACAAAAGUAUAUUCGCACAAUAAGGUAAAGCAAGGUUACCCUCGAGAAUGGCUUUGGUAACUUCUCAAGUAGCAAGUAAAGAUCUAGAGAGCAAAAACAAGCAAGGAUAGGCACAUGGAAAGUGUUUUCAACCGUAAAAGAAAGGAAAAUAACAUAAUGACUGGCAUACUCUCUGUCUGUGUGUGGCUGAGAGAGAGAGAGAGAGUUCCAAGUAGUAAAUAUGCUUUCUGCUGCUAAAAUGGCAAUGUACUAAUUCUUUAGCUGUUCAAAUACUGUACUUCAUGCAACUCCAACCAGAAUACAUUUGUAGCUAGUGUAACAUGACAAAUAUUUGCCAUCUUUUGACUGCUUCUGUUUAUCGUAUAAGAUGGAAAAUGUCUAAGUAAUCUAGUAGUUUUUCUAUCACUUUACCAGGAAUGCAAAUGACAGUCAUGUGAUAGUGGUCAGUUAUGAUCGAGUUUGUUCCUGGAAAAAUACAUUGCAGCGAGACCUACGAUAGCUGCGGCCCCAACGAUUUCUGCUGUCCUUGCAAUAUAAUGCCUUAUUGGGAAGCUUCCACUUCUUAAGUAUGCCCACAUCCAACGGGAUAGAAAAUGAAGCCGGCAUGAAUUUUGGAACCUCUGAAUCGAAAAUUCCUACAGAUAGGAAAGCAGGUCAUACCAGCAAGAACUGAGAAUCCAUACCCAACUCUUUAAAAUAAAAGGAAAGGUCUAGUUUGGCCAGUAUGGUUACAAUAUUGCAAUCAAAUCUAGCAGAUCCUAGAGCAGUAGCUGUCCAUAAUACAACAGUUGUCUAGCCUAGAUAUUCUGUAUAGCAGGUCCCAGAAGAGCAGCUUUCACAGUGGUUCAUAUUUUGCUCACAUGGUCAAAAAAUUCAGCAAAACUGCACUUAAAGUUCUCUAAAGAGAACUCCUGCACAAAGGAAAAUUUUGAGCUCUUCUUACGCAUGAAAUUGUUAGUGGCAUAAUGAAAAGGAAGUCGUGCAAGACACUUGUUGAAUCUAGCACUUCACAGUUAAUUAUACCUUCAAGGAUAAUAAGCGAAAACAUAAAUUUUCUAAGUAAGGAAAGCUGAUUGACAAAAUCUUGUAUAAAGCUCAAAUGUUUAGGAGGUCCGACAUUUCCUGUAAGAAUCAUAAAUUCCACUGGAACAAUGUAUGCUUAGACGUGUUUAUGUAAUUUACUAAACAGGCCCCAAUGGAAAAGCAUUGCCAUCAGUGAAGUAACAUCUAAAAUAAUAAUAAAACAUUCUGUAGAAGAAGGUACAAGUAACAGAUUUAUUUUUCAUUUCUUUGGCUAGGAAUAAGCAACAAAAUUACAAUCUGUCUCGAAGAUGAUUAAACCCAUCAAUAUCUCCUCAACCCAGCACUCCAUGGAUAAUACGCUUUCAAGUUUCUUGUGAAGUAAGCCUAACAACCAACAUCUAUAAUAAAAAAAAUUUUUAAAAAAAAACCAACAUCUUUACUACUUGUAUCCUACUUGCUGUGUUUUCUCACGUUACAUGCUUCUUCCAAUCUAAUGCUUUGCGGAAAUUAACUUGCAUCAAUUUUUAAGUCAUGCUAUAUAUGUAGAAAAUGGGGCAGCAUGUCCCUUUUAAUGUGCCUUGCAAUCAUGGGAAAGAACAAGAUCUUGUCCAUUACAUAGAUACUUUCCUAGGCCAUCUUUUCUCCGAUUAGGUAGCUAAAGACUACUUGAACAAAAAGUCAAAUCAUGGUAGUCUGGUGGUGAUGGAUUCACUAACUUACUGUAAAUCUGCUUUAUCAGUUACUGGCAUGUUCCAUGCACCAAUAAACCCGCGAGGAGCAUAUCAUUUCUUUCCCUUAAAAAACUAAGCUAAUUGACAAACUAAAGGAGCAAAACAUCUUCAGCUGAGAAUAAUAGGCUGGCAACACCGAUGACUGUAUCUUAGCUCAUUAGUCAUUAGCGAAAGCUGAGGACUCCAGGAUGGAGCUGAUACAUGAAUUUUUGAAAGCAAGACGCGCAAUACCUUUGGUAACUUAUCCUGCUCUGCAAGGUGGUCCACAUGUAGCUUCACAUUUGAUGCAGCAGGAAUCCAAAAACUGCGAUCAACUUCAGCAUAAGUGUAGGAAACAAUGUCAAACAAUGUUUUGGCUCCAUCUUCUAUGGAUUUCAAGAUGGUUGACUCUCGAUUUCUUCGAUUCCUGAGAAUUGAAACCAAUAUCCUAUUAGAAUUCAGUCCUAAAUAUAAUACAUUAUCAUUUUUUUUUAACAUGUGAGAUGAUUGUGCUGCCACUGCUAUUGAUCUCAUAUGCAUAUAUGGCUGAAAAAAUAAUCUCUUUCCAACGCGAUAAUAUCCAAGUCUGAGUUAAUCUCUUUGCCCACACUGUUCACCUACUGCCCCAGACAUAAACGCAGAUGUAGUAUUGCACAAGCAAAGGUGAAACAUACUUGAGAUAGCCACAGAGCAUGUGUUUUGGCCACAAAUUAAUUCUUCCGUGCAUGGGAAUUAAAUUGUGUGGAGAGAGAUCGAUAAAUAGGUAUGUUGUCCGGAAAUAUUCCUGCACAAAAACUAGGAAUCUCAUGAUCCAAAUGAUUUCCAUUGAAAGAAGAAAAACAACCCAAGCAAUAACACACUCGCAAGGAUGGAAAUCCUAUUCUGAUAUACUGCAUGCUUUACCUCCAUCAUAUUAUAGUGUAAAAUAAAAUUCAACUAAAAUCAAAACAAUGUGCAUUGGUAGUAGUUAAAAUAUCAAGGUUGCUAUUAUUGAUUAUCCCACCUCUUUGAUUAUUCCAAUCUCAGAUUUUUAAGGAAGAUGUGUUUUUAAAAUAUUGUCCAUUCUGUAUUGUGGAAAAAUAGAACAGGAAAGGAAAGACAGAUUCAUCGCUUCUUGUUUUGAUAAUCAAGGAUCAUCUGAAUUCCUUGAGAUUUUGACAGCUGGGCACCUUGAAUUGUAACUGAAGAAAAAGAAGUUUACCCAACCUAAGAAAAGUAAUGCAAAUUUGUUCAAUUCCAAGAAAUUAAAAACAUAACCUCCAGCAAAGACUAAAGAGGAUCUCAUUUUCCUCCAAUGGGAAGAAGAUUCAAAACAGAAUCAGGUACAUUCUGCAUAAUGGUUUAUUUAGGAAUAGGUGAAUCAUGACCAAAUUGAACCUAUGGAUCACCCAUGACUCUUUUGCAAUGUAUUUGACAGUAGAAAAGUAUUUCCACUGAGCACCCUUUAGAACUGAACAAAAACCACUUGUAAACCCAAGAAAAUAUUAGCAUAUCAUGCCAUGAAAAUGGAGCCACAAUCAAAUCAACAAGAAUAUCAAAUCAAAGGUAAUGCGGGCGAAACUUUUUGCUUAACAUGGACAUCACUCUAAUUGGAGAACCAAAUACAUUAACUAAACUUACAGUCAUAUUUCCACCAGAUGUCACAUCCAACACGGCACUUCCUUGCCUGAAAAUUAUCAUGAAGCAAACAUCAGAGAAUAAUGAAAGGCUGAAAAUCAUCAGAUGCAACCCUUCAGCAUAUUCCAGAAAAGGAGUUAGAGCAGAGACUAUGAAAGGCUAUACGAAACAACAAAAUAAUGGUAAAAUUCAACAUCACAUGAACUAGAUGUGGAAUGUGAACUGUAAUAAUAAUAUUGCUCCAAUACAAGUGUCUUCUUCUGAACCGUACCCCAUGCAAUGAUCACCAACAAUCAACGAAUUAGUGCUGACGUGAAGCAAUGCCAUAUGGCCAUCUGUGUGUCCCUGAAUAAGGAAUAUUUUACAUCAACAAAGAUCAUGUAUUUGAUUAGUUCCAAAGAGGUGGAACUUCAGUUGAUAUUACUGGUUUUACAACAAGAAUCCAAGAGCACCAGAAUAAGAAAUUUGGAACUUGAAUAAAGACAUCAUGAAGCAAACAUCAGAGAAUUUACCAUGCCUAAGAAAUCCAUCUGAAAUCCAUAUAUCUCAUUCAAGGUAUUACUUCCUCAAGAACACCAAUAACAAUUCAAUAAUAGUUCAAAGAAUUACUUAAGAUGCUACGAUAUUAGAAAGCAAAGCAGACCUCAGAACAUCACCAUGUGAUAAGAGAUGAGCAAUAUGAAUUGCUUUCUCUUUUCAUACUUCAUCAUGCAAAAAUUAAUAACAAAAGAAGAAAGUGGAGCUGAUGGUAGUAACUUUACAGUUCUUUAGUUUCCAUGUAGCAUUCCAGCAAACUGACAAAUCCACUUUCUUUAACCUUACAGUUCCUUAUUUUCUGUGAAGGAUCUUUUGUCCCACUUCCUGUACCAUUUCUUGUCCCAACAUUUAUUAAAUUGUCAUAUAAACUUCAUGAAGAUCUCAUUUUAAUUCUUUUUCUUGUCCCUUUAAGUUCCAACAGUUACUUAUAGGGUAAAAUACAAAAAAAUAACAGACUAAAUAACAAUAUAUAACAGAAAAAAAAAAGAAAAUUCAUUAAAAAAGGACGUUCAUGAGGGAUAUAUGGUGAUUUAAUAGAUGUCGGGACAGGAAAUGGUACAAGAAGUGGGACAGAAGAUCCUUUAUGCUUAUUUUCUAUGUAGCAGUCCUGUGAACUGACAAAAUAAAUAUAACCUUCAUGACCUAUCAGGUAAUGGAAGGCAUGGCUAAAGCCCUCUAUUUCAGGCCAUGUAGCAGCUUAAUACAGGAUUACCCUGAUUUAAAACUGGUCCUAACUAAAACAGAGAGUAGUGAACCUGACCUCUAUUUAGGACUAACUAAAGUUACUGCCUCAUAUGUAUGUAGUUUCAUCAGGAAGUUACAAUUGAAAGAAGCUUUUUCAACACUAAUUCUAGAACAGACUUUCAAGACACUUUUUAUCUAAAUUAGCAGCAGAAUAAAAGUAAAACAGCCAUUACAAGUAAAGAGUUGGAUGUGUUUCAUCUAAGAAACUAAUGCACCAUCAUGGAUUUUACACCAAAUGCAGGCAAUUGUUCUGCUGAUAAACUACUCAAUCAGGAAGCAUGCUAGAUCUUACUUUGACAUCAGAGAAUACAGAUUGUCAAAGAGGGCAGACCACAACUAAGCUAAGGCAAGUCACCACUUCAAAGACCUUGUCCAGAAAAUAACUGUUUCAGUCAACCAAAGUAUUACAUAUACUUGGACCAACAGUGAUAGGGUAAAGUCUAAUUGUUGGUACCGCGACCAAUGUCACUGGGACAAUGGCUGCUUCAUUAUCUCUCAAAUGAAACAAACAAUGUAAUGAUGCAUGCAGCUAAUCACAUAUUAUAUCAAACAAGAACACUACAAACCAUGACUGCAGAAAUAUAUGUCUCAUAAUGACUAGGAUUACAUGAAGGAUAGAGGCCAUUAAAUCAAGUAAUCCAUCCUUCAAACGAAGUCAACCAGUUCAAAGUUUACUAUUUUUUCCAUUGUAUUCUGACAUGAUUUAACUAACUUGUGCAACUCAAAUAAUCCCAGAAAAGAAAUAGUUGAAACAAACAUUUCUGAGUGUUUCUUGACAAACAGACCUGCUAAAAGUUUAUUUCUCAAGAUUCUUUGAAUUGGGCUUUUGACCUUAUGUCACUAGCAGUGGCAAUUUGUCCCACACAGAAAGAUAAAGUUUUGUUGGAAUAUUAUAUCUUGGCAUUUUUUACAGGUGUAAUUUCUUAUUUCAAUUGAGGAAAAUAUUGAUGUGAACCAUCGGGUCAGAUCAAUUAGACGGAUCAUCAUGGUAUUAAAUGUUUCAAACAACAGUUCCCCUACUACUGAAGGGAAAACGGAAAAUAAUAGAAGCAUCCUGUAGCUGAAAUUUCAAUUUAAAAAAGUUAAGCCCAUUAGCAUAUUCAGAUGCACAGAGCUUUUGAAUGAAAAUUACUGGUGCAUGUAUGAUUCGCAGUAGCUGACCACCAAUGUAGACCUCUUCAGAACCAGAAACAGCAACAUGAGAAAGAGACCAAUCAUCUGCAUUAAUAUUCAAGUCAAUGUGAGGAAGAAAAUUUAUUACUGAAUGAAGGAAACUCUGUUUGUCCUAGUCAAGUUUUUAAUUUAGAAUAGUUUAUACUUCCCGUGACCCACAAAUCUUGGAAAACACUUUACAAUAUCAAUGAAAUUCAAAUAUGGCUCCUUCGCCAAGAAUAGAUUCUUAAGCAAAUCCUUGGAUAAUUCUCUUUCUGGAAUGUCAUAGGCACAGUGAUAGGGUUUUUUCUAAACAUAUAUCCAAAAGAGCUCCAACAGCUAUAUAUACUGAAGAACUCCAAUGGAGUUUUUUCUAAUCACACAAUAGACCAAAUAAAAAGAACUCCAAGUCUCCAACUGCCAAAUGCUACUUCCGAAACUUCAAAACCAUAGUCAGCUCAAUACAAGUGCAUUCCAACAAGCAAGGACUGUCAUUUUGAAGUGCAAUGAAACUCAAAGAAUACUAGUUGAAAAUCUGACAUCAAAUUUGAGCCUAGCAUAAAAUGGCACUUUCUGUUAUAGUUAGGUACUGAAGUAGAAGUUUUCAUGAAUGUGGCCACCAUUCCAGGGCACAAGCUGUGCAAAACUAACAAAAAAUGAAAUCCUGACCUUUUCCAAUUCGACGUAUAGUAUUUUCAUGAGCCAAGAGGGUAGCACCAGUAUUGCACUUCUGAACCACAGAAAGACCUGAAAUGAAACAUGAUGACCGGUAAUCACUCCUUUUAUUCAUUACAGCAAACAAGAUCAAAUUCAGAAACAAAGUUCAACUGCAAAAGAUGAUUCUAAGUCGACUUUGAGGAAUUGUGAGUUCGUCAUUCACUAAGUUUUCUGAUUUAGUGAUGACUCCAAAGUCAAAAUGCAGAAAUAUCAUUUUAUCCUAUUAUCCACAUAGACAGGGUCUUUAAGCUGAAUCAAGAAUAGCAAAACAUAUGGAGCAGGUGCUGGAGCUGCAGUUUUCAGCUAACAAAAUGUUAAAAAAAGGUCCAAUAGAGAAGAAACUGAUUUUUUGUUUAACUUCCCUUGAUCAUGUUCAAAGAAGCAAAAUUAAACAAUGAAAACAGAAGACAUGCAGAUACAUGUGGUUUAUUUGCGCAAGUAAGACACUGACACAGAUAGAAGAUCUAAUCAUGAAAAGUAACACGUUACAAGGUCUCUAGGAGAAAAUGACAUCCAAGCACAUCAGAAAAUCAGAGACUUAGAGGAGGAAGAGCAGUAUAAUAAAGAUAUAUACAUUAAGCUGGACAAACCUAUUCAACUGCUUACCAUCGACAUGGUCAUGAUGGUGAUGGGUCACGAAGACAACCAACUUUUUUGGCAAAGCAGCAAUAAUUUCUUCAAGCUGAAGAUGCAAAGAUCAUUAUGAUGGAGAAUCAAAAAUGACAAACAAAUAAACAAGCAAGUUUCUAAAUAAUGGUUGAUCCAGUUCUAAUUAAGAGAAAAGACAAGUUUGGACUAAUCUCCAUUAUUAUUGAUGCUCUAUUACUCCAGUUCUAUUCGUCUUGUUCCAACAACUCCACUGGUCAAUUUUACUUUGCCCUGUAAUAGCUGACUCUGUCAUGUAGUAAUAAAAUCAACCAAGAAUUUCAUGAGUACAUUUCAGGUCCCUACUAAGUAAAAUUUGUCGCCAUCCUUGUGGGGAAAUAUAGAGGCCAAUGAAAUUAAAUGGGAAGUUUAAAAAAGAAAAACAUGACAUUUUUAAUGGGCUUUUAAUAUUUUACCUCCCUAUGUCCUUUGCAAGACAAGACUAUAAUUUCAUCAACCUCCCCCUCAUAUUUUUAAAGGCUUAAACCUAAAGACCUGCCAAUUCAGGACUGUUUGACUAUAUUACUUGGAUUACAAGCUCACAGGAGAAUCAUGUUAAUGAUAUAAUAAUUGAAGGUAUUUAGUUAGGUCCAAUUCUAAACAUUCUGAUUUUCCCUAGAAACAAAUUCAGGAACUGUUGCAUUUGCAUUGCUUCAGAUUAAGAUCAGCAGACCGUAGGACACUGAAUUUGGUAGAAAUUACUGUCAUAAUUCAAGAAGUUAAUUCUCGUUGCUUUGACAAAACAAGCAAAACGUGCUUAAUAACUAUAGGAAUGGUCCAUUAAGUUUACCUCUCUGUGAAAAGCAGAGCUGCAUCCAGGGUCUACAAUUAAUGCAUCACCACAAGCAAUAAAGCUAUUAUUACUAGAGCUGUCAGUUUUAUUUCCGGGCACAAAGAUAACCAAGUUCGUAGUUCGAAAUGGUUUCCCUGUCCUACUCCCCAUCGGUACAAGCUUCAGACCUGGAGGGUACUCCUAAAAAGCAUAGAGCAAGGUCAUAUAGUCACAAGCUAUACUGAUUAAGCAAAACAAGCAACUACACUUGUAAUCACAAAACAAACUUCACACCAACAUACUUGAAGUAGAUAUGAAAUUUUUUGCUAAAACUUCCAAUUUGAAAUAUUCAGAAGAAUCACUGUGCAGAAAUUUCAAGCAACCAGUAUUCCUAUAUUGAACUAGUCAUUAACAAUGAACUAGCGAAAAGAUAUUCAAAUUAAAUAAAAGACCUGACAAUGUGAGGUAGGAGGAACUUUCCAACUUUCAGAUGGUGCCAUGUCAUUUAGGAGGCCAAGAACAGCCAAUGGUCCCACACGAUCACUGUUGGGCUUCACUUCAAGAAGCAUUUCAAGGCAAUUCUCCAUUCUUAUCCACUUGCAAACCUCUGUGAACAGUUCAUAACUUGCAUUAUUUAUCUCUGCAAAGAUGCUUGAAUCUUUUUUGUUUUAUUUAUAAGAUGGAAUGUAUGCAAGGGAUCUGACACCAUACAAAUUGUGGAAUCAAGAAUUGUUGGACAACUGAAUGUAUACUCAUCAAAAGAAUACUAGUUUUUCUGAAGUAAUAGUACUGACAUCAUAGGACAGAACUUUGAGAUUUGGUAGCAAAAUACAAGCUAUAAAGAUGAAAAUCAACCUUAUCAGAUUGGCAAUAUCUCAAUGAUGAGAAUGCUAUUUGUUAUCAUUAGAUUGAAGAAAACUUUCAACAUACAUAGAGCAAAAUUUUACCUGACUGUUUCUGGUGAUAGAUUGAUGCUUACACAGUUGUCCCAUGUAGAACUAAUAUUACAAAAAUACUCUCAUUUACUCAUUCAAGAGAAAACUGAGAGAAGGGGAAUUAUACAGGGCAGACAAAUUACAAAAGUUACAGUUUCAUAUAAGGAAGUUUGCUUCCCUAUGAUUAACAUAUUCACAGCAUUUAGCCUGAACCAAUUAAUUCAUUGCUUUUAAGCCUGCAGGAAUUGAAUACAAGUUUUCUAAGGAAUUUUCGCUAGCAAACCUUUCAGCUUCCCGUCUUGAGACCCUAAAUUUCCAACAAUGUACACUGUCUUAAUAGGCAAACCAGGCCCAAAAUCAGGCUCCUCUAGACACUUCCAGAAUUCCCACUCUACCUCCCUGGCUGACCCAUAUCCUACUUGCUCCAAUGCCUACAUUUAAAACAAUAAUAAGCAUAAGAAGCUGCACAACCAGCAAAAAUGCAUAUCUAUUUAAGGCAAAAUUAUAGGAAAUAAUUUACAAUAAGCAACCCAACGAUUUCAAAGAAGGUAUGUAAAAACUACAAAACAAUGCCCACAUUUUGAAUUUCCUAUAGUCUAAUGUUUAGAUGACAGAAACAAAUUUUAAAAUUGGUCAAAAUUCAAACUUUGUACUUGGGAACUCCAAUACACGUAAACGCAUCAGCAAUACUCUAUUUCAGAGUCCAAUUCUAAUUCUCGGUUAUAAAAGAUGCAAGAAAUCUGAAAGCAUAAAAAAAUCUGCACUACUUUCCAUCCCCAAUCAUUUCCAGAACCGAACAAUCCAAGAAAAAGUAUGAAGUUGCAUAAAACAGUUUAACUAAAUAAUCCCAAAAAGUGUAGUUUAAUAAAGGAAAAGAUGAACUUCAGUUGAGGUGAGGUGAGAGAAAAUAUACCUGAUUGAGAGCUGAAUUAAAAUCAAAUUCGCUUAAAUUAAUCUUAUCUGAGGAAGAAAAUUCACGGGUUUUUAUGGAUAUUUUUGAAUGUAAUAGUUGAUCAGAUUCUGAUAGUGGAGUUAACUGAGUAGAAGGCAAGUCCCAGAGGUCAGUAUCAACAAAGGAAUCAUCCUCAGGGUCAUUGAAUUUUGGAGGUGGAGUUUGUUUUAUGAGGAGGAAUUCCUCCUUGUCCAAUGGGUUCUUGAUGAUAACUGCAAGUUUGUGAUUUGCUGCAGCCAUUGCCAAAACUGUUGGCAGCACAGAAUCACACAAAUCAGAGAACGUUAAAAGCUUUGUCUUGUACAAGUGGGAGUUGCAAUCUGUGGCAAGUGCAACUACCACUGCUCUACUAAUUUUGACGGCAAAAGAAUAAAACUCAAAUCAGGAUCGGCAGCUGCCCCUGCUGAUAAUACCUCCAACACGAGAUUAAACACGUUUGCCAAGCAGUAGUAAAUUUUAUUGGUACAAGUAUUUUGUUAAGUGUUAGAAGCUUUGGCUUGUACAAGUCGGAGCUGCUGCAUUCUGUGGCACCUACCACUGCUUAUAGUCGAGGGGAGAGGCAAAUGGCAAAAGAAUUGGCUUUGUACAAGUGGGAGCUGUAAUCUGGGCCGACUAAUUAGUUGAGUGGAGUCACGACUAAUUGAUGGCAACCUCAUUUUAGGAAUUCUAAUAGUUGUGUCUGUCCUUCAACAACGUCGUGUGACUGACAGGUUUGUGAGUAAUAGUACAAUGUAUUGGUACAAGUAUUUUGUAAGUGCACCUUAAGCAUCGGUUUGAGUAUUUUGUGAGUGGACCUUAAAAUCUCGCUGGAGUAUUCACAUGAUAUAUCUAUGGCAUCGCAUACAAUCUGUGCCAGGUGAUUUGCCGUAUGGAGCUUCUUUUUAGCAGUGGCUCUGACAAAUUCAACAAUGUUUGCGCAUAACAUUGUUAAUUAAUCAUGUUGAGCUUUUUCCUGUGUAUGUAACUAUAGUCCUUUCUAAGUUCUUUUUCACUUGAAGAUUUUUUAUUCCAAUUCUGUUUAUGGACUUUCUAACUUUAAAGAAAGUCCGGAGUAGAUGUUAAAACCCAAAAACAAUGUGUGUAGAAAUAAACACAAUUACUUUGCUCAAAUUUCAAUAAGGGACAAUAUCUGUUGUAAUCUUACUUCUUGUAUGAAUGUCUAUAUUUAUUAUGUUACAAUUACUACUGUCACUUAAGAGGAUCCCUUAAUCCAUGUAGCAUAGUGAUUUGCAAUGGCAGGCAAUUGAAAGUCUUCGAUGGACCCUUUUGUAGUUGUAUGUUCGAAUGCAGCAACUAUCAAAAUCUGGUCUAUUUAACUGAAAAUUUUCUAUGAUUUGUCUCAAUUAAAAACAAAUUUUGAAAAUCACAAUGGCCUUCAAUUCUCUAAAUUUGAUAGGAAAAGCUACAAGACGCGAUCUAGCAACAAUAGCUUCAUCUCUAUAGUGCAGCUUUUAGUGACUUGGUGAAGCUUUCUAACUCUUUCAAGCCUUCUUCAGGAGAUUUUGCCUCGCCUAGUAUUCUUACCAUGGCACUGCCAACAAUCACCCCGUCUGCUCCCCAUCCGGCCACCUGAAAUAAAUACAAGUUAAUGGCCAGCAACAAAUGUUCCAGUCCUAGAGAUUCAUGUUUCUUGGAAAGUUUUGUGUCAGAAGUCCCACCUGUUUGACGUGCUCAGGUUUUGAUAUUCCAAAACCAACUGCUACUGGCUUAUUUGUUGCCUGUAAAAAGAGUUUGCCGGCUUAGUAAAAGGUAUAAAUAGUUCAGCUAGUGUACUGAAUUUACAAUAAAUCAGAACUCAAUUUGGAGGACAAGAUUCAAUUGCAGAGCUGAAAUCACAUUCUGGCUUUCAGAUUGCAUAUUUCCUACACCCUUUUGGACCAAGCUGAUAUAGCUACAAGUUCAAACUUAAAUCUGAAAUUGUCAGAACCUUCUCAUACUCUGGAAUCUACUCUUAGACUUGUAGCGCAGCAACACAAUACAAAUAUCAAAUUCAAAACGUACCUUUUUAACAUCCGUUAGGAGAGAUUGCACGUGGUUGCUCACAGAUGCGCGAGCUCCAGUAACUCCAACUGAGCUCACCUAUAAUAGAGAAGAACCAAUAUCAAAUGCUUUCGCUGCAGAAAUAGUAAAAAAUUGCAUUUCAAGCAACACACAGACUCAGGCUGUAACCUUAAAUGCUUACGCUGGAUCCCUCCUGUCUUUCCAAUACUUCACCCAAAGAUGUAGGAAAAAUGAUAAUUGUAAGACAACACUUUUACAUUUCUUCUUACUUUCCAUUUCAUGAUGAUUCCCCCCAACUCCCAAACAGAAGUACGGUACCAUUAGGAAAUCAAUCCCCUCGGUUGAGACAAAGUUGCAGGUACUUAUUAUCAGAAUAAGAUAUUCAAGAAGAUCAAAAAGUUUAUUGCUCCACGUGUUAAAUUUAACAUCUUAUGCUAGUCUUCAUUCAGCGUAUUACAAUAUGUAUAUUUAUUUCUGAACUAAAGUUAAUAGCCACAAAACCUAAAAUACUAGUUUGCAAAUUCAGCAAAUUCUGACCAUAGGAUACCCUUCCAUUAUAGCUCCCCAAAAAUCAUUUGCAAGCUGGAUUUAACCUAGGAAUUGGCAAACUAGGGAAGGCAAUGCUAAGGUCUAUAUACAGUAGUAGUUCCUCUAUGGCAUGACUAUUUCUCUAUAUGAUAUUGUUAAGGAGAAUUUUUGGAGGAGGUACAUGGGUUUGAGUACCACAGCUAUGCUAAUGUCAAACUAAUAUGUGCCCGGUGAAGAAUAAUUUAAAAGAAGCAGUGACUACUCAGUGAAAGAAACUCAGAGUCAGAGAGAAACCUAAUGACAUGACUCUUUUCCAUUUUGCUUUUAUUCCCUUUUUCUUUUUCUUUUUUUUGGGGGUUGGGUGAGGGGUUGGAGGGUGGGGAGAGAGGAAUUAAGGAAGGUAUUGCAGUAUAAAGAAGAAUACUAUGAAAAUCUAAUUAGACAGGAGUUUAAUUAUCAGAUGAUAAAAUCGCCAAGACAACUGAAAGGAGAGAGGUUCUAAAAGAUAUGCAGUAUUUUCCAGGAUCUAAAACCUACUAAUAUUUCAGGAAGAUAUUAGAGAUCUUACAAGGUAGAGAAAUCCUUCUGAAGCUUUGGCAAUUGCCUUCAUUCGAGCUGUCGGAGUUGUGGGUGUUGUCAGCAACACCUUACAUAAGAAGAACAAAAACCAGAUGAAUAGUCAAUCAUAAUAAACUUCACUACAUAAAAUCAAUGAGUCUGCUAAUAAUUCAGUACAUAAACACUUUCAUCUGUUCUUCGGAAAACCACUCCAUAAAAGAGAAGUCAAUGAUUCAAAGCUGUGGAUUCAACAGUCAAGAAAUCCUAAAGAGUUAGAAAGCCAGAAUUAAACCGAUUCUAUCCCAGCAUAGAGACUGCAAGUAAACCGUCUCUAUACAUGAUUUACUCAACCAUAAGCCACACCGGAAACUAUUCCAAAAUUCUCAAAAACUAAAACUCUUUGACGUCUAAACCCACCAAUUCAAGAUUAUACUUAGUAGCUUCCUUUCUCAAUAUCUCAGUCUCCUCCAGAGGUACAUCCGGAACCACAAGUCCUGAAAGGAAAGAAAAAUAACAAGAAAAGUAUGAUUAUAAUGAGGUACAGUUAGCAGAAAAAGUAAUUCAAACAUUAAGGUAAAUCAUGCACAAACAACAAAACUGAACAAAAACUGCACAUUUGAACAGGCAACAGCACAUAGAACAGAGAAACCGUUCUAUUUACAACUGAAAAAAGCAACACUUUCAAGCACUACAGCUUUGAAGAAACUAUCUUUAUUAUGGUGCUUAUGGAUCCUAUAAUAGCAGGCAGAAGGAAGACCAAGGUUGGUUAUCUUUAGCUCACACAGUACACUUCAUUGAGCAUCCUGUACCGGUAGCAAAACAAUCCUUGGUACAAAAGCAAGAAGAAAAGAAUCGGGCUUGCUGUUAACUCUUGUGGCAGUCACCAGUGACAAUUGCUAAAAGGAAGACUCCAAUUGUAAGAAUCCAGAUCAAAGUCCUAAAGCAUUUGACACCAUAUAUGUGAAGAGGCGCUAUGCAUGAAUAAACUUCACUCCAAAAGCAACUAAGAUUUCAAUCUACACAUCACAACAAUGAUGUGCAGUUACAAUAUCAGCAACUAAAGCUACCAUGUCCAACACUUGUGCCUUUGGCUCCUAGACCGCUGAUAAAAAGAUUUCUGCCCAAACCUACCUAUAUAAUUUGAUACUUCCCUAGCCCUUCUUUCUUCUGCUUAAGAAAGUUGAGGGAUCUGAUGCGUGAUAUCUCAGCAAUGUGAAAAAGAUUUCAGCCUAUACCUACUUAUAUCAUUUCCAUAUUUUCCUAGCCUGACUUUCUUCUACUUAAACAAGAUGAGGGAUGUGUGAUCAGAUGAUGAAACACUCAUGACAACUAGCCAAAGAUAUUAACAGGAAUAGGGUAAGACAAAGACAGGAAUAGGAUUUCAGAAAAAAGUGACUAAGUGAAAGCAAUAUAUUAAGUUACAAACAGCACAAAAUAAAGAUCUUAAAGUAGCCGUUACAAUGUCAAGUGUACUACAAUUGGACUUCAUUUCAGCCAAUACUCUCAUUUCAAGCAAAUGACCUCAGACAAGUCAUGUUUUGAAUUAGAUUUAGCCUUUCUAUUUCUUAUAUUAUGGAUCAAAAUAUAAAAUGCUUUAAGGAAGACACGAAAUUUACUCCUCACCAUGUAUCCCAGCAUCUCUGACAGUGAUCAUGAACUUUUCAACACCACGCUUAAGUAUUGGAUUAUAAUAUGAGAAUAGUGCAAUUGGACAAGAUAACUGAGGUAUAACCUGCAGGGCAAUGAAAAAGCAAUGUUAGACUAGAGAAAGGACAUCUAAUCUCACAUAAAAAAUCCUACAUCAAAUUUGCCCUGACCCAAGAAAACUGCAAGGCCAUGAUAAUGCAAUACUGGAGAAUGAGAAUUAAAACUAAUCUGAUUACUCAACUAUGCUGACAACUUCCCCUGCUCCAGAAAGCUAAUAGAGAAUAGGAUAAGAGACUAUACAGAGAACGGAAAAUCAAUGAAGAAUGAGAAAGAAAAGACAGCAUAUUUUUAGAUACUGCCAAAGACAUCCACCAAAAUAAAACUAAACAUUUAUCAAUCAUGAUACACAAAGAAGAAUUUCUUCUGAUACUAAUGACAAGUUUCCAAACAUAUCCAAUUAAAGUUCAAUUUUUAGCUUAAACAAUUACAAUUGACAACAAAGUCAUUGGGCAUUUCUAAUACAGGGCUCGGAUAAAUCUGACAGCUCUUGGUUGAUUUUUAGUUAGAAUCCCGAGGUCACAAGGCAGUGCUUCAUCAACUUGCAAGCGUACAUGGAUAGAAAUUAGAUGUAAGGUGGUGGCAAAAAGACUUACAUCCUUCAACAUGGAGAUAAUCUUAUCAAAAUUUGUCCCUCUGGCUAGUGAACGUGUUGAAGCAGCCUUAGAAAAUGUACCAAGAACAGAUUUUAAUGUUGGUCAAAUCACAACAGGCAAAAGAUAACACAAAUGAUCAAUGUUUUCCUGAUUCUAUACCUGUAUAACUGGGCCAUCAGCCAAUGGAUCAGAAUAAGGUACCCCUAGCUCUAUUAUGUCAGAACCACAUGCAUCAAGCACUUUCAAUGCCUCAGCAGUAGUAGAAAGGUCAGGAUCGCCAGCGGUGAUAUAUGUUAUCAAAGCCACCUGCAAAAUUUAAGUAUGCUCGUUAAAAAAAAAUCAUGUUAAUAUUCAAAAGUCCCCCGGCUGUAUUCAGCCUCCAAUUAUCCUCCCACUAGUUCUAUUUUCAUUUGAAACUUCAUGAUUUUGAGCGCCUAAGCAUUGACAUGUACCGGGAAAGAACAUAUAAAAGCCCCCAAAUUUCCUAUCAGUCACAUCUCUAAGAAGACUGCACACCUAAAUUCGAGCUAAAUGUAGUAAAGGAAACAUUUUAACAAGGUACCAGGAAGAGAGAAUAGGACAACUCCAGAGACAGCUCAUUCGUUCAUUUUGCUUUAGGGGUUUUGAAGGGUUUAACAAAUUCAACCCCAGCAAUACACAAGAAAUAAGAAAACCCACAAUAACAAAAAUAAAACCACUCCACAAUUUGAACCCAACCAUCUAAACAAAGAACUCUCAUUAUUCCAGUUUCAAGAUUCAGAGGAAAAAAGUUGAUAACCGUUUACUUUUCCCCAACCAAGAAUAAAAAGUGCUAUAUAAAACUAGCAAGAUGUCACAAUAGAAGCACAAAAAUGAUCGUUCAAUGCAAGGGGGGCAAAGGGGAUGGUGUAAAAAUGCAUACUUUGCCUUGUUUUUUCAGUUUUGAGAAUGUUUCAGACAGCCCAACAGCUUGGUCGGUGAUGAUGGUCGCCAUAGGAGGCUUGAAUAAUCUGCCAACAGUAUUCCUUGCUGAAAGGCCGAUCCUCCGUGGAAGAAGAAGGGAAGAAUGGCCGUUAGAUUUCUGUUUCAGCUGGAGAAAACAGCUAGCUUUGAGGGCAGCAGCAGCGGCCAUUAGAGAGGUGCCCGCGCUUUCAAAUCGUUUGCUUCAGGGGCAUGAACCGAAUCCGGUGCAGGCCGUCGGUAAAACCACGUGUAAAAUGAACUAGGGGUUUUACCGUUUUAGCCAUUAUCGGUCUCCUGCCCAACCACCCCUAUAUCAUGUAUGCGUGUAUCUAAUCUAAGGCAUUAAUGGGCAGCGGCUGUCGACAUGUUGAUUUAUAGUACGGGCCAUGUGAAAUGGUACUAAAACGAAAAAAACGGAUCGACAACCACUGCCCAUUAAUUUGAUGGCAAAAACGGAAAAAAGCAAAUGAAUAAAAAGUUAAAAACACCUUAAUCACGUUUAGAUUCAAGUCAUAUGUGAAACCUCAUUCAGUCAUUUGAUAUAAUAACUAUUUAUUUUUUAUACAACAGCGUUAUUUUUUUAGCAAAACAAAAUCUAGAUGAAAUUUAGGCUACUUUUUCUUUAACAAGUAUCUCAAAAAUAUUAACAAUAUCUCAAAUCUAUUAACAAUACUAGGGGAAAAAACCCGCGCCAUGCGCGGGAGUUUAAUACCCAUAAUUAAAGAUAGUUAAUAAUAAUUAUUUAGUAUUUUGUAGUAUAAUAAUUAAAGUAUGACAAUUUUAUUCUGUGCUAUUAAACAGAAAAAUCAUAAAUUACAUAUUGAGUAAAAAUGUAUAAUAUGCAAUGAAAUAUAAUUAUAAAACACGAUUAACCACUUUGCGUCUAAUCUAAUAGAAUAAAAGAUUUACUUAUGUCUGCUCAUGCAUUUUAGAGAUAUUAAAAUUUGUUAUUUAAUUUAAAUUUGAUUUUGAUACGAGGGCAAUCCACCUCAUUAUCUUGUCAUAUGAGUGAGAUUUGAACAAUUGGCAUACUUGAAGAAAUCAUUGCUAGUGGAAUUUCAGUUCUUGCAAGCCAAUUUCUUUGAUUUAUAUUGAUUCCAAUGACAUAUUAUCAUGAAACAUCCACAUUGACCAAUCAAUCAAUUAUGAUUUAUUGUAUGAUUUAGAACAUAUAGCAAAGCAUCUUCUUCUUGGUAGGGGUUACAAUCAGAAAACAUCAGUUUUUGACCUAGUUGCAAAUAUAUACAAUAACUAACAUGCUAAUUUAGAUGAAUAAUUACCUCAAAAAGUACUAAAAUAUUUUAAUCCACUCAAUUCAAGAAAACAAUUAAAAGUAAUGAACUACAUACUUUAGAUUUGCAGCCAAAUAGUUUUAAGUAGAUAGUUAAACAUAUUGGCAAAUCAAAUGAAGUGAAAAUUUGCCUAAAAUUUGUUAUUUAAUUUAAAUUUGAUUUUGAUACGAGGGCAAUCCACCUCAUUAUCUUGUCAUAUGAGUGAGAUUUGAACAAUUGGCAUACUUGAAGAAAUCAUUGCUAGUGGAAUUUCAGUUCUUGCAAGCCAAUUUCUUUGAUUUAUAUUGAUUCCAAUGACAUAUUAUCAUGAAACAUCCACAUUGACCAAUCAAUCAAUUAUGAUUUAUUGUAUGAUUUAGAACAUAUAGCAAAGCAUCUUCUUCUUGGUAGGGGUUACAAUCAGAAAACAUCAGUUUUUGACCUAGUUGCAAAUAUAUACAAUAACUAACAUGCUAAUUUAGAUGAAUAAUUACCUCAAAAAGUACUAAAAUAUUUUAAUCCACUCAAUUCAAGAAAACAAUUAAAAGUAAUGAACUACAUACUUUAGAUUUGCAGCCAAAUAGUUUUAAGUAGAUAGUUAAACAUAUUGGCAAAUCAAAUGAAGUGAAAAUUUGCCUAAAUAGAAUCAUCAAUAAAGUAGCAAACAAUUUGAAAAUUACCGUAACUAAUAGUUAAAACAACAAAAGAGUUAGAUGCAAUUUAUAAAUGAAAAAAUUUAUGAUGAUAAACUUAUUCUAAACCACAAAUAACAAAUAACAAAUGUGAUCUCCUCCCAGUCAAACCUAUCUAACAUGAGCAAUUGAAUUAAAACACAAAAAAAAGUAUUGCACGUACAACUUGCAAGAUUACAGAUUUCUUACAACAAAAAAAGUAGACUAGUUAAAUAAAACAUACCUAUUGAAAAAGAUGUUACAAAAUGGGAAAUUGGGAAUAACUAAUAUAGCAACAUCUGAAUUCAAUAGACUACAUGAUUGUAGUGGAAUAAAGUUAUAAGUAAAUGAAAUGAAUUUGAAUAGACGGGGGUUACUAUAGUAACGGCCAAGAAACCAAACUUCUCUACUAAUCAGUAUUAAUUGUGUCUUAACAUCUAUAUAUCACAAAUUUGCAAAUAACUAAUAAAAAUGGCUUUAAGAAAUUAAUAGACUUGGAUGUUAAUCCAAUUAAAUUAUUAAGGAUUUUUAUGUAAUUCCACUAAAAUACAACCUGAAUUUAAUUGUACCCAAUGUUUAAUCAGAUAUCGAAUACUACCACAUGUUAAACUUACUCAUAGCUUUAAAUGUCUGUGUCAGACAUUUAAGUAAUUAUAAAAAAAUCAAAUUAAUUAUAAUGAUUCAUAUUCAAUACUCCAAUCGCACUUCAAAUACUCUCAUAUUUCUAAAAUAACCCGACCCUUGCAGUUGAAAUCUUUGCCCUUAACUCAUUCUUAUAUAAUAUAAGGAUCUCUUUAAAAUACUAACAAUAUCUAAAAAAUAUCUCAAAAAUAGUAUCUCAAAUCUAAAUGAAAUUUAUUUGGUAGGAGGGUUGGAUUGAGCACUUCAAGGGCGGGAAUAAAACUAAAAAGUUACUAUUUGAAUAUUCUCAUUUACACUAAAAAAAAAUUAGAAUAAAAAAGAGCACUGAUAUCUUGGUAUCAUGUCUAUUACAAUAAUUCAAUAAACGAUCAACAAAUACUCACAAUUGUAAAUGCAGAACGGAUCAACCUAACGGCCGAACCCAACAAAAACCUAAUGGCCAGACCAAGGCGCAGGCUGGCCCGAACUAAGGCAAUAGCUACCCUGCAAACCACAGGCUGGCCCAUGCAAAGUGUGAUAUUCCCCAGAGCCAGAGGUCCUUUUGCGGCCGAUGCUAUUUGAGACCGGCCCAUUGUCUGUGAUGAGGUUUUUAAAACCAUUAGCCGAAUUAAUGGAAGGGGAGGUAAAACUUAAAAGAGGGGUCUUAUCUUGGUAAAAAAAAAAAAAAAAUGCAGAAAACUGUGUCAUUUUUAUUUUUUAUACACAAGAGACUAAUAGUGUGAAAGAACAAAAAUUUGCUGUUUGCUACUGAAUUAUUUAGGUGAAAUAUGCAAGUAGAAAACAGAUAACACAACGAUUAGUUUGUUUAGUUACAUACCAAAUCAAAAGGUAAUUUAUAUGGGAAUUGUCCAUUAACUUUUGUUUUGUUGUGUCCAUAAACUAUUUUAGUGGCUUUCGAGUUAUUAAGGACAUUGUAUUACAAUUGUGGCCUGCAAAUGUCGACUAAAACAUGAACUAGCACAACAAGCAUAUAUACAACUAUUUUUUUUUUUUUAAAGUUAUUGUUUUCACCUAUACUUAAGAUCAUGGUAGAGAAAAAAAAGGGAACUUUAGAGGGCAAUUUAAAAACUAACUUUAGAGGGCAAAUUUUUUUUAUAUAUAACAUUAAGUGACAUGAAUUAUUUACACCAAAAAAAAAAAGCUCUCCCAUUAUAUGUAAUAUAGAUUAUUUAUAUUUGAUAGGGGAAAAAAAAUUAUAGCUCUCUCUCAUGAUUCUUAUCUUCCAACCCUAGUGCUGAAUAUACAACGAAUAGAAGCCCCUAAUUUUGGGACCUAAGAGAACUUGGCUUGUUUUGCCAAUGUAUAACCUAGCCUCUUUGUUAAUCUUGAUCCUACCAGGAGAAUAGAAUUAUUAUCCUUUAAUAAGUCCUCCAACCAAGCCCCAAGUCUGACAAAUUCUUCUCAACUUUCAACAUCUUCAUCCUAUUUAACACCAUCACCUUGAAUGAUGCAAGUGUUGAAAUCUAGAUGCACACUAUAAAGCACUACUUCAACUGCCACCCCCAACUCCAACACAACCACUCCAGCCUCAGGAGGAACAAAAAUCCAAUGGUCACCCUUAUUUGUGCAUCCAAUAACAUUUGAAUUGCGUCAAAUUUGGGGCCCCUAUUAUCCUUAAUUUACCACUAAAUCAGCAGCGUAUUUUGAUUACACGUUAUUUUCACCUUAUUUACACACACUACUGACUUGUUUGUAUUAAUAGUAUAUUUUUUAAUCACUUUUUUGUCUCAUAUACAUCACAUAAAAAAAAUGCUACAUAAUUUUUUUCACAAAAUUAUCUCAAAUAAUUUAUUAGCUAUUUGAAAAGGGUUCUAUUUAUUUUUUCUUUCUUUGCUUAGGAAUAAUAAGGCAGUUGAGCUCCCAACCUCGUCCAAUAUUUGCAUUAUCUUACUUCUAAACCACCAGAAGUUCAAGUUGAAGUUUCAUUCCAACUUCAAGCAUACCAUAAAAAAAAAUAAAAAAGGGUUUCAUUCCAUUGAGAACAAAAUAUUACGCAUAGCAAGGAAACUUGUGUAAUGAGCUCGAUCUUGACUGAUUAAAUAUUUAAGUUAUAGAACUUUAAUUGAAUGAACUCGACUGAGGUUUGAUUAGUUUACAAUUCUAAACGUACAAGUUGAAUAUGACUUUUGUCCCUUUUGUUCCUUCCAUCUUUUCCUUUCCAUAUUGCCUUUUUUUUUUGUGUGUGUUUAACUAUUUCGUUUAGCACAAUGACAUGAAUAUCUCCGCUUGGACUGCAAAAUCUGUGGCAGAGUUUUCUAAAGAAAUGUUUGUAUAUAGUGGAAAGACUGCAUGUCCGAUAAAAGGUUUAAAAUACCAUUGUGAAAAGGCAAAAACAUAUCAUUAAAAAAGAAAAAGACCCAACUGUUGUGGGCAAAAAUUCAAUACCUAACUCGGCCUCAAUUCCAUUAAUUGUUGACUCCAUCGCGGGCCCAUUUAUGCAUUGCAUGGCUGAGUAAUCCACCACCGACGCAAAGGUCGCCAUCUCUAACCAGUCAAACUUUCUUUUUCUUUCCUCUAAUUUUUUGCACCACUAGCCAUAAAAGACAUUUGGAUCGAGUCAUAAGUUCCGUCACGAAUCAUAUCACAGAUGCAAUUUUCUAUUUCGCAUUGUCCAUGCCACAAGGGCACUUGCAUGUAAGCUCAUAUAAUCUUUAACUAUGUGAUUUUUGGAUGACUUUGAAGUGUUUGAUCCAAUUCUUGUUGCUUUUAUAGAAAGUUCUCAUGGCAAUUUUGUGAAAAUUAGCUAUAAUGUGAAUAAUUUUCAAAGUAUUCAUUUGUGGGAUUUAUGAUAUCAAGAGGUUUAAUCUAUUACCAUAAGCAUUUGAAGAGUGUAGAGUAUAGCCAAUGCAUGCGUGCAUGGCUAUUACAUUUUCUUUUUUCCCAUUUUUUUUUAUUUUUCCUCUUUCAGUUUAUAAGAAAAGGUUAGCUGUAGGGAUCGAAUUAUGUGUUUAGAUGAAAAUUAUUUAGAAAUUUUCUUUUGAAAUAAUUAUAGACUUUCUACAAUAUACUGUAUUGUUGUAUGUGAAAUAAAAGAUAAUUUAUACAGUUGUAAUUUGGAUACAAUAUAAAAUAAUUUUUCAAAUAAUUAUCAACUCAAAUAAAAUAUAAAAAAUAAUCAAAAUACUAUAUUUAUAUAUGAUCAAAAUAUUGUAGAAGUACUAGUAGAAUUAUAAAAAUGACUUAGAUAUAGUAAUAGACACUGGUGUGUGGGCGUGUGCCUCAUCCAAUUUCAUACAAAAAAUCAAUUUGUAAAUAUGCUUUCCCACACCAUCCUCCAAUAAGACUCUUAGGUCACCAAUUUCUCCAGUCUCACACAGCUCACGUCACUGCGUCUUCCAUCUUUCACCCUUCUUCACCCUUUUGCCAUAUACCUGACUUCAUUCUCGCACGUGCCUCCUCACACCCUCACGUGCCAUAAGCAGCCAACAGCGACUUGAGUCUGGACCCCCACCACCAAAUCCCUUCUGACGUGGACCAUUAUAGCCACGUCACCAACCGAAACCAAAGCUCCCGGCCACGUGGCCAACCAUUUAUUGCCCCCUCUUUAUCCUUCCAACAACAUCUUCCCUUUUCCAUUUCCAUUUCUUUUUCCCUUCUUUAUCUCCAAUCUACUUUUCUCGGAUUCUUCUUUUACCAGACAGGGGUACAUUUAUGAAAUCUGAAUCUGAAAUCACAACUAAAAUUUAAACUUUUCGGUGGUAAAAUUGAGAAUUUUGGGUAUAAAUAAAUAAAUAUUUUAGAAAUGGCGAUGCCUUUAACUACGGCGGCGGGGGUCCAAAACGGCGGCGUUGGGGUAAUGUCCGGACCGGCAAUCGGGCAGCAGAUGGAAAUGGAUCAGAAUGGGACAGUGAAUAGAUUGAAAAGCUCGUCGCCAAUUCGGAUUUUCUUGUUUUUCCAUAAGGCAAUUCGGGCCGAGCUGGACGGGCUUCACAGGGCGGCCAUGAGCUUUGCUACGAAUUCUAAUGGCAGCAGUUGCAAUUGUAAUUCUGAUAUCAAGCCUUUGCUGCAACGGUAUCGUUUUUUCAGGUCAAUAUAUAAACAUCACUGCAAUGCUGAGGAUGAGGUUAGUUGGCGAAUUAAUUAUGUAUUUUUAGUUAAAUACUGGAUUAUCAAGCUUAAUUUAUGUGUGUUUAUGUAUUUAUGCUUGAAUUCGGUGUUUUUCGGAGUUAUAAAUGCUGAAAUUUAGAUUUGGAUUGCUUUUUAUUUGACAUGAUUAUUUGGUUCCAUAGGAUAAUUUAAGCUUGUCUUAUUGAAAUUAAUGAGUAUUAUUUGUUCUUCUGUUUUGGAAGUAGAACAUUUGAAUGGGCUGAAAAGGUGAAAUGACGGAUUUAACAUAGAACAAAAAAAAGAUAAUAAAGAUGGGAUCUUGUGAUGUUCACAUUGGCGGAAACCAAAGUAAAUGGACAAAGAUGAUUUUUUUCCCUCACCAAAAACAUUGUGAAAAAGGUUUUACUAACUAAUAUCUGUUCAAUCUCGAUGAUUUUGAUUAUUGUGGUGUCUUUCUACUUGUUUACACGUUCACAAGCGUCUAAAUGUAUAUGUAUGGCCAUGAUGAUGAAAAAGAUUUUGUUACAUCUGACAAAUUAUAAGUUUUUGGGGCAUUUUGGUUUGGCUCAGUAACUUUGUUGUUUCUUUAUAAUUAUUGUGAUAUAAUUUUUGUUUUCACCACCCUAAUUAGUGUUUGCAGGGAACAUAAUAUUUGGAUUACAUAGAUAGUUGUCUUGGUAGAUGUUUUCAAGUUUACUAGACUAGUCUGAAGGUUUAUUUCAUGUUGUUGUUAUAUGAAGAAAAAACUAGUUUUGAUGGUGUAAGCUACAGUAUCUUGGUUGGAUUUUGAAUUUUCUAUUUGAGCAUUAACUUGGAACCUCUGCAUGAUCGGUCAUUUUAGUUCCUUUUUAAAUGCGGGAACAUGUGGGUGUUAAAAGCUGAAACAAAAGAUAGUCACUAUCCAUCAUGCCUUAUUGAUAGUGGAAGCAUUUAAUGGAAGGAAUAAGCUCUUAAAGAGAAUGUUUCAGGCACUGAGGAAUUUGUCUAUUCCAUGAAGUCAUUCUAUUCAGAAAUUCCUAAAAGCCAUUAUAAUGUCUUAAUCAGUAAAACCUUAAUGCUUAAAAGCCUCAGUCAUAUGGUUUUUAUCCUCAACUAAGACAAUAUCCUUAAAACUCUUUGAGUGCUAAUAUUGUAUCUUAUUUGUAUGCUCAUCGAUAUUGGCAGCACCAUAGUUUUCGGAUUGCGUUUCCUCUAUCAAGAAGACUUCUAUCACUUGCAUUAGUGGUUGCCUUCUCAGCUGCUGGUUUUCUAUGCCAAAUCGAAAGUUUUGCUUGUGACGUAGCUUGUGUCUAACCUUGGAUACCCCCUGCAAUUGCAGCUAUUUGGUCACUUCUGAACUGUUUCUAAUAACAAUACCCACUUCAGUGGCUCUUUAGUUGACCAAAAUAUUCAGUAUUAGGACAUACAGAGCUUCAUCCCUGGACCAAAUGUUGGCUGAAACUUUACUGCAAGAGCAGCGACAUACAGAGAACAAUUUGGAAGUUAAGGCAGUCAUCAUCUUAUGUUUUGACAUAGUAAAACAUUUGAUCUUUGUGUGAUUGAAUCUAAAACUACUGUGAACCUAUAAAUUUGAUGGGCUCAUUUCAUGCCUGCACCAAAUGUUGACUGGUUGAACUUUACUAUAAGCUGAGAGAUAUGCAGAAAACAAGUUAAUCUUUUGGAAGUUUAGACAUUCAUCUUCUGUUUUGACGUAGUAAAACAUUUGAGUUAUGUGAAAUUAUAUCUAAAACUACUGUCAAUCUAAUCAUUUGAUGGAAUCAUUUCUAUGCUUCUCACUAGAAGACUCUUGGAAUUAGUAGUCUGCUACUGCCACCAUGUUUCUGGAAACUGGAGAGUUCAUUUGUCACCAGAUGAGGAUAAGUUUCGUAGCUUCUAAUUUCCUGUGCAAGAAUAUCUCAUCCUUUCUUCAUAUAUUUGGCUGAAUGGAAUUCUAUGUUGUCUUGAAAUCCUCAAUGCCCCAUGAGUGCCUUUUUUAAGUUGGAAGUGGGAGAUGUUUUUGAGCAAGUUGGUUGCAUUGUGAUUCAACUUGGUUUCAACACAUAGAUAUAAUAUAAUGCUGCCGCAAGGGGUAUUAUCUUAAUUACGGCUCAUUAUAAUUUCUCUUCACGUGCUUGAUGAAAUUUCUCUCUUAUAUAUGGAUCUAUUAUGCCAGUUCUCUCCUCAUCUAGCUGAUUACAUUGUUCAUGUUUUCAGUUAUGACCUUUUGAGCAAUAGGUUAAUUUAUUGAAUCCUAAGUGAGGUUUGCAACUUCUUGUCAUGUUGUAUUUUUGGAUAUAUCAGGUAAUCUUUCCUGCGCUUGAUAUCCGUGUAAAAAAUGUGGCACGAACUUAUUCUCUUGAGCAUGAAGGAGAAAGUGUGCUUUUUGAUCAGCUGUUUGCACUACUGGAUUCUGAUAAGCAAAAUAAUGAAAGCUACAAAAGAGAGUUGGCCUCUUGCACAGGGGCCCUUCGAACCUCAAUCAGCCAGCACAUGUCCAAGGAAGAGGAACAGGUAUCUUUUUUAUGCAGUAAAUGAAAAAAAAAAAAACUUCUGCAUCUGUUAUUGGAUAGGUGUACAACAGUAUGACAUUUGGCUCCAAGAGAAUUAAAUCUUUGUUUUAGCUACAAUGAUUUCAAAGACUUAUAAUUUUUGUCAUGUAACAAAAAUUGCUUAGUAUUGGGUUGUAUAGGAGUUUUGCCAAGGAUAAGCAGGUUUCACAGUAUUCGGACCAAGUUUUGGCUUAGAUGGGAUGGUAUCAUGUGCCAGCAGCCACAAACAUCGUGCUAGCUUUGGUAUCUUUUGAUGGAACAAAGAAUCCAUUUAAAGACUUGAUGUAGUUAGAGAGCAAAGAAAAACAUGCAUGAGAUGUUUUGUGGCACCUGUGGUGACAUAGUUCUUUUGGAUUCUUCUUUCUAUCAGACUCUGUAGCUCCAUGGCUGUUUCCCGAUAAACAUUUAUGCAUUUGGAAGAAAAGAAGGUUUUGACUUUCUUGUAAAUAUGCUCCAUUUCUUGGAAUGUUGGUACAAAAGAGAUAUAUGCUGUUAGCUGAUAUUUGUAGAACUCUUUGUGCAAAUUAUAUUCAGGAGUCUUGUACUGGUUCUCUUCUGACAUAACGUUAUUUCAUACUUGUUCUUUUCUCAUGUGUUUGUCUUCGUACGUUUACCAUGUGACAGAUCACCUUCUCCCUAGUAUUACUUGAUCAAUAUUGCUUCUAAAAUCAAGAUGUAUACUCCAUACAACAUAUAUUUACAUUUCUCUAAUGGAAAUGCAAUGUUAGCAUGUUGGGUCAAGGCUGCAUAGUCUUGCCUUUCCAAGACCAUGGAAUGAUGAGAGCCUUUUGUAUGAUUAUUUUGUCUUCAUGUGAAGUAAGCAACACUUGUCUUGUGUUCAUGCUACUUAAUUGUCCGGUGUCUUAGGUUUAUGUGAUUGGGAAAUAUUGUCCAAUUAAUUGAGAUCUCCCUUUGUUUGCUCAGGUCUUUCCAUUGCUCAUUGAGAAAUUCUCGUUUGAGGAGCAGGCUUCAUUGGCAUGGCAAUUUUUAUGCAGCAUUCCUGUUAAUAUGAUGGCAGAAUUCCUUCCAUGGCUUUCUUCCUCCAUUUCAUCUGAUGAGCGUCAAGACAUGCGUAAAUGCUUGUACAGAAUAAUCCCUGAGGAAAAACUUCUUCAACAGGUGAGUGGAUUUUCUUAGAGACAGAGAAAAAUCUUUCAUCAUAUUGUAUCAUUGCUGACUUAAAAUCCUUUUGAUGAAGGUAAUAUUCACCUGGAUGGAUGGCAUGAAGAUUAACAAGAAGCGUAGAAGUUGUGAGGAUGAUAUAGCUAGCAACUUAAUUAGACCAAGUGAGAAUAGGCCUUGCCCUUGUAAAUCUUCUACUGCAGAAAAACGAAAAUUUUUCCCAUCAACCUCCAGUGGUCUAAGUCACCCUAUAGAUGAGAUAUUGCACUGGCAUAAGGCUAUUCUAAAGGAAAUAAAUGACAUUGCUGAAGCAGCUAGAAUGAUCAAAUCUUCUGGAGAUUUUUCUGAUUUGUCUGCCUUUAGAGAGAGGCUACAAUUUAUUGCUGAAGUUUGCAUCUUCCACAGGUAAAUUAAUGUUUGCUUCUCACCUCUGUGAUUCUAUCUUGAAAAUAAUUAGUAUUGUAUAACCAUAUUAUUGCUAUUUUUCACUUGAUUUGCAGCUUCUGGUGUUAGAUUUACUCCAAGGGAGUAAUUUUGGGAAUUGCUAUAUGAGCAUAUAGUUUUCAUAAUUUUAAGAACUAUGAUCUAAUGUUAGUUAUUGUAGAAACACUUCAUUUCAGAUAAUGGAGAUGUCUGAGAAUAUUUAAUUUAUCCUUCCAUCUUCUAAAUGAUAAUGUGAAAAUAAAAUUUGUGAUUGACAAGCUUCCGUUCAACCUUUGACUGCAGCAUUGCUGAGGACAAAGUUAUAUUCCCUGCUGUAGAUGCAGGAUUAUCUUUUGCUCAAGAGCACGCCGAAGAAGAAAGUCAAUUUGAAAAGUUCAGAUGUUUAAUGGAAAGUAUUGAACGUGCAGGAGCAAACUCCUCUUCUGCUGAAUUUUGUUCAAAAUUAUGUUCACAUGCUGAUCAUAUAAUGGAUACCUUAAAGAAGCACUUCCAGAAUGAGGAAAUUCAGGUGAGCUCUGGCCUAAGAUUCAAAAAUUUUCUCUUAGUUCUUGUUGACCUAAGGCCUGGGGCUGAAAGGCUGUUAACUUCUUUGUCUCCUAUAUGGACGUCAGAUUUGCAUUUUCCUCCUGAAGUUGAAAGUAUGUUAGCCUAUUAAGACUUUUUUGAGGUUUAAAUUAAAUGUAUUGCCAUCCCAGGUUCUUCCACUUGCAAGAAGGCAUUUCAGCUAUGAACUGCAGCGGAAGCUUCAGUAUCAGAGCUUGUGUGUGAUGCCUCUGAGGCUGAUUGAAUGCGUAUUGCCAUGGUUGGUAGGAUCACUAGAUGAAGAGGUAGCGAGAAAUUUUCUAAAGAACAUGCAUAUGGCAGGUCCUCUAUAAAUUUCCUACUCCUUGAGAUCUGUCUUUUCCUUGUGGAAUGUAUGCUCAAACAUAAUUGUUGACUGUUUCUGACUUGUUUAUCUGACAGCUCCAGCAUCAGACUCUGUAUUAGUUACACUUUUCUCUGGUUGGGCAUGCAAAGGUCGUCCAAGGAGCAUUUGUUUGUCCUCAGGUGGAAAUGGUUGUUGCGCUUCAAAAAUGCUGACAGAAUCACGAGAGAGCUUUGACGGAUAUUCUUGUGCCUGUUCCUAUUCAAGCAAGACAGGCCAAAGUAUUUUGAUUGGUGAGGCAGUUGAUGAUGAAAUUCCAGUAGAGUCUGGAGACUCCGUAAUACUGGAAGAAAGUACAAGUCUUGUUCCUGUGAGAUCUAUAGAGCUCCAGAAAGCAAAUGUUAGUAAUCAAUCCUGUUGUGUUCCUGGGUUAGGAGUGAACAACAAUAAUCUGGGAACAAGUUCUCUUGCUGCAGGAAAAUCUUUGCGAUCCUUAUCUUUUGGUCCUAGUGCUCCUUCACUUAAUUCCUGUCUCUUCAACUGGGAAACAGACAUCAGCUCAAAUGAUUGUGGUUCUGCAACUAGACCCAUAGAUAACAUAUUUAAGUUUCACAAGGCCAUUCGGAAGGAUUUAGAGUUUCUGGACAUUGAAUCUGGGAAACUUGGUGAUUGUGAUGAGAUUUUCAUUAGGCAGUUUAGUGGCAGAUUUCGUCUUUUGUGGGGCUUAUAUCGAGCUCACAGUAAUGCUGAGGACGACAUUGUCUUCCCGGCUUUAGAAUCGAAAGAAACUCUACACAAUGUUAGUCACUCCUAUACGUUGGACCAUAAGCAGGAAGAAAAGCUAUUUGAAGACAUUUCAUCUGCUCUCUCUGAGCUUUCUCAACUUUGUGAAAGUUUGAAGAGCAAAAGUAUGACAGGAGAUCAAAGUUCAGGAGAUGAUGACUCUUGCAGUACAACUAAUAGCCUGAGAAAAUAUAGUGAACUGGCUACAAAAGUACAGGGCAUGUGUAAGUCCAUCAGAGUAACAUUGGAUCAUCAUGUCAUGCGUGAAGAACUUGAGCUGUGGCCAUUAUUUGAGAUGCAUUUUUCAGUUGAGGAGCAAGACAAACUUGUUGGUCGCAUAAUUGGUACCACAGGAGCAGAGGUGCUUCAAUCCAUGUUACCAUGGGUAACAUCUGCUCUUACUCAGGAAGAGCAAAAUACCAUGAUGGAUACUUGGAAGCAAGCAACCAAGAACACGAUGUUCAGUGAGUGGCUAAAUGAAUGGUGGGAAGGUUCAGCUGCAUCAUCAGAGGCAUCAACAUCAGACAAUAGUAUUUCACAAGGUCUUUUUAAUCUUUAGUUCACACCAGAA